RNAcentral lists this long non-coding RNA (89876 nucleotides) under Physcomitrium patens. Its description in RNAcentral is "long non-coding RNA (PPAT_LNC013745)". The stretch from base 50678 to 50774 matches the Rfam family "Small nucleolar RNA Z157/R69/R10". The record is from RNAcentral. Lineage: Eukaryota; Viridiplantae; Streptophyta; Bryopsida; Funariales; Funariaceae.
UUGGGGUUGUCGUGUAUGAGGGUGGUUGGCAUCGCGAAGCUGCGUGUGCAAAUCUUAAGUAUGCCGACAGUGAAGGCGGCUGAUGUGUAGUUUAUAUGUGUGGCGAAAGGGUGAACUGUAUUGUGACGAGGUUGGAGGAGAGAAUCUUUUGGUCUAUUUCACUGAAGCCUAACACAUGAACGGAGGUGUGGAGGAAUAGCACCCCCAAGACAACCCUGAAACUAACAACAUGUAGCAGUAACACAAGGAUUCAUUGAAUGGUUCCAAUAAAUCUGAACCAUAACCUACAUGAGUGCAAUCUAAUUAGUCGAACAGUAUGGAAAGGACCCACGCAAUCAACACCUGAAGAGAAUCUGCAACAGAGCUGGUGAGAUAUGUGCACGGCUGCAAUUUAGGCCGGAUGGAGAAAUGGUGCUGUGAUGAUACCGAAGUGUUUCGGACUAGAGUUUCUGAUCUGGGGUAGUAGCCAGCUCUGAAGAAAACACUCUUGGCUGUCGGAACAUAUGGAUAGUUGUGUAUGAGCGAUGCGUCUCAAAGUGGUGCUGGCGGGAAAGUGUAAUGCAGUCUUCUCAUAACUCACUCUAGAGCAAGUUUUCUUGAUUGUGACCUGAAGACCUGAUCUCUGCACGUAAAGGGACUCAUUUGCGACGUUGUCCUACAAAAGAUUCAAAAACACGCACUAAGCUUGGAAGUGACUUUAAUAAACAGAAAACGAACGAGAGUAUUUCACUGCACCUGAAGUGUCAUAAAACGACUUCUCAGCAUUCACCCCGUAAAGUUUUGCAGGGAAUCCAGAUGAGAAAUAAGUUAGUCACACCCGAAUGUAGAUGGCCUUGUCCGUGUUAGGAUUUCUGCCUACAUCCUAAUUUACACGUUGUGCAUGAUGUAGGCCAGAAGGUGGUGUGUGACAUAAUACCUCAGAUUGACUGCAAAGGUCUUCUAUUUUGCAUUCAUCCAACUAUUUGACAUAGCCCAAGAAUCAUCACUUUCUCUCGUCUGAAUUGUGUGACUUUUGCAUCUUUGCCAAUAUUUUCGAAUUUAGAAGCUUGUAAGAGGGAAGGGGUUCCUAGACACAUAUUCUAAUUGAAUCGCAUUUCGCUGUUAUUUUUAACCUAAGAAAUUUAUCUAUCAAUUUAAACUUGUUGCCAUACUUCUCUACUAUUUUUAACUCAAAAACUUUAUCUAACAAUAUAAACUUCAUGCCAUAUUUCACUACCUUUCUUUUCUAGUGUAAAACAUUUACUAAGUAACACUUUGCGACGCAUCGCUCGUACACAACGAUCUAUAUGCUCACACAGCCAGCAACACUUAGUUUGAUGGAUAUCUGGCUUCGCCUUAAUUUGAAAGAAAGUUCUACAUCAACUUCAUUCUAAAAAUAAAGACUUUUUCGUCGUCUUCAGCACUUGUUAUAACCUGAGUAAUGAUGACAUUUGGAAUAAAGGCAUCUACAAUAAGCUGUAUUCUAUUGCAUAUUGUGCUUGCUAUAUUGUUAUUAAAGCUCCAAAAGUCACUUUUAGUAAAUGAGAUAGAAAUCUAUUUACAAAAAGAAUAUUUAAGAAACUCAACUAUGUAGAUUGCUUGAUUGUUAUUAUCAUUAUUGCAAAUUGAAUUUGCAGAAAGAAAUUCUACCUCUUUAUGAGAAAUGUUUUGCAAGAUUCAAAGAUUAUGCAUAUUGAUGGAUGAAUUUGUAGUGGAUUAAAUUAAGGAAUUUGUAGUAUAUUUGUGAUCAUUGGCAUGAUCAAUAAUAUUGCUAUAGAUUUUUUUCAAUUAACUCACGAAUGGUUUUGCAAGUAGCAAUUUCUUGAGGAAUGUAGAUUAUAUUUUCAUGUAUAUUUAAGUGAAUAACCUCUUUUCUUUUGCCAAUGCAAAGCAAAUAUUAUAUAAAAGAUCUUUUUCUUUUCUUUCUACUCCCUUAGCUUGGCACUAUUUCAUAUUAAUUGUAGUAUGUAUUUUUUUUUGUAUAGAUGGCCAUAAUUAAGAGAACUUUACGCUUAAAUUAAGAGUUUGUAUUCUCAUUCAAUGACAAAGAACUAACAAAAUUUGUUAGAAGUCCCUGCUCUAAACAAUAAGAUUUUUACUAAAUGAUUGAUCAACAUUAGAUAUAUCUUCUAGCAACUUGUCUUCAACUUUAAAGGUCACCCUAUUGGUCAUUGGAGUAUCACUCUAUAUGAAUAUCUUAGUAGUUUUAAUCAAUUUUUGUAGUUUUGAUGCUUUUGUGAUGCUGUAAUUUAUGCAGUCAUUGACAUUAAACAAGAUCUUAAAAGUGGAUUGAAAUGAUUUUCAACUUGAGAGUAACAGUGCUACAAUGCCAAAAGAAAGAACAACUAAAGUAAUUUCCUCAUUUUUGCUAUAAUAGGCUAAUAAAAGUUUGUAGAUGAAGGUUUUUCUUAUAUUGCCUCAACUAUUAAUGAAAAAACAUCUUUUAUUAUAAUUGGUAUCAAUUUCAGUAGCAAUAACUAUAUUAUACACAACUUUUUGAUUAUCAUUUAGUAAUAGAAUUGCAUAAAGAAUAAUAUUCAUUUCAACAAGAUCAUAUAAUAUAUGAUUUGUAAAAAAAUAGCUAUCUUUAGUAAAUAUUUAGUGAUUGGUAAUCUUUUCAUUUAAAUGAGAUAGACAUAAACGCCUAAACAAAUAUAUAUUUUUUAUUUUGUAAAAGAUGCGAGUGAAUAGAAAUUUGACAAUAACAAUAGAUUUGUUAGUAAUAAGAACACCUUAUUGCAAAGAUAAACUACAAAUAAAAUCUUUGGUUAUAGGAACAAUGUUUGCAUCUUACAAAAUUUUAAUAUUUGAAAUAUUUUUAAAAAAUAAAAUUUGGACAAAUAAUAGCCUCAUUGUCAUUAGUAUUUAUUUCACAUCAACAUCAUUCACUACACAAGACACUUUGUGUCAUCUUCCAAAUAUCCAAAAGUACUUGAUGGAUUCAAAUGAAGAAUAAAACAUAUAAGCAAAUGAUCAAAGAUGUUCAAAAGAAUGAGGACCUUAAAUAUAGAGUAAGAACAAAUAUAGAUAGUAUUAUUUUUUUUUAAGAUGGAUUGGAACAACACAUUUGCAAAACAACUUUGUUUCUAUUAUGAAUCUUUUUGCUUCAAUAAGUAAAAUUUUAAAUUUUUUUUGUUUUAAAAGAUUUUUAGUUGCAUCAUUAUUUAUACAUAUUACAAAAAAAUUCUAUUAAUGUUGUCUAUGCAUGUCUACUAAGUACAUUAUCUAGAUUUCUAUUAGAUUUAUAAUACAUUAUAAACAAACAUGCAACGAUUGCAAAUCCAAUUUGGAAGGUGGAUUUGGAAGGUAGAUUUGCAAUGGUUGAACAUUAUGGCUUCUAAAUUGAGCUUAAUAUAAUUUUUUUAAAAUACUUUUGGUGAUGAAGUGUAGUAAGCAUCAAAAAAUUUCUUAAUUUCUUUAAGGCUUCUAUAUUAUUACAUUCUUUCAAAAUGAUUGCAUCGUGAAUAUACAUAAUUACAUGGAUAAGAAGUGCUAAGUAGAAAAUAAAUGUAGAUUAAUUUGAUAUUAUCUUAUGGUGAAGCUUCUUAAAAGCUUCAUAGAUGCAUAUUUGAUUUUUUACAUAUUUAUAGUUGAUUGGUAGGUUAAAAAAACUUAGCCAAUAAGUUAGCCAUAUGAUACAUAUGUAGGUAGCUUGUGGUCCAAAGUAACAAUAUGGCAUGCAUAUAAAAAACUUGCCUUACAAAUUAAGACAUGUAUUUUACAAAUUUGACAUAUGUUGGAGGUCCUAUAAAAUAUUGCUACAUAAAUCCUAUAGAAUGUUGUUACAUAGAUUCUAUAAAAUAUUGCCACAUCAACCAUGGAGGUAGUAUUUUGAUGCCUAUCGAAGAUGUCAUCAACAAAGUUUAAAGUUGAUACCACAAAGUUAUUUAAUUGAAAGAAAUAAGUAGAUUAAGCUCACAAUUAAAUUGAAGAAGCCUUCCUAUUUGAAGUAUAAAAGAAAAAAUGAUAAGUAUGUUAGAGAAGUUUGAUAGAAUAAGAUAAAUGUUUUGAAGAUUUCUAUAAUAAAUAAAGUUAUAUUUAAGAUUUCAUCUUUUUCAAUAUUUUCAUUGCUUUAUUCAAACUGAAUUGAUAGAUACACUUCUCUCUAAGAAUGAUUUCUUGAUUUGCAUCUUUGAUAGAAAAAGAUUUACACCUUAUCUAUGAUCUGAAUUCAUUCUUAGAAGUAUUUAUGACAAAUUUUAGAAAAAAAGAUCAAGAAACAAUAAUAGAUACCAAAUUUGGCCUUAUAAUGGAUUUUAAAAAGAUUCAAACUAUCAUGGAUUGGAAGAUCCCAAAAAUAGUUAGAGACGUGUAAUAUCUUUUAAAAUUUGCUAAUUAUUAUCAGAUCUUCAUCAAGAACUUUUUUCAAGUUGCGGCUCUUAUUACACAUCUAAUAUGUAAAGACAAACUUAAGCAAAUCAAUGAAGUUGAAGUAUCAUUUAAAGCUUUGAAGCCAAAAUUUAUUUUUGUAUAAAUCUUAUAUUGCAUUGAUUUUUUAAAGGCAUUCUUUAUAAAAAUAUAUGUACCAAAUUUUGCUAUAAAUGAGAUGUUAUAAUAAAUAGAAGCAAACAAUAAGUUCUAUCCAAGAGCUUUCUAUUCUAAGAAAUUUUUAGCAACCAAAAUUAACUAAAAGAUCUACAAUUAAGAGCUUCUUGUAAUUAUUGUUUUAUUUUGAGAAUAGCAUCAUUUUUUAGAAGAUACUUUUAAUUGGAUCAUUGUACAUAUGGAUCUUAAGAACCUUAAGUAUUUCAUGUUGGCACAUGUUUUGAAUUAUUACUAAGCUCCUUAAAACCUAUCUUUAUCAAGAUUUGAUUUCAAGGUCACUUAUUGAUCUAAAAAAUAAUAAGAUUUAUCAAAUAGACUUUCUAGAUGUUUUUAUUUUAUACUUGAAGAAAGAAAUGUAACUUUUGAUUAAAAAAAAAUAAUUUGCUUAAAGCGAUAAUAUUUUCAUCUUCAAGUAAUGAAAUCAAUAUUAGCUAUUGAUUUAAUUUUUUUCAAGCAAGUUCAAUGGAGUAUGUCUUUUGAUCUUUUUGUUUUAUGAUAUUAAAAAUAAUUCUUUUAAGUCUUAUGAAACUUGAAGAUUUAAUUUUAAUAAUAAUCUAUUCUAUUUUGAGAUACAAUUAAAUAUUUUAAAAAGUGAAGCACAAUCAUGACUUUCUAAUAGCAAGAUAUUUUGGAUAUAAUAAGACUUUGGAACUAAUAUCAAGAGAUGAUCAAAGACUUUGUACAAUUAUUUUAGGUGGCUUCAAAUAUAAAAGGUGGUUAAAGAUUUUAUACAAUUGUGUGACAUUUAUUCAAUAUCAAAAUUCUUUAUCAUCAAUUUUAUGGACUUUUGCAGCUAUUAUCUAUUUUGGAACAACCAUAGUCUUUUGUUUCUAUGGAUUUUAUGACAAAUCUUUCAAUCUUGAAUUCUAAUGAUUCUAUAUUUGUGAUAAUAGAUCAUUUUACCAAGAUGGCAUAUUUUGUACUAUGUACAAAAUCUAUCACUAAUAAAGAAACAAUUAAGUUUUUUUUGAGAAUAUUUAUUACUAUCAUAGAUUGCCUAAAGCUUUUAUAUUAAAUAUAGGAACUCAAUUUGUAUUAAUAUUUUCAAAAAUCCUUUUUAAAAUUCUAAAAGUAGAUAUAAAUCUAUCUUUAGUUUUUUUUACUUCAAACUAAUAUAAAUUCAAAGCAUAUUAAAUAAGCUUUAAAAUAAUAUUUGAGGUAUAUCAUCAUAUAUCAAUAAUAUGAUUGGAUAAUUUUUUUUAUCAUUGAUAGAAUUUUCUUAUAAUAAUAUAAUAUUAUAAAUUAUGAUUUUCUAUUUGAAAAUAAAUUAGGUACCUUGUUAUAGAAAGUUAAGCUUUAAUUUAUUAGAUAAGUUCCAACAAGUGAUGUAUUCUUAUUAUAAAGGCCAAAUAAAUAUAAUAGUAUUAAAAAAUUAUUCUAUUAAUAAAAUUAUUUUAUAUUUAAGAAGCUUGAUAUGUAAGGCUUUUUAAAGCAUCUAAAAAUAUCCUUACAUUCUUUGCUAUACCAAAUCAUAACUAAAUUCUCCAUCAAUAAGCUUAAUUUCUAAUAAGCUCAAAGAAAAUCCAUAAUCCUCUCUCAUAUUUACAAGCCAUCUUUAUAUCAUAAUUUUUUUAUAGCUCCAUAUUUCUAUUUUUAAUACAUAUAUAAAGUCUUGGCUUUCAAAAACUCUGUUAUUUUAUACAAAAUGCCUAAAUUAAAGCAAAAUCCUUUCAAAAUAUUUUUCUUUUAUAAAGGAUAUUUCUCUCUAAAUUUUAGAAAUCAAUAAUUCUUUAUUAUUAUUUUUUCUUUUUUCCAAUUUCUAUAUAAUAUAGAAAUUAUCCUUAAGCUUUAUUACAAAAAAAUGAACCAUAAAUCUACUAUAGAUUAUCUAGCAUCUUAGAAACUUUAGCAGAUGCUUUAUAUCCUAAUUUACAAGCACCUGAGUAGUUUUUUCUCUAUAUCUCAAAAAUCCAAACUUUAAAUGCUACGAAAUUUGUGCAUAAAUUUUAUUAAUAUGAUAACAUACAUUCUUAAAAAUAUUUAGCUAAAAUUUUAUUAAAUUGCUUAAGAUAUAGCUCAAAAUAUAACCACUAUUAAUUUAGGUCACUUAUUGUCUUUAGAUUGUAAGUGCUGACUUCAACUUCUUAUAACUUCUGUAUCUUAGCUUAGAAUUCAUCAAGUAAUAUUUAGAAAAGUGUAGCAAAAAAAGUGCACUUUACAAACCUAGUUGCCAAUUCUUCAUUGUUUUUUGUACACAUGUAUUAUAUCUAAAAGAAUGAUAGUAGAUAUAAAACCAAUUCUUUAACUUUGAGCAUAUAUAUCUCUUUCAUAAAAACUCCAAAUCAUCCAAAUUUUAUACCAAAAUCAUAAUUAAAAAUCUCAAUUCUUUGAUCUUAGCCUUCCAAGUUCAAAUGAUCUCAAAAGAGUAAUCCUAAUUCCUAAUAAGGCCUUGAACAACCCCCUUAAAGUCCAUUGGACAUGCUUUUUGGCCAAUAGCAAUAGAAAUUUUUAUCAUCCAUUUCUAUUCAUCCAUAUGGAUAUUUUAAUUACUCUUUUUGCUAUCAAAAUUCUUUUUUAAUUCUUUUUCUUAUAAGAUUUAUAUAAUAUAUGUUCUAAACAUCAAAUAAAAGAAAUAAAAUAAGACUUCAAGAAUCACCAAUGUCUUCUAAAAGUAGUCAUAAAUAUAUAAAAACUAUUAUCAAUAUAAAAUCAACUUCAAUAAUAGCCUUUUAAAACUAAUUAUUUUAAAGUAGUAAUCUAAUCAUAUUUUGUGACUAACUAAAAUUUAAUAACGCUGCUCUUAUUAUAUUGUAUAAUAAAUUAUAUAUAUAUAUAUAUAUAUAUAUAUAUAUAUAUAUAUAUAUAUAUAUAUAUAGUAUUUUCACAUAGUAACCAAACCACAACAUGACAACAAUACAUUUUUUUAUGUAAUAAAUAUCUUUUUUUAAUAAUUAUGGUUAUUAUCUAUAAUUUAAUGCUUUUGACUUCUCAAAAGUUGAUAAUCCUAUGAUAAAAGAUUUAGUUAAAUAUUUAUUGGAGCUACAUAUAAUAAUAAAAGCACAACUCAAAGAAGCUUAAGAAUGAUAAAAGAUUAAUGGAGAUGCUUGUUGUAAGGAAUAAUAUCAAUUUUGCACUGAAAACAAAGUAUGGUUAUUUUAUUGUAAUAUUAAGACAAGCUGCCUUUGUGAUAAGUUAGAUUAUCAUAAGUUUAAACUAUUUCUUAUUUGUGAAUAAAUCAAUCUUGUUGCUUAUUGAUUAUAUCUAUUUGAAUUAAUGAUAAUUCAUCUUGUAUUCUACAUAUCUUUUUUUGAAUCAUAUAAUAUAAUGAAUAUUUCUAAAAAAAAAACCACUUCUUUCUAUAAAAGUAGACUAUAAUAAAGAAUGCAAGAUCAAAGAAAUCAUAGAUUCAAGGUUGUAUUAAAAUAGAUUAAAAUAUAUUAUUCAUUGAUAUAGAUAUGAUAUUACUGAAUGCACAUAAAAGCCUGGUAAGAAUUUUUGAAAUGUAGCAAAGAAAGGUGAUACUUUUUUAUCAAUGACAUCUAUUAAAAUCAAGAUGAAGAAUAACAAAUAUUUAUAAUAAAAGAAAUAUUUUUUUAGAUAAGCUUGUAUUCUAUUUUUUUAUCUUUAUUUGUAAUUUUUGUAUAUUUGUGGCACUAAAGAGAUGGAAAACCAACAUUCAUCAGAUUUAACUCUAAAACUUUUGUUUAUUGACUUACUAGAAGAGAAAUUACAAUUGUCACAACCUUCAAGAUAACAUAAUCAAGAUGAAGUCUUUCAAGAAUAAUAUGUUUUUUUUUUUUUUUUUUUUUUUUUUUUUUAAGUUAAUGGAAAGAUUAAACACAUUUGAUAUGACAAACUUGGAAGAGAUUUGUUAUGUUCGGUGGUUUUUUAGAAGUCAAAAUGAGUCAUAAUAUUUAUAUAAAUAUUUUGUUUGGACAAAGUUACAAAGGCUUCAACAAUAACUAAAUAAUGGAAUAGUCUUUUCUCCUUGAGAUGAAACAUUAUCAAUAGUUGAGAAAACUUAUCAACGACUUUAAAAGAAUGAUAGAUCAAAUAAUGUGACAAAUAUAUUUUAUUGUAUCUUGAAUUUCUUCAAUAUAUAAUGACCUCUUAUUGCGGAAUAUGUUCUUAGAAGGUGGAAUAAUGUCAUGGACCUAUAUUACCUAGAUAUAUUAUAUUUAUCUAGAUAAGAAGUACUAGAUGGAAGAAAAAUAUAGAUAUACUUGAUAUUAUAUAGUAGCAAAGCUUUAUAGAUGCAUAUUUGACUUUAUACAUGUUUAUAGUUGAUUGAUAAGAUAGAAACUUAACUAAAAAAUUAACUAUGUAUUAUAUAUGUAAGUAGCUUGUGAUAGAAGGUAAUUAUAUUAGAUGUCUUAUAAGUUAAGACAUAUAUCUUGUAAAUUGGACACAUGUUUGAAGUCUGAAAAAGAUAUAAACUUCAAAGAAUUAAAAUAUCAAUAUAUUCUUGUAUCACUCAAAAAGAUUAGAAAAUCACUCAAAGAUGAUAAAGAAUUAAAUUAGAAUGGUUAUUACUAAAGACAAGAAGACCAAAAUAUCUUGAAAUAAGAUUAAAGAUUAAAAAAAAAUUGACAAGAGUAAAGCAAGCUUCAUUCUUGCCUCUAUAUAUAUUCUUAAUUAAGAGUUAUGUAGCAAUAUCCUAUAAGACUUCCAAUAUGUGUUGACUUUGCAAGACACAUAUCUUAACUUAUAAGGUAAGUUUCUUAUAUGUAUAUUACAUAGUUAACUUAUUUUGUAAGUUAUUAACAUGUGAUUAAUUUAUUGACAAAUUUUUUUACCUAUCAAUCAACUAAAAAUACAUGUAAAAUCAAAGAAAAGGUUGUUGAGCUCCUAAAAAGCUUUAUUUAAAAAUAUUAUGAAAUUAAUUUAUUUUUAUUUAUUUCUAAUUAAUUAUAUAGGUAACUAUUGAAAUAAAUAUAUAUAUAUCCAUGAUAUUAUCUCUCCUUCUAGAGAUAAGUUCUAUGAAGAGUGAUAAUCACAUAUUAAAAAAAUCUAAGAUGUGAAAAAUUAUGUUUGUCACAUACUCUGAUCUUUUGUUCUCUUUGAAGAUAGUUGAAAGGUCCUUUCAACCAUUGAUAGUAUCUUAUACCAUAGCAAAAAGUCCACCCUAUUAUUUGAUCAUUAUUAAGGCCUCUGUAAAUCUUUUUUAAUAAAAUAUUUGAAAUAUUGUCAAUAGUUGAUCUUAUUUCUAAUGAAAUCACCAAAUAUUAGAAGUUUCUUCUAAGGUUGUGAUACCAAAUACGUUGUAACUUACCUUAUAUAUAAGAAAAGAUAUGUCAUUCAUGAUGAUCUUCAUCUUGAUUAUGUCAUCUUAAAGGUUGUGACAUUAUAAUAUCUUGUCUAAUAAGUCAGCAAACAAUGGCUCUUAUAUUGAAUCUACUUGUUAGGAACCAUAUAAUAAAUAAGGAUUCAAGACUAAAAAAUGGAGUUAGCUCAACAUUAAAACAAUACAAGGCAAGAAGAUCUUGACUAGACCACAAGAAGUGAAUUGUUGAGACUGAGAAUCCCCUUAGCCUUGAGUCUUAUAUAUACUAGAUCUUAGGAAGUUUCUUAAGAAGUUUCUAUAAGGCUUGGAAACAAAAUAAGCCUAAGAUCCUUCUUUGGCAACUUCCUAAAUCAUCUGAAGCCUCUUAAAACCGUCUAGGAUUUUUUAUGAGCUUCUAGAACUUUCUUAAAUCUACUAGAAUCUUUUGAAAUCUUCUUAGAACCUAUUAGAUCUUUUGGAACCUUCUAAAUUUUUUUUAGGAUCUACUUGAACCUUUUAAAAUCUUCUAAAAUCUCCUAGAACCUUCUUAAAUCUUCUUCAGUUGUAUGUCCGUGACAUCACCUCUACUUCUAGCUUUGAGGUCUUUGAGAAGCAAUGUUGUUACAAAUCAAUAUAUGUGUAAGAAGUUAAAGAUCUAUCGCAUCAUGUCUCCUAUAUAUUUCAUUUAUUUUUCACAAGGCAAAUGGUUCAUAGGCCCCUGUAGCUAUUCAUAGUGCCUCAAGCCUUCUACUUAUGACCAAGCAUGAACUUCAAUAUCUUUAUUAUGGAAUUAUCAUACAAACUCUCUUUGUAGAUAUCUUUCAUAAGAAGAUUCUAUCUCAAACAUAAUUACCAGCAACCUAUUACUAGAUAUCCUUCGACGUCUUUGUGAUUUAGGCAGCUCUUCAUCUUAAGGUCAUGUCCGCAAGCUACUUGGUUGAGAUAAUAUGACCAACAAGGCAUCUAUCUGUUGACUAUCUAUAUUAUAAAGUAGACAAGACCAAAAGAAUAUAAACAAGCUAUGGUCGUAAACUCGAACUAUUGACUUAUACUAUUCUAAACAUUUGAAAAAACUUCCUCUUCAGAGGUUGUCUCCUCCCUUUCUUUAUGACGCCAAGAAUUAAGAAAUUUCAUACUGAAGCUAUUUUACUAAGCUACAACUCUUUAUUUUGUCGCUUUUGGUCUAGAUAGAUGUCAGUGAUGGAACUUUUGAACCUUCAUUUGUUCAUUUACAAGGUUGCUAGCUGAUUUCAAUGUGCGAUAGUUGAUAUCAUAUCCACAACAAUGGACCAGAUAUUCAAGCCUUCCAUGUCUUAUCCUUGAAUCUAAUACCUCUUCUACCUCAAAUUCAACAUGAUUAUUGAUUUCAACCAUAGAAAGUAGUAGUUAUCUUUGAUAUAGUAUAUUCAAUUCUUUAUAUCUUUUCAAAAGUAAAACAUAAAAAAUUGGGUAAAUAUUUAUGGAUUAAGAUAAUUCUAAGCAAUAAGUUACAUUAUUAAUUUGUUUCUAAAUUACAAAUGGUUUCAACCUUUGAUAGUUCAACUUAUCAUAUGCUUUGUUGGUUUUUAUAUUACGCCAAAGAAGCCAUACUUUGCCACUAACUUAGAAUAGAGGAUGUUCUUUCCUCAAUUCAUUUGCUAAUAGCUUAUAAAGUUGUUGAAUCCUUUCUAGGUGAGUCUUUAUAGUUGCUUGAAGUUUGGCCAUCUUUGUAGGAAACUCCUAUGCUCUUGGAUUUGUCGACUUUGAAGGCUCUAUCAUAUCCAACAUUGGAUGAUGACCAUAGUUUGAAUAGAAUGGCGUUUGUUACAUAGAUGCAUGGAUUGUAUUAUUAUAUGCCAACUCUGUCAAUGAUAAGUAGAAAGUCCAAUCAACUUAUUGAUAGUUGAUGGUGCACCUCAAAUAUUGCUCAAAAAUUUGCUUGACCCGCUCUAUUUGGCCAUCAGUUUGAGGGUAGAAGGUAGAGAAAAGAUUGAUGUCAACCUUAAGAAUCUUAAAGAGCACCUUCCAAAACCUUGAUACAAAUUGUGGCCCAUGAUUUGGCAUAAUGUUGUCUUGCAACCCGUAGUAACAAUAGACAUUGUGAAUAAAGAGUCUUAUUAUCUCUUCACAAGUAAUUAACUGCUUGCAAGGUAUUAAUGUGCAAUCUUGGUCAAUCAAUCAAUAACUAUGAAGAUAGUAUCAAAUGAGCUUGAUGGUUGAAGAUCUAUAAUGAAAUCCAUGGAGAUAGAUGACCAUAAUUGUCUUCAAAUAGAAAGAGGUUGAAAAAGUCUAUAUGAUCGAUGUUGAGAGUUCUUUGACCUUGAACAAGUAUCACAUGAUAGUACAAAUUUUUUAACGUCCUUUUAUAUUUUUGGUCACCAAAAGUCUCUAGAUAGAAGUUUCAAGGUCUUGUUGAAUCCAAAAUAUCCAAUUUUAGGAAAAUCAUGGCAUGUUUGAAGAACAUGCAAGUAAGUUGGCCCUUUAGGAAUAAACAAACAUUCUUCAAAGAACAAGAAGUUGUCUUCACACUUGAAUUUAGAAGACUCUUCAGGAAGGUUAUAAGCAAGAUGCUUGACAUUAAGAACAAAGGGGUCUAUAUUUAAGGCUUUACAAACUUGAUCAAGAAAUGAAAAAUCCACGUGCAUUGAUACAUUGGUUGCUUGAAGAUGAAAUUAUUCAAGUUUUAACAAGGUUACCCAUUAUUGAUCAUAUGUUGCCUUGUCUUCUUUUGAUUUAAGGUAAGAACAUCUUGAUAAUACAUUUGAUAAUUCUUCUUGGCUCCCAAGUCGAUACGUGAUGCAAAAGUCAAAUCAUGAUAAAGAUAUACUCUAAUGUGCUUGGCAAUAAUUUAAAACUUAAGCUGGUAUGAAGUAUUCAAGAUUCUUGUGAUCUAUAUAUAUAAUCACUUGAUGAGAGGCACCUUCAAAAAAAUGGCGCUAUUCUUGAAAAGAAUCUACAAUAGCAAGUAUCUCUUUAUUGUGGAUUUUGUAAUUAAUUUCUAUCGCUAAGAAUUUUCUAGAAUAGAAUGCAAUUAAAUGAAGUUUGCCAUCUUCUCCAUAUUAUGAAAAGAUUGCUCUCAAUGCAAAGUGUGAGGCAUCAAUCUCUAUAAAAUAGGGCUUGUUGAAAUCUGGAUGUAUCAAAAUCGGAUGUGUUGUGAAAGCAUCUUUUAAGCUUCAAAAAGCUUUCUUUACUUGGAGACUGAAGUCCAACUUGUCCUUGCAUAUCAAGAACAUUAGUGGAGUAGCAAUCUUAGAAUAAUUCCUAAUAAAAAUCUUGUAGAAGUUUGUAAAUUCAAGAAAGUAUUGGACAUCACGUACAGUUUUUGGCUUUACAUAUAAAGCAAACAUGUUUUUUGUGGUCUUUCAAAUUCUUAGAAAAGAUUAGAAUAUCAUCCAAAUACAUCACAACAAAGUUGUCAAGAUGUUCAUAAAAUAUAUCAUUCAUUAAGUAUUGAAAUAUGGUUGGUGCAUUAGUAAGUCUAAAAGGCAUGACAUUGUAUUCAAAAUGUCCAUACCUAGUACAAAAUAUUAUCUUCUAUUCAUCUCCCUCCUUAAUGCAUACCAAGUUAUAUGCGCCUUGUAGAUCAAUCUUUGUAAAGAUCUUUACUUGGCUAAAUUGAUCAAGAAAUUUAGAUAUUAAUAGCAAUGGAUAUCAAUUUUUUAUCAUGAUUUUAUUAAGACCACAAUAAUCAACACACAUCCAUAAAGAUCCAUCUUUCUUUUUUACAAAUAAUAUUGGAGCACCAACUAGCAACUUGGAAUGACAAAUAAAAUUCUUAGCUGGACUUUUCUCUAUGUACUCUUUUAAAGUUGCAAGUUCAUUAUGAAAUAAUUGUAAAUGGAUCCAAACGGUGAUUAAGCACCUUCUUGAAGGUCAAUCACACAAUUAUAAGGGCGAUACUUCAGUAGGAUGUCCGCAUUUUUCUUUUCAAAUAUAUGUACAAAAUCCUUAUAUGCCUUUGGAAUUGUUGUAGCAAUUACAGGUUUCGAUUGUCGAUUUGUAAAGAAAACAAAUGUAGUACCAUGUUUGGCUAUUUUCACAAAUGCUCUAGCUCUAAUAAAUAAAUAUUCUUUAAGUUUUGGCUGGUUAGAUGUUAGAAGCUUUUUCAUAGAUUUAAGGGUUCUAUGAUCUACUAGAAAAAAUUUUAAAUUUUGGAAUAUUCAAUCUAUCCAUGGAUUGUAUUUUUUAAGCCAUGAAAGUCCUAAAAUGAUUAGACUUGAUGGUGAUCUAAUGAUGUUGAAUACUACUUAACUACUAUAUUUAUCAAAGAUUAUUUCUAAUGGAAGUGUUUCAUGAGUGACGUCUCUAAAGGAUAAAGGUCGACCAUCUAUUACUUCUACUUGUAGAACUUUGGAUUUUUUGACGAUACAGAGUAGAUGUGAUCUAAAAAAUUCUUUGUCAAUAAAACAUGUAGAAGCUCUUGAAUCAAAUAAUGCAUGAUAUUCUAGUUUUGUGACUCCUAACGAUAUAAGUGUAGUAAAAUAAUGGGAAGGACCCGCAGAGAGUACAAGAUCUUUUUUGAUUUUUGAUAGUGAAGAAUCCAACCACACAAUGUUGUACUGUAAUUGCUUAUAGUAUAUAAAAAUUAAUUAGAAUAUAUAAUAUAUUCAUAAUUCUAGAUGUGUGUUAGAAAGGUUAAUAGAUUAAAUUGAAAAGAAUUGAUAUAAGUUUUUUUUUUUUUUUUUUUUUUUUUUUUUUUUUUUAAUACUUCUUUUGAUUUUGGCAUUAAAAAAAAUAUAAGACCUAAAUAUUUAGUAUGAAGCCUUGGGAGAAGGUAGAAGCCUAGAGAUGAAAAUUUAAACUAAUAGGAGACUAAUUGGGAGGGAUGAAAGCAAAGCAUGGUCAGAUGAAGGCAAGGAAUGGAAAACAUCAUUCCUAUUGAUCAAAUACCAUAUCUAAUAGGCUUUGAGGAGGCUACCUACGACCUUAAUAAGGAUUCUAGUAACUUCAAAGAGGGCAUUUGGAAAUUAAAAGAUAGAACUAUUAAAUUUAAGAUUUGGAUUAUAAUUUGUGUACAAAAAUUAAAAGAUUAGGAGUUAAAAUGAAGAAGAUAUAGCUGUUUGAAGUUAAGGUGUUAAUUUAAGAUAUAUUUUUACUCUUUUGAAGAUACGAGGAAUUGUACAAUAGCUUUUGAAGUUCAAAAAGUGCAAUUAGAACAAUGUUUUUAAGACCUAUAUCUUUUAUGAAAGAAUUGUUGCUUUUGGAAUGCAUGUGAAGGAGUUAUAGGGAGUUGAAGGCAUCACUUCCAAAUCAAAGGCAAUAAAUCAGUGAUUUUAUUUAUAGUAAUGGUUGGAGCCAUAACUUAAAUUUUUAUACAAAUUUUUAGCUCAAAAUUUUUGGAAAAUAUAAGAUUUUGUAUUAAAAAGCUAUAUAUAUAAAUUUUGUGGUAUUUGAGCUUAUAUUUUGUGAGAUAUGAAGAAAGUUGCACGUAGGUAUAUAAAAAUAAGGAUUUUAAGCGAUUGUUAGGGUUUUUAAGAGAUCUCAAGAUCAGCAACAAAUUUGUAGUUGAAAUUUAUUAUAGAAAUUAAAAAAAUAUAUUAAUAUCUCAUGUAAAAUUUGAGUUUGUUUGGAUGGUCGGAUUAAGAGAUACGAUGUGUUGAAGUUUGGGAAAAUUUCCACAUAAGAAUAUACAAGGUUUUAGAAGAUUUUAUCAUAUUUUGAAUGUUGUUGGUUACUUGAAAUUUAUAUAUUUGGUGUAAUUGCUCAAAAAGAGAAAAUUUACAUAUAAACUUAGGACUUCCUUUAUUUUGAAGCUUGACUAAACAAUUAGUAAUAGCCAAAAGCCUAGUAUUUUUUUGAGGUAAAUUCUCUCUACUCCAACAAUGGUUCUUAUUGUGGCUAAACACCCUUAUUUUUUUGCAACGCUUUUGAAGAUGUGGUAGCAAUCCUCAUUUGAUAUGUAUAUUAGCAUUUCUUUAAACAAUUAUUAACCUUAUAGUGAGGUUUUUUGCAAUAUAAGCAUAGGCCAAGUUCUCUUUGAUAUUUUUUUUUCUUGCUCAAAAAGACGUUUGAAGCGAACUGCAUCAAUUUGCAUAUCUUCUACUUCUAAAUAUUCAUUAGAAUUGGAUGGUGAAGAAGCUAUAGAAUAAUUGGUGUAUACAUGUCGCGUAAUUGAAGAAGAUUUAUCUUGUUGUCAUUGAAAUAAAUGGUUAUUGUACUUCACAGCUUGACUAAUGGCUUCAUUGAGUGUUAGAGGAUCUGACAUAAACAAUAAGAAGUCCUUGAUAUCAUCGCUUAAUUUCUAAUAAAAUUGGCUCAUCAAUGCAUCUUCUGUCUAAUUUAUAUCACAUGUUAAUUAUUAGAAAUUUGAGGCAUAUGGUGAUGCAAAAUAUGUUCCAUGUCGAAGGCUUCAAAUUUUGGUUAUUAAAGAACAAAUCUUAUCAUGUUUACCAAAUGCUUCCGUAAAUGCAACAAAAAAUGCUUCAAAAUUAUCAAAUAUAAGAGAAUUCUUUUCAAAUAAUGAAACAAAUUAAGAUAAAGCUUGACCUGAUAGCAAGGUUCCAACUAAACCCUUACGAGAUGCUUCAGUGGAAUAUUAUUGAAGUUGAAGGAAAGUCAUUAGUCAUACUUGAUUUGCAAAGCCACAAAAUUUUGAGCGGAUGCCAUCAAACUUUUCCAGAAGACUGAUCCUUGAUUCUUUUGGUAUUAUUAUUGUCAAAUCAUUGCCUUAAAUAGAUGCUUAUUGAUAUUUUAUCAUUCUUGAGUUUCUUUUAAUUACACUUUUAUUAUUGUAUGUAACUCUGAUAAACAAUUUUCUAAAUAUUUUGCUAAAAGAUUAUCAACUUUGAAAACAUCAAAAAUAUCAAAUUGUGGAUAAUAACCUUAAUUGGCAAAGAAAGGUGUUUAUUAAAUAGAAGAAUGUAUCAAAUUAUUGUAUGAAAACUUUGCUAAUGGUAAAAGAUUUGUUCAAUCAUCUUGAUGAUAAUUGAUGGUACACCUCAAAUAUUACUUCAAAACUUGAUUCAUUUGUUGUUGUAUGUCAUGAUUUUUUAUGUAAGUUUAUAUUGGAUACUUAGCUGUAGAGAGUUUAGCUUUAACUUAUUGGCCAAGUUCUAAUAAAUUAUUUAUUUUUAUUAUAUAAGAGAAAAUAAAUGUAAUAAUAUAGAAAGAUAUUCUAAUAAUAAAAAUCUUUUAUUUUUAAGAAGAUUUAUAUAGAAGGAUUUUUUAAGUAUCUAAAAAUAUCCUAAUAUCCUUUGCUAUAUCAAAUCAUAAUUAACUAUUUGUCGAUAAGUUAGAUUUUUCAUAUAUUCAAAGAAAAUCCAUAAUCUUUUAAUAAAAAUCUAUCUUUAUAUCAUAAUUUUUUCAUAGAUCUAUAUCUAUAUCUUUAACAUAAGUAUAAAUUCUGGGCUCUCAAAAACUCCCUUACUUUGUAUAAAAUAUCCAAAUUGUAGCAAAAUCUUUUUAAAAUAUUUUUCUCUCACAAAAUUAUUUGUCUCCAAACUUUAGAAUAUCAUAUCUCUUGAUCCAACUAUUAAAUUUAUCUCAAAUUUCUACAUAAUUUUACAUUUAUCCUAAAGCUUUAAUAAAAAAAAAAUUAAUUGUAAAUCUACUAUACAACAUUUGGUACCUUAGAAAUCCUAUCAAGUGCUCUAAAUCCUAAUUUAUAAGCAUCCAAUUACUUCUUUCUUCAUAUUUCAAAAAUCCAAAAUCCAAAUACUAUAAAAUUUGAUAUAUAUCUUUAUAAUAUAGUAGUACAUAUUUAAAAAAAAAUAGGUGAAGAUUCUUUAAAAUAUCUAAAAUAUGGCUAAAAUCAAAUUCUUUAUGAAAUUGGUUCACUAAGAAACCUCAAUUUGAAAGCACUAUCUUCAACUAGACAUUAUUCCUCUAAAUCAACUUUAAACCUUUUGUAUUUUAUAUGUAAAAUAUAGUCUUUGAAUCAACUUUCUAAUUACUAAAUUUGAUCUUCAAAAGCAUUUCAUAUGCAUGUGCUAUGUCUCAAAGAGUAACAAUAGGUACAAAAUCAAUAUAUUAACUUUAAGUGCCUAUAUCUUCUUUAUAAAAACUCCAAAUCAUAUAUAAUGAUUAACAAAACUAUACCCAAAAUCUUAAACUUGACGACUUCAAUAUUUGAUGUUUAAAUAAUCUUAAAAGAAUAAUCUUAUUUCCUAAUAAGGCCUCAGGCAACCUCCUUGAAGUCCAUUGGCCAUGACUUUUGGCUAAAAAGAAUGGAGAGUUUCAUCAUCUAUCUUGAUUUAUUUAUAUGAUUGGCUUUACCAUUCUUUUUUAUACAAAAAUCCUUUUUUAAUUCUUUUUUUAAUAAUUUUAAUAUAAUGUGUGUCCUAAACACCAAAUAAAAAAAAUAAAAUAAGAUUUCAAGAAUCAUCAAUGUCUAAUAAAGGUGGCUCUAAAUAUAUAAAAACUAUUAUCAAUAUAAAAUCAACCUUAAUAAUGGUCUUUAUAAACUAAUUAAAUAAAAAUAGAAAUCUAAUCAUAUUUUAUAAAUAAUUAAAAUCUAAUAACAUGGUUUUUAUUAUAUUAUAUAAUAAAUUAUAUAUUAUAUAUAUAUAUAUAUAUAUAUAUAUAUAUAUAUAUUAUUUUUACAUAGUAGCCAAAUCACAAUACAACACCAUUAUAUUUGCCUAUUAGUUUUAACAUAAAAAGUCAAAGAGAGCUUUAUGUACCUUUAAAAUUUCAAAAAUAAUUCUUCAAAAUCUUAAUACAAAUUAAGUCCUUCUAUCCAAUAUAAUAUCUUUGGACAAUCUAUGAUAGCGAUAAAUGUUAUUAAGAAAAAAUUUAGGUAUUUCUUUACUUGUGAUAGAUUUUGUAUAUGAUAUAAAAUAUGCUAUUUUGAUAAAAUAAUCUACUAUCACAAAUAUAGAAUCAUAUAAACUUGAGACCAAAAGAUCUAAUAUAAAAUCAAUAGAAAGAGAAGACGAUAAUUUUUUUGGAAUAAGUAAUAGCGAGAAAAGUCCUUAAGGUCAAUGACGAGGAGUUUUUGAUCUUGAACAAAUAUUACAUGAUUAUACAAAGUCUCUAACUGCCUUCUACAUUUGAAACCACCAAAAAUGUUUCAAUAUUAGUUCUAUAGUCUUAUUGUAUCCAAAUUGUCCAGCUAUUAGAAAGUUAUGAUAAGCUUGAAAAACACGUAAUUGUACUUUGACUUCUAGAAUGUAUAAUAGUCCUUCAAAAUUGAAUAAAUUAUUCUUGAAUUCAAAUUUGGAAAUAUUAUGAGAUUUAAAAGAAUUAUUUUUAAUAUCAUAAAUAAGAAGAUUAGAGGACAUACUUAAUUUAAUAUGCUUUACAAAGAUUGAAUCAACAUUCAAUGUUGAUUUUAUUAUUGAAAGUUGAAAAUAUUCUAACUUUAAGAGGAUUAUUUUAGUUAAUCAAAAGCUAAUAUUUUUUCUUUUGGUAUAAGAUAAAAACAUCGAGAAAGGGCAUUUAAUAAAUCUUGUUGUUUUUUGAGUUGAUAAGUAAUCUUAAAAUCAAAUCAUGAUAAAAACAUGCUCUCAUGAGCUUGGUGAAAAUUCAAAACAUGUAUUAAUAUGAAGUACUCAAGAUUCUUAUGAACUAUAUAUAUAAUGACUAGACUAGAAGAGCCUUCUAGAUAAUGAUGCUAUUCUUGAAAUGAAUCCACAAUUAUAAGAAUCUCUUUAUCAUGGAUUUCAUAAUUAAUCUUUACCGCUGAAAAUUCUUAGAACAAAAAGUUACCAAGUGGAGCUUGUCAUUUGCUCCUAUUUGUGACAAAAUAGCAACUAUAGCAAAGUCUAAUGCAUUUAUUUCUAUAAAGAAUACCUUCAAAAAGUUGAUGCAAAAAUAAAUUUUAUCUUUAAGGCUUCAAAAGAUGCUUCAACUUCUUUGUUCCACUCAAGUUUAUUUUUACAUGUCAAGUUUGUAAGAAAGGUCGCAACUUGAAAAAAAUUCUUGAUGAAGAUUCUAUAGUAAUUGUCAAAUUUCAAAAAAUAUUGCAUAUCUUUGACUAUUUUUCAAAUCUUUUAAUCUACAAUAGUUUGAACAUUCUUAGAAUUCAUCAUAAGACCCUAGUUUGAAAUGAUGUAUCUUAAGUCAACUUGAAUAGUAUUGAAUAUAUACUUUUUCAUCUUUGCAUAUAAUCCUGUACCUCUUAAAUUUUUUAACACGUGAUGAAUAUAAUUUUUUUUUUUUUUUUUUUUUUAUAGAAUAAAUUAAAAUAUCAUUUGAAUAAUAGAUAAUAAAAUCAUCAAAAAACUCACAAAAAUAUCAUUCCUUAUAUGUAGAAAAGCAACUGGUAUAUUUGUGAAUCCAAAAAGCAUGACAUUAUAUUCAAAAUGCCCAUAGUUUUUUAUUUUUAUUUUUAUUUUUCUCCUUCUUUAAAAUAUAUCAGAUUAUAUGUUUUUGUAGAUCUAUUUUUGUAUAGAUCUUUGCUUCAUUAAAUUAAUCAAGAAAUCUUGAAAUCAAGGAUAGAUAGUACAUAUGCUUGAUAGUGAUCUUGUUAAGUACUUAAUAGUCUACACAUCCCUAGAGAUCUGUCAUUUUUCUUUAUAAAUAAGAUAGGAGUCCUAGUUAGAGAUUUAAAAUGGCAUAUGAAGUUCUUAGCCAAAUUCUCAUUAAUAUAUUCUUUGAGUAUAGCCAACUUUUUUUGUGAUAGGUUAUUAAUUAGUCUAAAUAGUGGUUGAGUUGUUUUUUGAAGAUUGAUGGAACUAUCAUAAAGACAACAAUUUAAAAGAAUAUUUCAUUUUUUUUUCAAAGACAUCUUGAUUAACUUAAUAUUGCAUUAGAAUGCCACUUAAAAUCUUUUUUCUAUCAAAAAUAGAUCUGAUAUAUAUAACAAAAGUUGAUUUCUUUUGUAGCAUGCAUGAAAGUUCUCUCACCUAUCAAUAAUGGUUUAGAUAUAUUGGUCUUACGGAUUUUUAUUUGCCUAGCAAAAUAUUAGGCUAAAAUAUGGAAAAAAUAAUAUAGGAAGUUUAAAACAUAUAAUAUCAAUUUAUAUUGAUUUCAGUCUUGAUGAAUAAAUUUUUGAAAACUUGAGAGCUACCAUUAUUACUUAAUUUGUUUUUCUUUAGCCAAAUCUUUGUUUUUAAUGCCUUUUAAAUAAUAAAUUAUUAUAUAUAAUGGUUUAAGUAAUGAAUUAUUUAAAAGAUUUUGCUUUUGAUAUUGUUAAUAAUAAAUCUUUGAAAUUGUCCUUCAAACCAUAUCAAAAUUGAUUGAUAAGGGCUUUGCCAUUGUAGUCUGUGUUACCUGUGAGGUUUUAGAAUUCAAUAGCAUAUAUGGAGGCUGACCAUGAUUCUUAUUAUAAAGAUAAGAGAUUGAUCUUUGCUAUUAUUUUUCAAUCAUUUUUUCUAUAAGUCAAAUUAGAAGAAGAUAAUCCACAACUUCUAAUGUCAAAUAAAAAUUUCUAUGAAAAAGUAUAAUUUUCUUUCUUUAAAAUAAAAAUCAAUAUUAAAAAAUUAAAUAGUUUCUUUAAAGGUGGAUAAUUUUUAAUCUUAAAAAUAAAAUAAUAGAAGUAUAAUAAUCCACUAAUUUCUAAAAUAAGAUAAGAAUAAUGAAUUAGAAUUCUUAUCAAAUUAUUAAGGAUAUGAACAUCAAAGAAUUAAAAUAUCUAUAUACUCUUAUAUCACUCAAAAAGACUAAAAAAUCACUCAAAGAUAAUAUAUUAUUAAAUUAGAAUGUCUUGCCAAAAAUAAGAAGAUUAAAAAGACUUAAAAUAAAACUAAGGACUAAAAAGAUAUUGACAGGAGUAAAAGAGACUUCAUUCUUGCCUCCACAUAUAUUCUUGAAUAAGAUCUAUAUAGUGAUAUCCUAUAAGAUCUCCAAAAUAUAUUGACUUUGCAAGACACAUAUCUUAACUUAUAAGGCAAGUUUUUUAUAUGUGCACCACAUUGUUAACUUGUUCUAUAAGCUACCAAUAUGUGAUUAACUUGUUGAUUAAGUUUCUAACCUUUCUAUUAAUUAUAAAUACUUUAUUGCUUUGACUUUAUAUUGCUUUAUAAAGUCAAAGUAAUAUUGUUGUAAUAUAGUAUAAAUAAUAUAUAAAAAGAGUGAAGAAAUUAUUAUACUAUAGAAGAUUUUACUUCAAAUAUUGUAACAAAUCAUCUUAGAAAAUAGAUAAUAGUCUAAAAGAAAGUAAAACUAAAGUCGUAAAUGCUACCUUUUUGUAAAGUAGGCUUCUACUUACUUUUUAAGGCCAUAAAUAAGACAAAAUAAGGUAGAUUAGAAAAUAAAAAAUAUGAGCAUAUAUGAGAGGAAGUUAGAAGUUAAUUUUAAUAAAAAUUAAUUUAAAAAAUAAAAUUUGAUACCUAGAGAGGACCAAUUAUUAAUUAGGAUUGAAAUCAUAUCCCAAGACACAAAACCAAGUACCUAUAGCAAUUCUAGAGUUUUUUGGCAAAUCAAAGAACAAAAUUUGAGAAAAAAUUCUAUAAGGUUUUUUUAGGCAUUGAUUUUGAAAGAUUUGAAUGUAUAAUAACUCUGUAAGAGCUUUGCAAAUUCAUAGUUGUUUUGAAUGAUUCUAAAGUUUAUGAAUAAAAAAAAUAUUAUAUUUUAGAAAAUUUUAUAAAUUUAGUAGUAGAUUUAUAAUUCAAAUUUUGAGAACUUAUAUGAAUAAUUGUUUAAAAUAUAUGCUAUAAGUUUGAUCUUAAUGUAAUGGUUGAAUUGAAGAUAAUUGAAUUUUUAGUAGGUUGAGGUCUCAAAAAUUGGACUUUGAAGGGCAAAUAAGAUUUCUAAAAUCUUUAAUAAUAUACUAGUUAAAUUGGAGUGAAAUUUAUGUGUGAUAGUAUUAGACUUGAUUUACUAUAUGUAUGUGAAAUUUGAGAAUAAUUGAAUGGUUUAAAAAGAAGAUAUUGGCAUUGGAAGUUCAACAUUCAAAUUGGAGCAGGAGGCUGACCAAUACUUGAGCGGAUUUUAGGAUUUUUCUUCUCUUUGAUAAGUGCGAUUAUCUUCAAAAUUCAUGAGUUUGUUGCUAAUUUAGUUUUUGAGAAGUUUGUAAAAUUUUAAAGAAGAUCAAUGAUUUGAAUUGAUAGAUAUUGAGGUUCUAAAUUGUAUUAGGAUUAGGUUGAGUUGGUUUGAUUUUGGAUCAGUGUUGAGUUAAGAAUUAGAAUUUGGUUAAGAUUUGGUUAGGAUUUAGGAUUUGAAAUUUAAGAUUUGCUUAGGAUUUAAGAUUUAAGGUUUACUUAGGCUUUAGGAUUUGGCUUAGGAUUUGAUUAAAUUCCAUUAGGAUUUCGACAAGGAUUAGAUUGGAACUUGAUUGAGAUUUAUUUAAGAUAUAUUUGUAAUUAUUUUAAUAUUCUUUUAGAAUUUCUAAGGAAUUAUUUAAAGAUUUAUUAUGGAUUUCUUUUGAACUUUUUAAAGAUUUUCUAUCUUUUCUUUUGUAAUUUCUUUAAUUUUUUUUUUAAUUUAAUUAAAGCUUGGUUAGUAUUAUUACACUUUAAUUAAAAUUUAUUUAGUAUUCUAUUAGAAUUAGGAUUUUAUUGUGGAAAUUUUCAUUCUACUUUCUCUAACUAGGGGCUUGGUGCAUUCUUAAGCAAGACUUUAUAUAAUAUAAUAACAUCUAUGAAGCUUUGAAGCAGCUACUUUAAAAAAUAUUAUGAAAUAAAUCUACUUUUACUUAAUUUUACUUAAUCAUGUAAGAAAAUAUUAACCAUAAUCCAAUAUAUUAUCAUCUUUGAAUAUUUCAAUUAUAAUCCAAUAUAUUGUCAUCUUUGAAUAUUUUUUUUAAUCUUUUGAAUAACAUAAGAAUAUAUUGAGUUUUUUUUUCUUUAAAUUCACGUCUCUAACAAUAAGGUACAAAAUUCAUUUUAUAUUACUUUGUCAUGUCUUUAGAUACUCUAAAGGCUUUGUAAUUUAAAGUACUACAAAGACUUGCAAAUGUAGUUGAUAUAAGAAAGUAUUGAUCUGAUUGUAGCAUGAUGCAUUGGUAUUCUUUAAAGAAAUUUAUAGAGAACAAUAGUACAUGUAUAUUAUACUUUGAUUAUUACAAAAAAAAUUGGACAAUAAUAGAAUUGGUACAAAAAUAAUAAGAUGAUUUGAGGCAACAUAAAAUUACAAUAUAUAACUAUACAACAUAAAUGUUAACAAUGAGCAAAGACUUGCAUUCUUUUAAGUAUAUUUAACAAGUCUACUAACUUCAUUAAUUCCAUAAAAAGAACGUUCCAUGCAAAAAAUUCAUAAUAACUUCAAAAAAAAGCAUUUGAGACUAAUAUAAGUUUUCAUUUUAUAUGUAAAAAAAGAUCAAUUGAAAAUACACUAAUUAAAAAGAAUCAUAUAUUACAAUUUUAAGAAUCCAAAUACUUAGAUCAAGUAAAUAAACAAACGAUAGAUGUAUUGGUUGAAAGAAAUGGAAGACAAAUUGGAAUCAAAUAUGCCCCUAUUAGAAGAUAUUUUAAAUGAGGUAGAUGAGUAUGACUUUGAGAUGUUGAAUGUUGGAAGAAUAAAGUUUGUCACUAUAGUCAACACCUUUGCUUUAAAAAACAUAUACUUAGUGUUUAUUGUGAUGGUAUUUUUGGGCCAUGAAAAAAAUAAUGUUUUAAGAAAAGAAGAUGCAUAUGUAUUUAUUGAUUGAGAUGAAAUACAUUUAAGGCACUUUCUUAACUAGCUUCAUGAUAGCAUCGUCUUAUCUAAAUUAGAGAUAUCAAAAUAUUAUGAGAUUCUUCAAAAAAUAAAGUAUUAUAUUUUGACAAAUUUAAUAGACAUUGUGUUAUUGACAUCAAACAAAAAAUAUGAAACAUUUGUGUAAAGUCAAGAGCAAUCAAGAAAGAAAAGAUUUCUUUAUUAAUUAUAUCUAAGAUUGUCUAAAUGACAAAGCCUAAGUUGAAUUGCUUGGAUGUAAAUAAAUUGUAGCAAUAUGAGCUUAGUAUGUAUAUGUGAAAAAAGUAAAUCCUUUAGGACUUAUCAAAUGAACUUAUCAAAUCUAGAUUUAAGAGAGAAAUAUUUUCAUAAUGUUCAAUUGAUCAACAUUAACUUUGAAAAUAUGUACCUCAUGAAUGCAAGUUUAAAAAAUUAUAGAGUUAAUAGAUUUAGUUUCAAAAAUAAUAUAUUUUAAUAUUGUGACUUCAUAAGUGUUACGAUUAUACAUAGUUAUUUCAAUAAUUAUCUAUAUAAUUAUAUAGAAAUAGAUAAAAACAAAUUAAUUUCAUAAUAUCUUUUAGAAAAGCUUGUUAGAAGCUUCAUAGAUGCGAUUUUGACUUUAAACAUGUUUGAAGUUGAUUAAUAUGUUAAAAACGUAGUCAACAAGUUAACUUCAUAUUAUUAGGUUAAAAAAUAAGUUAAUUAUGUGGUGCAUAUAUAAAAAAAUUGCCUUGCAAGUUAAGAUACAUGUCUUACAAAGUCAACAUGUAUUGGAGGUCCUAUAGAAUAUUAUCAUAUAGCUUCUACUAAGAUAGUAUAUAUAGAAGCAAGAGUGAAGCCUUCUUCAUUCUUAUCAAUGCCUUUUUAGCCCUUAAUCUUAUUUCAAGACUUUCUAGUCUUCUUGUCUUUGGUAAUAGCCAUUUUAGUUUAAUACUAUAUCACCUUUGAGUGAUUUUUUACUCUUUUCAAGUGAUUUUUUAGAAUGUAUCAAUAAUUUUGUUAUUUGAGGUUAAUAUCCCUAAUAAUUUGAUAAAAAUAUUAAUUUAUUAUUCUUUUUUUGUUUUAGAAAUGAAUAGAUUACUCCACUUCUAUUUUUAUUUUAAAGAUUAUAGAUUAUCUACCUUGAAAUAAAUUAUAUAAUUUUAUAAUAUUAAUUUUAUUUUAAAGAGAAAAUUAUUUCUUUUUGUAGAAAUUUUUAUUUGACAUUAGAAGUUGUAAAUUAUCCUCUUCUAAUUUCACUUGUGAAUUAAUCAAGUUAUUUAAAAUGGAAGAAAAAAUCAUAGAUGCUAUACUUGGUAGAAGCUAGAAUAGAUUUAUAAUUAUUGUAGAUCUUUACAAACUUGUCAAUACUUUUAGAAUAGAAAUUUUAUGCAUCAACACUGCUAAAUACUAUAACACUAAUCAUAUGUAUAUAGAAGAAGUUCAAAAUCUAUGUCAAUAAAUUGUGCAGUUAAAAGAAACAAAUAGAUCGACUUCACAACCAAAUCUAGGAAGUUUUGCUUCUACAAGUACAAUAGAGACAUUGAUUAGUAUGCUCAAUAAGUUUGAUAGAAUGAGAUCAAAAUUUUGAGGAUUUUUGUAAUAAGGCAAGCCUUAUCUAAAGUUGCAUUUAUUCCAAUACUUUAAAGGAUUUAUAUAAGUUUGAUACAUAAAUAUACUUUUAUCUAAAAUUAACAUCUUUUUAUUUGUACCAUUAAUAGAAAAAAAAUUCAUAACUCUUUUAUAAUUUAAAUUUAUUUUUAAAAGUAUUUAUGGCUAUAUUUAAGAAAAAAUAAAUAAAAAAGAGUAGCAAAGACUAAGCUCUUAUCUUUAUGGCAAUGAUCAUUUUCAGCUAUUAUAUAUACUAUUGAAUUCCAAAACCUUGCUUAUAACAUGGACAAAAAUGAUAAAGUCUUUAUCAAUCAAUUUUAAUAUGGGUUGAAGGAUAAUAUCAAAGAUUUAUUAUUGAUAAUACUAAAAAUAAAUUUUUUUGAAUGAUUUAUUGCUCAAGUCAUUGCAUGUAAUGAUCAAUUAUUUAAAAGGUGUCAAGAAUAAAAAUUUGGCUAGAAAAGAACAACCUAAGUAAUGAUAGCAGUUUCUAUGUUUUCACAAACUUAUUUAUCAAACCAAAACUAAUGCAAAUUAUUACAAUAUAUUUUAAAUCUCUUAUAGAAUAAGAAAAGACUUUAUGUUGUUAAGAGGGUUUGUGCUUAUAUUAUAGAGAAGGUAAGCACAUUGGUCAACAUUGUCUAAAGAAGCAACUCAAUUAUAAAAUGAGGAGUACAAUUACCACACAAGAUAAUGUAUCAAAAAAUAAGUUUUCCUAGCUAUAAUUGGGACCGUGAAAUUGAAAUCAUGUGCAAAACCAAAUAAAGGUCCUAUUCUCUUCUCAAAUUCUUAACCUUAUUUUAUAAUAGAUGUAUAUUUAGGGCCUAAAAAUCACAAAGUUUUUAUAUUAUUAAAUUCAAGAGCUUGAGCCUAUUUUAUAGGUAAAGACUUUGUCAAAAAAUAAGAAAUAUCUUUAGUCAAGAAAACUAAACCCAUGCCUGCAAAAAUCAUAGAUGGUCAUUUUUUUCUCUCAUGGAGAUGUUACUUUUGAGAUUAUUUCUUUAGAUGUAGCAAUUAAAGAUCAUAAUAGUAUAGUGAUAUUUAAUAUAAUAAUUUUUCUCUAUAAUCUAAUUAUUUUAGGAUUAUUGUGAUUAAAAAAAUAUAAUCUUCAAAUAGAUUGGAUUUCUUGUAUAUAUAAUAGCUGACAAAGCACUAUCUAUAAAGCUUCUUAGAAGCUUUUUUGGAAGAUAUUAUGAAAUCAACCUACUUUUAUUUAUUCAUAUCUAAUCAUGUAGGUAUUUAUUAGAAUAAAUAUGUAUAUCCAUGACAUUACUCCUAUUUUUAGAGAGGAAUUCCAUAAAGGGCGGUCUUCAUAUGUUGAAAAAAUUCAAAAUGUGGUAAAUUAUAUUUGCCACAUACUCUAAUCUUUGUUUUCUUUGAAGAUGGUUGAUUGGUCCUCUUAGCUAUUGAUAGAGUCCUAUACCAAGGUAAAAAGAUCACCUUAUUAUUUGAUUGUUGUUGAGAUCUUUGUAACUUCUUUCAAAUAAAACAUUUAGAAUAUUGUCAGGAGUUGUUCCUACCUCUAAUAAAAUCACCAAAUAUCAAGAGUCUCUUCUAAGGUUGUGAUACCAAAUACGUUUUUGGAAUAGAAAGUGUUUGCCUCAAAAAAGCGAUGGACAUCUAGUUGCCACUAAAUGCUCAAUCAAGUCUAAAAUGUUACAGUUUCAAAUUUAUAUAUAUAAUAUAUUUUUUUUUAGGACAAUUACAUAAAAACAUAAGCCUAAGUACAAAAAUAAUAUCAAAAAAUAUGAUAAAACAUCUUCAAAUCUUUUAUAUCUUCAUGAGAAAUUUUUCUCAAAUUUCAACAAUUCAUAUCUCAAGAUCUAAUAGUCAAAACAAACUAAAAUUUUACAUAAAGUACUGAUAUACUUUCAACAACUAUCAAAACAAACUUCAACUAAAAAGUCAUUACAGAUCUUUAAAUAUUACCAAAAUCCUAAUAGUAGCUUCAAAUCUUUGUUUACAUACACUUGUAUGCACUUUUCUUCAUAUCUCACAAACUAAAUAUUUAAAUACUAUGAAACUUUGAUAUAAAGCUUUUUAAUCUAAUAACACACACUUAUAAAAAUUUUGAGCCAAAAAUUCAUCUAAAAACUCAAGAUAUGACUCCAACCAUUACUAAUAAUAAAAUAACUUACUUAUUGUCUUUGAAUUACAUGUAUUGUCUUCAAUACCUUAUAACUCCUCAUUUAGAUUUAGAAUUCAUCAAAUAAUAUAUAAAAUUAUAACUAAAAAAGUGCUUUUUUCAAUUCCAAUUGCUGAUCCUUUAUUGCUCUCUGUAAGCAUAUGUUAUGCCCCAAAGAGUGACAAUAUAUACAAAAUUGACACUUUAACUUUGAGUGCCUAUAACUCCUUCAUAAAAACUCUAAAUCAUAUAAAAUUUGCAUCCAAAAUAUAUCCAAAAAUCUAAGCUUUCUGACCUUUGUCUUCAAAGCUUGGAUGACUUCGAAAAAAAAACCCUAAUCCCUAAUAAGACCUUGGACAGCCUCCUUGAAGCCCAUUGGGUAUGACAUUCAUCCAAUUAGGAUGAAGAUCUUUACUCCUUACCUUCAUCCAACUAUACCUUGCUUUCAUCCUUUCCAAUAAGCCUUUUAAUAGUUUAAACUUUCAUCUUUAGAUUCCAAUCUUCUCUUAAGCUUUAUAAUAAAUAUCUAAAUCCUACAUAAUAUAAACACUAUAAUUAAAAUAGAUAAACCUCCAAAUAAUUUUUUUUAUAUCAACUCUCUUUAAAUUUACUUAUUAACCACUAUAAUCCACAUCAAGAUUUAUAAACAUAAUAUAUAUUUUAAUUAAUCUUUAUAUACUAUAAGCACCUACAAUACAACAAUGUUUUUUAGGAUUUUAAAGGUGGACCUGAAAUUAUUUUUGACAUUCUAUUCUCUAAUUGAUGGAUAAAUAAAGUAUAUAAAUCAAGUUUUGAAAUAGUAUUUGAAAUAUAUCAUCAACUAUCAAUAAAAUGAUUAGAAAAUUCUUUUGUCAUUAGCAAAGUUUUCUUAUAAUAAUACAAUAUAUUAUUCUAUGCAACAAACAUAUUUCUUUGCUAAUUAUGAUUAUCAUCUAUGAUUUGAUACUUUUGACUUUUUAAAAUUUGAUAUUUUUGUGGCAAAAGAUUUAAAAAAUUAUUUAUUUGAGUUAUAUAUAAUAAUAAAGGUAUAACUAAAAGAAGUUUUAAAAUAAUAAAAAAUAGCAUAAAUAUUUAUUAUAAGAAAUAAACUCAUUUUAAUAUUGGUGAUAAGAUAUGAUUAUUUUGUCAUAAUAUUAAAAUUAUUUACUCUUGUGACAAGUUGGAUUAUUAUAGAUUUGUAUUUUUAUUUUUAUUUUUCAACAAGUCAAUCUAAUUUCUUAUUAAUUACAUCUACUAGAGUGUAUAAAAAUCAAUUCCUUAUUUUACAUAUCGCUUUUAAAAAGAUAUAAAAAAUGAAUAUCUUAAAAAAUAGACAAAUACCACCAUAUCUUAUAGAAGUGGAUAAUAAUCACAAAUUUAAGGUAGAAGAAGUUUUAAACUCAAGGUAGUGCCAACUAAGGUUGAAAUAUCUUAUUUAUUAAUAUAGAUACAAUAUUAAUGAAUACACAUGGAAGCUAGCAAAAUAUUUUAUAAAUACAGCAAAGAAGGUCAAAACUUUUUAUUAAUGAUAUUUAUCAAGAUUAAGAUGAAAGAUAGCAAAACUUUGCUAUAAAAAAAUAUAAUUUAAAAAAAAUUACAUCUACCUUCUAUUUUUAUUUAUAAUUUUUGUGUAACUAUGAAAUCAAGUAGAUAAAAAACCAACAACUAGUAGAUUCAAUUCAAGAGCCAUUAUUUGUUGACUUCUUGAACAAGACAUUGAAAUUAUAUUAGUGUUUAAGACAACAUAAUAGAGGUGAAGAACUUUAAGAAUGACAUGUUCUUUUUUGAAUAGAUGGAAAAAUAUAAUGUGUUCGAUAUCACGAUUUGUGAAGAGAAUUUCAAUGUUUGGUGAUUUUAUUAAAAGUAAAAAUGACUUUGAUAGUAUCACAAAUGUUUUAUUUGAAGGAAGUUAUAAAGGUCUCAACAAUAAUCAAAUAAGGAGGUGGUCUUUCUACCUUAAAAUGAGAUAUUAUUGAUAGCUAAAAGAACUUAUUAACUACCUUCAAAAAGAAUAAAGAUCAAAAUAUAUAUCAAAUAAAAUUUUUCACGUCUUAGACUUCCUCAACUUGUGAUUAUUGCUUCUUGUGGAAUUUGUAUCUAAAAAAAGAAAUAAUAUCACAAACAUAUAUUUAUCAUAAUUAUUAUUUAAAUAAUAUGAAUAAAUAGAAAUAAAUAAAAAUAGAUUAAUUUCAUAUUAUCUUUUAGAAUAGCUUCUUAGAAGCUUCAUAGAUAUUGUUUUGAUUUUAUAUAUGUUUAUAGUUGAUUGAUAGAUUAGAAACUUGGUCAAUAAAUUAACCACAUGAUAUACAUAUUAGCAGCUUGCAGAAUAAGGUAACUAUGUGGCAUGCAUAUACAAAACUUAUCUUGUAAAUUAAGAUGCAUAUUAUAUAAAGUAAAUAUGUUUUGGCGGCCUUAUAAUACUCGCCACGUAGCUCCUAAGUAGAUAGUAUAUACUGAAGCAAGAGUAAACUUUCUUUACUCUUCUCAAUUCUUUUUUUGCUUUUAGUCUAGUUUCAAGAGUCUCUAGUUUUCUUCUUUUUUUGUCAUAGUUAUUCCAAUUUCUUUUUAAUAUGCAUACUUCCUUAUUUCUAUUUUUUCAUAUUUCUUUGAGAAAGUCUCACUUAUUUAUUUAUUUUUAUCAAGUUCUUAUCUUUGUUAAUAACAUGAAUAGGACAUCAAUUUUGUUGGCUUGUUGUUACUACUUGCCAUGUGCUAAGGAAAAAAACUUGAUAAAAGCAAAUAAAUAAAUAAAAAUCUCUCAAAGCAAUAAAAAUAGAGAAGUAUAUAUAUUAAAAGAAAAACUGAAAUAUCUAUUGCCAAAAGACAAAAAAACUAGAGAAUCUUGAAUUCAGACUAGAAAUAAAAAAAAAAAAAAAAAAAAAAAAAUUGAUAAAAAUAAAGAAGACUUUAGUCUUGCCUCUAUAUUUACUAUCUACCUAAGAUCUAUAUGGCAAUGUUCUAUAGGACCUCCAAAAACAUGUUGACUUUGCAUGAUAUAUAUUUUGACUUACAAGACAAGUUUUCUAUAUAUAGGCGCCACAUAAUUAGCUGGUUUUGUAAGCUACCAAUACAUGUGGCACAUAGAUAGCUUAUUGACCAAGUUUUUAACCUAUCAAUCAACUACAAAUAUAUAUAAAGUCAAAACAGCAUCUAGUAAGCUUCUAAGAAGCUUUUUAAAAAGGUAUUAUAAAAUUAAUAUACUUUUACUUAAUUCUACUUAUUUAUAUUAGCUAGAUAAUAACUAUAGUAGAUAUAUAUAUUCAUGACAUUACUCCCUCUUCUAUAGACAAGUUCUACAAAGAAUAAUGAUCAUAUGUUGAAGAAGUCUAAGAUGAGGCAAAUUGUAUUUGCAUCAUACUCUAAUCUUUGUUUUCUUUGAAGGUAGUUAAUAGGUCCUCUCAGCCAUUGAUAAUGUUCUAUUUUAGGGCGGAAAGACUACUCUAUGAUUUGAUCAUUGUUGAAACCUUCGUAACUUCCUUCAAACAAAAUAUUAGUAAUACCAUCAAAAAUCGUACCUACCUCCAAUAAAAUCACCAAAUAUGGAGAAUCUUUUUUCAAAUCAUGAUAUCAAAUAUAUUGUAUCCUACCAUUUAUUUAAGGAAUAAUAUUUCAUUCUUCAAGGUAUUCAUUUCUAUUAUAUCAUCUUGAAGGCUAUGAUAAUCAUAAUAUCUUAUCUGAUAAGUUAACAAAUCAUGUCUCUUGAAUUGAAUCCACUAGCUAUUGGUUCUCCAUCUCUUGAAUGCCACAAUUAUAUAAAAACUAUAAAAAAAAAGAUAAAAAGUAGAAUGAAAUCUUUUCUAAAUUGUAUUUCUUUUAUAGCAAAGAUUUAUUAUUCAUCAUCUUGAUUUUGAUAGAUGUCAUUGAUAAAAAAAACUUCCACCAUCUUUGCUGCACUCACAAGAUUUUUUACUGGCUCUCAUGUGCAUUUACUAGUAUCAUAUUCCUGCCAAUGGACAAGAUAUUUCAACUUGUUUCGAUGCCACCUUAGUCUAAAACUUUUUUUCACUUCAAAUUCUUCAUUAUUUUCUACUUCUAUACAAAGAGGGAGAACUUGUCUUUUUUUUUGGUAUGUUCACAGACUUAUAUAGUUUAAGAAGAGAAAUGUCAAAUAUAGGAUAGAUUUUUAUUGGCUCUAGUUAAUGUAAUCGAUAAACAACUGGUUGAUUUGUCUAUAAAUAAGAAAAGGUCUAAGCUUACAGUAGUUCAACUUGUCACAAGGACAAGUAAUCUUAAUAUUAUGACAAAAUAAUCAUACUUUGUAACCUACAUUGAAUUGUAGUUGUUCUUUUUGAUAGGCAUCCAAGUUGAUAUUUUUUCAUUGUUAAGCUUCUUUUAAUUGUACCUUCAUUGUUGCAUGUAGCUUUGACAAAUGAUUUGCAAAAUCUUCUACCGAAAGAUUAUUAAUUUUUGAAAAGUCAAAAGUAUCAAGUUAUAGAUGAUAAUUAUAAUUAGAAAAAAAAUAUUUUUUUUACAUAGAAGAAAGUAUUGUAAUAAUAUAAGCAAAUUUUGUCAAUGGCAAGAGGAAUUUUUAAUUGUCUUGUUAAUAAUUAAUAGUACACUUUCAGUAUUGCUCCAAAACUUAGUUUACGCAAUUUGUCUAUACGUUAGUUUAAGGAUAAAAGGCCAAAAAAAGCUUUAUGUCUACUUUUAGAAUCUAAAAAAAUAUUUUUUAAAAACUUAAUACAAAUUGAAUCUUCCUAUUUGAUAUAAUAUCUUUCGAUAAUCGAAGAUAUUUAUAGAUAUUAUCAAAGAAAAGUUUGGUAAUUUUUUUACAUAUAAUAGAUCUUAGACAAGGUAUAAAAUAAACUAUUUUGAUAAAAUAAUCUACUAUUAUAAAUAUGAAAACAUACAAAAUUGAGACUAGAACAUCGAUAAUAAGAUCCAUAGAAACAGAAAACCAUGAUUAAUUUGGAAUAGGUAAUGGCUAAAAAAGUCCAUAAAAUCAAUGACAAGGAUUUUUUGAUCUUAAACAAAUGUCACAUGAUUGAAUGAAGUCUUUUACAUCCUUUCAUAUUUGCAACCACCAAAAAUCUUUCAUUAUUAAUUCCAAAGUCUUUUUUAAUCCAAAAUAUCUUAUUGGAAUAUAUAGGUAUCUUUCAAAAUAAAGUAGGUUAUUCUUGAACUUGAACUUCAAAGUUUCACAAGACUUAAAAGAAAUAUUCUUGAUAUCAUAAACAAGAAGAUCAAAGGACAUACUUGAUUGAAUUUGAUUAAAAAAAAUUGAAUCCAUAGUCAAUGUUGAUUUCACUACUCAAAGAUGAAGUUGUUCUAGCUUCAAUAAAAUUAUCUUUUUUUGAUUAAAAGCUACAUUUUUUUUUACUUUAAGUAUAAGAUAAGAAUGAUUAGAAAUGACAAUAAACAAACCUUUUUGUUUUCUUAGUCGAUAAGUAAUAUUGAACUUGAAUCUUGACAAAGACAUGUUGCAACAAGCUUGGCAAUGAUUCAAAUCAAAUUAUUAUGAUGUAAUAUGACUAAUAAGUGAAAGGAAUGAAGAAUCUAUUAUUUUAUAAAAGAUCUUACUUCAAAUAUUAUAACAAAUUAUCUUAGAAAAUAGAUAAUAGUCCAAAAAAAAUAGAACUAAAGAUUUUAAUGCUAUCUUUUUACAAAGUAGGUUUCUACUUAUUUUAUAAGGUGGAUUAAAAAAAUAAAAAAUAUGAGCAUAUAAAGGAAAAAAAUAGAAGUUGAUUGAAAUAAAAACUAAGUAAAAAGGGCAAAAUUUGAUACCCAAAGAGGACCAAUUAUCAACUUAGAUCAAAAUCAGAUCUUGAGGUACAAAACUAGGUACAAAUGACAAUUUAGAGGUUUUUUUGGCAAAUCAGAGAGUAGGAUUUGAGAUCGAACUUGAAAAGAUUUCUUUGAAUGUUGAUUUUAAGAGAAUUGAAUGUGUAAUGAUUUUGCAAGAGCUUUGCAAAGUCACAGUUGUUUUGGAAUGACUCUAAAAUUUGUAAAAUAAAAAGGAUAUUAUGUUUUAAAAAAUUCUAUAAGUUUGAUAGUAGAUCUGUAGUUCAAAUUUUGAUAACUUAUGAAAAUAGUUGUUUGAAGUAUAUAGUGUAAGUUUGAGCUUGAUUAAAUGGUUGAAUUGAAGGCUAUUGAAUUUCAAGUAGGUUGAGGUCAUCAAAAUUGGAUUUUGAAAGGUUGAUAAGAAUUCUAAAAUAUUCAAUAAUCUACUAAUUGGAUUGAAAUAAAAUUUUUAUUUUAAGGUAAUAAACUUAAAUAUCUAUACACAUGUAGAAUUUGAGAAUAAUUAAAUGGUUUGAUAAAUAAAUAUUGAUAUUAGAAGUUUAAUAUUUAUAUUAGAAUAGAAAGCCAACCAAUAUCCAAGCAACUUUUAGGAUUUUUUUUUUAUUUGGUAAAUGCAAUUAUCUUCAAAUUUUAUAUGCUUAUUGAUAACUCAGGUGUUGAAAGGUGUGUAAAUUUUUAAGUAAGAUCAAUUAAUCAAUUGAUAGAUAUUGAAGUUCUAAAUUAUCUAGGAUUUAAUUAAGGAUUUGAUUUAGGUCUAGAGUUUCAUUUAGAAUUUGGUUUAGAAUUUAGGAUUUGUUAAAAUUUGGUUUAGGAUUUGAUUUAAGAUUUAAGAUUUGUCUAAGAUUUGAUUUAAGAUAUCCUUUAGGAUUUAGGUUUUUUCUAGGGUUUAAUCUAAUAUUUGGUUUAGGUUUUAAGAUUUAUCUAGGAUUUGGUUUAGGAUUUGAUUUAGGACUUAGGGUUUGUCUAGGAUUUGAUUUAAGAUUUGAUUUGGAAUUUAGGAUUUGAUUUGGGAUUUAAGAUUUGAUUUAGAAUUUGAUUUAGGAUCUAAGAUUUGAUUUAGGAUUUGAUUUAAAAUCUAAGAUUUAUUUAGGAUUUGAUUUAGGAUAUGAUUUAGGCUUUAAGAUUUCAUUUAGGAUUUAGAAUUUAUCUAAGAUUUGAUUUAGAAUCUAAGAUUUAAUCUAAGAUUUGGUUUAGAUUUUAGGAUUUAGAAUUUAUUAAGGAUUUGAUAUAGGAUUUAGCAUUUGUCUAAGAUUUCAUUUAUAAUUUGGUUUAGGACUUAAGAUUUGUUUAGAAUUUGAUUGAAGUCCAUUAGGGUUUCAAAUAGGAUCAGAUUAAAACUUGAUUGAAAUUUAUUUAAGAUGUAUUUGUGAUUAUUCUAAUAUUUUUUAAAGCUUAUUAAGGAUUCUUUUAAGAUUUAUUAUGGAUUUUCUUUUAAUUUUUUAAAGAUUUCUUAUUGUUUCUUUUGUAAUUUUUUUAAGGUUUGUUUUGAAUUUAAUUAAAGCUUAUUUAAAAUUAUUAAGGACUAAUUAGAAUUUAUUUAGUAUUCUAUUAGAAUUAAGAUUUUAUUGUUGCAAUAUCCAUUCUACCUUCCACAAACAAAUACUUGGUGCACUCUUGAGCAAGACUUCACAUUGUCAAGGUAGAGAGAAUUUGCUUCAAAAAAGCACUAGAUUCCUAGUUGCCACUAAUUGUUCAAUCAAGUCUUGAGAUAAAAAAGACCAAGUUUGAAUAUAUAUACAUAUAACACUUUUGGGAGCAAUCACAUCAAAUAUAUCACCUUUGUGUAAUUUUCUUCAUAUCUCACAAAUUAAGUACUCAAAUGCCAUAAAAUUUGUAUAUAUAGCUUUUUAACAUAAUAAUCUACCUUCUUCAAAAGGUUUGAGCCAAAAAUUCAUCCAAAAACUCAAGAUAUGGUUCCAACCAUUACUAAGAACAAAAUCACUUGCUUACUACAUUUGAUUUGGAUGCGCUGACUUCAACUCUCUAUAAAUUCUUUAUCUAAAAUCCAAAUUCAUCAUAAAAUAUAUGAAAAUUGUAGCCAAUUUUUUUUUUUUUUUUUUCUCUAUUCCUAGUCACCGAUCUUUUUUUUCUCUUUGUAAACAUAUGUUAUGCCCCAAAGAGAGAUAGUAGAUAUGAAAUUGAUACCUUAACUUUGAGUGCCAAUAAUUCCUUCAUAAAAACUCCAAAUCACACAAAAUUUGCAGUCAAUCCAUAUCUUAAAAUCUAAACUUACUGAUUCUAGCCUCAAAAACUUAAAUGACUUCAAAAAAAAUCCUAAUUCCUAAUAAGGCCUCAAACAGCCUCCUUGAAGUCCAUUGGCUAUGGUCUUUGACCAAUAGGAAUAAAGAUCCCCAUUCCUUACAUUCAUCUAUUUAUGCCUUGCUUUCAUCCCUCUUAAUAAGCCACCUACUAGUUAAGAUAUUCAUCUUUAGGUUCUAUCUCCUCUCAAGGCUUCAUAUUAAACAUUUAGGUCCUAUAAUGUUUUUAAAUGUUAUAAUGAAAAUAGAUAAAACUCAAAAUAAGGUUUCUUAUAUCCUUUUUUUUAAAUUAAUCUAUUAAUCAUUCUAAUAUACACCAAGAUUUAUAAAUAUAUUAUAUAUUCUAACAAAUAUUUACAUAUUAUAAGCAAUUACAAUAUAACAACAUGUUGACAUGAAAUACUUGAGUUUCUUGUGAUCCAUAGAUAAAGUAACUACACCAGAUGUCAAGGACAAGAAUAUGAUAAAGAUAAAUAAACAAGUGAGACUUCUAUCAAAGAAAUAUGAUAAAAUAGAAAUAACUUGAUGUGUAUAUUAAGAAAGAAACUAGAAUGGCUAUUGCCAAAAGCCAAGAAAACUAGAGCCCCUUGAAACUAGACUAGAAGCAAGAAAAGAGUUGACAAGAGUGAAGAAGACUUCACUCUUGUCACUAUAUAUAUUAUCUUAUUAGGAACUACGUGGCAACAUUCUAUAGGACCUCCAAUAUAUGUUGACUUUGUAAGACACAUGCCUUGACUUACAAGGCAAGUUUUUCUAUGUGUGGGCCAUACAGUUAGCUUGUUCUUCAAGCUAACAACAUGUGUGGUACAUGGCCAAUAUGUUGACCACGUUUCUAAUCUCAAAAAGUCAAUUAAAGAUACCUAUAAAGUCAAAGUAGUAUCUAUGAAGCAUCUAAGAAGCUUCCAUAUCAAAUACUAUAUAAUUAACUUACUUUUAUCUACUUUUACUUACUUCUAUCUAUUUAUACAUGUAAUUAUUGACUUACAUGCGUAUGUCUGUGACAUUACCUUCCUUCUAGGAACAAGUUCCAUGAGGAGCGGUAAUCACAUAUUGAAGAAAUCUAUAAUGUGACGAAUUGUAUUCGCCACAUACUCUGAUCUUUGUUCUCUUUGAAGAUGAUUGAUAGGGCCUUUCAACCAUCGGUAGUGUCCCAUACUAGGGCAAAAAGACCACCUAGUUAUUUGAUCAUUGUUGAGGCCUUCAUAACUUCUUUAAAAUAAAAUAUUUGGAACACCAUCGAGAGUUGUUCCUACCUAUAGUAAAAUCACCAAACAUCGAGAUUUCCUUCCAUGGUCGUGAUACCAAACGCGUUCUAUCUCGCCAUCUAUUCAAAGAAGAACAUGUCGUUCUUAAAGAUCUUCAUCUCGAUUGUAUCGUCUUGAAGGUUGUGACAAUCAUAAUGUCUCAUUUGAUAGGUCAACAAACGAAGAUUUUUGAGUCAAAUCCGCAGGUUGUUUAUUCUCCAUCUCUUGAGCGUCACAACUACAAAGAAACUAUAAACAAGGAUUGAAAGUAGAAUGUUAUCUUGCCUAGAUCUUGUUUCUUUUAUAAAGAAGGUUUUCAUAUUGAUUUUGAUGGAUAUCAUCGAUGAAAAGCCUCCACUACCUUUGCUGUAUUUGCAAGAUUCUUUACAGGCUCCUAUGUAUAUUUACUAAUAUCAUAUCCGUGUCAAUGGACAAGAUAUUCUAAUUUAUUUUGGCACCGCCUUGAAUCUAAGAUUUCUUCCAUUUCAAAUUCUUCAUUAUUGUCCACUUCUAUAAGAGGAGGUUGAACUUGUCUUCUUCUUGAUAUGUCCACUAUCUUAUAUGGUUCAAAAAGAGAUACGUGGAAUACUAGAUGGAUUUUCAUUGACUCCGGUAGGUGUAAAUGAUAUGCAACUGGAUUGAUUUGUGUAGAAAUAGAAAAUGGUCUAAGCCUUCAAUAGUCCAACUUGUCACAAGGACGAGUAGUCUUGAUAUUGCAACAAAGUAAUCAUAUCUUAUUACCAUGUAGAAUGGUGGUUGUUCCUUUCAAUAGACAUCCGCAUUGACCUUUUGUUGUUCUUGAGCUUCUUUUAAUUGUGCCUUCAUCGUUGUAUAUAGCUCUAAUAAAUGAAUUGUCAAAUCUUUCGCAGUGGGAUUAUCAACUUUUGAAAAGUCAAAAGUAUCAAGUCGUGGAUGAUAACCAUAAUUGGCAAAGAAAGGUGUUUGUUUUGUAGAAGAAUGUAUUGUGUUAUUGUAAGCAAACUCUGCCAAUGGAAAAAGAAUUAUCCAAUCAUCUUGUUGGUAAUUGAUGGUACAUCUUAAAUACUGCUCCAAAACUUGAUUAAUAUGUUCUGUUUGUCUAUCAGUUUGAGGAUGAAAUAUCGAAGAUAGUUUUAUAUCUACUUUUAGAAUCUUCAAAAAAAAUCCGCCAAAAGCUUGAUACAAACUGAGUUCCCCUAUCUGAUAUAAUAUCCUUGGAUAAUCCAUGAUAGCGAUAGAUAUUAUCAAGAAAGAACUUAGUUGUUUCUUCACCUAUGAUAGAUUUUGUACAUGAUAUAAAAUGUACCAUCUUGGUAAAAUGAUCUAUUAUCACGAAUAUAAAAUCAUAAGAACAUGAGAUUAGAAGAUCCGUGAUGAAAUCCAUAGAAAUAGAAGACCAUGGUUGUUCUAGAAUGGGUAAUGGCUAAAAAAGUCUGUAAGAUCGAUGGUGAAGAGUUUUUGAUCUUGAGCAAACAUCAUAAGAUUGUACAAAAUCUUUAACAAUUUUUUUCACAUUUGUAGCCACCAAAAGUCCCUGGAUAUUAGUUCCAAAGUUUUAUUGUACCAUAAAUGUCAUGCUGUUGGAAAGUCAUGAUGAGCUUGAAGAACAUGUAAUCGAGCGUCACCUUCUAGAACAUAUAGGUGUCCUUCAAAAUAUAGUAGAUUCUUCUUAAAUUCAAACUUAGAAGUAUCAUGAGACUUUGAAGGAUUUUCCUUAAUAUCACGAAGAAGAGGAUCAGAAGACAUACUUAACUAAACUUGCUUAAUGAAAGUUGAAUUAAUAGUUAGUGUUGAUUUCAUUCCUAAAAGAUGAAGAUACUUUAGCUUCAAGAGAAUUAUUUGUUAUUGAUGAAAAGUAGCAUCUCCUUCCUUUGGUGCAAUGUAAGAUCGUCUAGAAAGUACAUCUGACAAACCUUAUUGUUUUUUUAGUCAAUAAGUGAUCUUGAAUUCGAAUCUUGACUAAGUCAUAUUCCAAUGGACUUGGUGACGAUUCAAAACACGUGUUGACAUAAAAUAUUCAAGAUUCUUGUGAUUUGUAUAUACUGUGACUAGGUUAGAAGUACCUUUUAGAUAAUUGCGCCAUUCUUGAAACAAAUCCACGAUUGUAAAAAGUCAUUGUCGUGGAUCUCGUAGUUGAUUUUGGCUGCUGAAAAUUUUUUAGAAUGAAAAGCUAUUGGAUGAAGUUUAUUAUCUAUUUCCAUUUGUCACAAUAUGGCAUCCAAAGUAAAGUCUGAUGUGUCUGUUUCCAUAAAAAAUGGCUUAAAAAAAUAGAUGCGAUACAAGAUUGGUGUAGAAACAAAGGCUGUCUUCAAAGUUUCAAAUGCUACUUCUGCUUCUUGAUUCCAUUGAAGUUUAUCUUUGCAAGUCAAACGUGUAAGUGGAGGUACAACUUGAGAUAAGUCUUUGAUGAAGAUCCGAUAGUAGUUGGCAAAUCCCAAAAAAUAUUGGACAUCUCUUAUCAUUUUUAGAAUCUGCCAAUCCAUAAUAGUUUGAACUUCUUUAAGAUCCAUCAUAAGUCCAUCAUUUGAAAUGAUGUAUCCUAAGAAGUCAAUUUGAGUAGUGUGAAAUACACACUUUUCUAUCUUGGCAUAGAGUCCCGCAUCUCUUAAUUUUUGUAAUACUUAGUAAACAUGAAGUUCAUAUUCUUUUGAGUUCUAAAAAUAGAUUAAGAUGUUGUCUAAGUAACAGACAACAAAAUCAUCUAAAAACUCCCGAAAGACAUCAUUCAUUAAAUAUUGGAAUGCUUCUGGUGCAUUUGUAAGUCCAAAAGGCAUGACGUUGUAUUCAAAAUGUCCAUACCUUGUUCAAAAUGCAGUCUUCCAUUCAUCUCCUUCUUUGAUGCGUACCAAAUUGUAUCCUCCCUAUAGAUCUAUUUUUGUAUAGAUCUUAGCUUCAUUCAACUGAUCAAGAAGUCCAAAUAUCAAAAGUAGCGGAUACAUGUUUUUGAUAGUGAUUUUGUUGAGUCCUUGAUAAUCAACACACAUCCACAAUGAUUCAUCUUUUUUCUUCACAAAUAUAAUUGGAGCUCCUGUUAGAGAUUUAGAAUAGCGUAUGAAGUUUUUGGCCAAAUUCUCUUCAAUAUACUCCUUGAAUUCAGCCAACUCAUUUUGAGAUAAAUUGUAGAUUUGUCCAAAUGGCGAUUGUGCUCCUUCUUGAAGGUCAAUUUAGUAGUCAUAGAAAUGAUGUUCUAGAAGAGUAUCCACAUUCUUUUUCUCAAAUAUAUCUUUAAAAUCUUGAUAUUGGCUUAAAAUGCCACUUAAAGUCUUUCUACUAGUAGAAACAAGUGUGGCAUAAAUGACGUAAGGUGAUUCUUCUUUUGCAGCAUGUAAGAAAGUACUUGUAUCUACAAAUAUAGGUUUAAUUAUACUAGACUUAUGACUUUCUACUUGAUUAACUAUACUCUUAGUUAUACUUUCAGAAAAGUCAAGACUACAAGAAGUCCAAUCUAUUUUAGGGUUAUAUUUUUCUAGCCAUGAUAAACCUAAAAUGACUCGAUUAGAAGGAGAUUUAAUGAUAUUAAAUAUUACAAAGCUACUAUGACCAUUAGUUGCUAUUUCUAUAGGAACGAUUUCAUGAAUAACAUCUCUUGAAGACAACGGACGACCAUCUAUGACUUCUAUAUGAACAUGUUUAGUUUUCUUUACUAAAAAUGUACUAUAUCUUUUGGCAAAUUUUUCAUCUAAGAAACAUGCUGAGGUUCUUGAAUCUAGCAAGGCAGAGACUUUGAGAUGUUUAGGUCCUAGAAUAACAUAUAUCAUAAAACAUGGAGAAGGUUUUGAGGAGAAGAUAGGACCUUCACUAGGCAUUGUACAAGGUUCUAGCCGCACGGUCCCUAUUGUAGUUAGACAAAUUUGUUUUCCGACAUGCUAUCUCUUUUGAUCGCCGUACUCCUCAUUUUAUGGUUGCAUCAUUUUUUUGGGUAAUAUUGAGCAGUGUGCUUAAGUUCUCCACAAUAUAAGCACAAUCUUUCUUGACAACGAUGAGUCUUUUCUUGCUCAGUAAGAGGUUUAAAACGUACUGCAUCAAUUUACAUAUCCUCUACUUCCGAAUAUAUAUGUUGAAGAGAUAUUGAUAUUGCUAUUGAAUUAUAGUAACGUUGAAGUCCACUUGUAUGGUUCUUAGAUUGAAAUUCAAAAAGGUGAUUGUCACACUUCAUACCAAAGUCAAUUGCUUGACUCAAUGUUUGAAGAUGAGGUAAAUUGAGCAUUAAUUUUUUUAUCUCAUAUUAUAAUCCAUAGAAAAAUUGGCUAAUAAGUGCAGCAUCAUCUCACUUCAUAUCAGUUGUAAGUUGUCGAAAUUGUAAAGCAUAUUACGUUACUGAUCGAUUGUCUUCUUGCAAAAUAUGGAUCUCAUUGGUUGCAACAGGAAUUGCAUCAUGUUCUCCAUACAUGGAUCAAAACUCCGCCAAAAAAGCCUUUAGAUUAUCCAAUAUUGGAUCUCGUCGUUCAAAAAAAGAUGAAAACCAUGAUAAUGGUGAAUUUGAAAGAAGCGCACCAAUGAAUCUAACUUGUGAUCCUAGAAUUGAAUAGCUUUGGGAUUGAAGUUCAAUCACAAGUUAUACUUGAUUGAUAAAUCCUCUAAACUUUGAUCUAGUGCCAUCAAACUUCUUGGGUAGGGCAAUUCUUGGUUUUCUAAUAUUUAAAGGGCGUUCUACCAUAGGAGAAGGGACAUGAUUUGGUCCAGAUGUUAAAGCAGCUUCAAUCAUUUCUAAAUCUUCACUUCCUACCAAUCUUGUUACUUCUUGCGAUGAUAAAUUGAGUUGAUGCAUCUCAAGCAUUAACUCCCUCAAUUGCUUUUGCAUUUGUGCCAUUGCACUCUUUAUUUCAGCAAGUUCUACUAUAAUAACACUUAGAAAAGAGAAGAUGUCUAAUAUCGCUUAAGACAAAUAGAAGAGAGGACUUAAGAAUAAAAAAAAUACUAAGGACAAUAUCAAUUUAGAAGAGGGUAAUUCGCAACUUCUAAUAUGCUUAUAUCUUAUAAAAAAAAAGGGUAAUCCAUUCUUAAUCAAGAUUAGACAAAGCUUUGAUAUUGUAAGUGUACUCUUGUCAAUCUGUCAAGGACAAGAACAUGAUAAAGAUAAAUAAACAAGUGAGACUUUUAUCAAAGAAAGAUGACAAAAUAGAAAUAACUUCAUAUAUAUAUGAAGAAAGAAACUGGAAUGGCUAUUGCCAAAAGCCAAGAAAACUAGAGCCCCUUGAAACUAGACCAGAAGCAAGAAAAGAGUUGACAAAAGUGAAGAAGUCUUCAUUCUUGUCUCUAUAUAUACUAUCUUAUUAGGGGCUACAUGACAAUAUUCUAUAGGACCUCCAAUAUGUGUUGACUUUGUAGGACACAUGCCUUGACUUACAAAGCAAGUUUUUCUAUGUGUGGGCCACACAGUUAGCUUGGUCUUCAAGGUAACAACAUGUGUGGCACAUAGCCAACUUGUUGACCACGUUUUUAAUCCCAAAAAGUCAAUUAAAGAUACCUAUAAAGUCAAAACAGCAUCUAUGAAGCUUCUAGGAAGCUACUAUAUCAAAUAUUAUAGAACUAACUUACUUUUAUCUACUUUUACUUACUUCUAUCUAUUUAUACAUGUAAUUAUUGGCUUACAUGCGUAUGUCUAUGAUACCAGAGGUGCCUUCUAAAUAAUGAUACUAUUCUUGAAAAGAAUCCUUGAUUGCAAGAAAUUUUUUGUCAUGGAUCUCAUAGUUAAUUUCAACUGUUGAGAAUUUUUUGGGAUGAAAAGCUACUAAAUAGAGCUUAUCAUCUUCUUCUAUUUGUGACAAAAUAGCACUUAUAGCAAAAUUUGAUGCAUCUAUUUUCAUAAAAAAAGCCUUAAAAAAUUUGAUGCAAUAUGACAUUGAUGCAGUAAUAAAUAUUGACUUCAAGGCUUCAAAAGUUACUUUAAUUUCUUUGCUCCAAUAAAAUUUACCUUGCAUGUAAGACAUGUAAGAAGAAUUGUAAUUUGAAAAAAAUUCUUAAUAAAGAUCUUAUAGUAAUUGAUAAAGCCUAAAAAGCAUUACAUAGCUCUUACUGUUCUUGAAAUCUUCUAAUCUAUAAUAUUUUUGAACUUUCUUUGGAUCCAUCAUAAGUCCUUCAUUGAAAAUGAUAUAUUCUAAUAAGACAACUUAAAUAAUGUAGAAUACUCACUUUUCUAACUCGGCAUACAAUCCCACAUCUCUAAGUCUUUAUAACACAUGACAAACAUGAACUUCAUGCUUUUUAGUAUUCUUAGAAUAGAUUAAAAUAUCAUCUAAGAAACAAACAAUAAAAUCAUCUAAAAAAUCACAAAAAACAUCAUUCAUAAGAUGGUGAAAAGUAGUUGAUGUAUUUGUGAGUCCAAAAGGCAUGACAUUAUAUUCAAAGUAUCUAUACCUUAUUUAAAAUGCAAUCUUCAAUUCAUCUCGUUCUUUAACACGGACCAAGUUAUAUACUCUUUGUAGAUCUAUUUUAUAUAGAUCUUAUCUUGAUUUAAUUGAUCAAGAAGUCUAGAUAUCAAAGAUAAAGAGAACAUUUUUUUGAUGGUAAUCUUAUUGAGUCUUCAAUAAUCUAUAUACAUUCAUAGUGAUCCAUCUUUUUUCUUCACAAAUAAGAUAGAAGUUCUUGCAAAAAAUUUCAAAAAGCGUAUGAAAUUCUUGGCCAAGUUCUUGUUAAUAUAUUUUUUAAGUUCAACAAAUUUAUUUUGUGAUAAACUAUAGAUUGGACCAAAUGGUGGCUGACUUCCUUCUUAAAGGUUGAUUGAACAAUCAUAUGGAUGAUGCUUCGAGAGAACAUCUACAUUUUUCUUCUUAAAAAUAUCUUUAAAAUCUUGAUAUUGACUUUGAAUGCCACUUAAAGUCUUUUUAUCAUUAAAAAUAGAUGUGGUAUAAAUAAUAAAAGACGAUCUUUCUUUUGUAACAUAUAAAAAAGCUUUUGUACCUACAAAUAUAUAUUUGACUACACUAGACUCAUGGCUUUCUAUAAAACUCUUAAUAAUACUUUGAAAAAAAUCAAGUUUACAAAAACUCGAAUCUAUUAGACGAUUGUACUUUUCUAGCUACAAUAAAUCUAAAAUGACUUGAUUAGAAGAAGAUCUAAUUAUAUUAAAAAUUAUGUAACUAUUAUGGCCAUUUAUUGCUUAUCUAUAGGAAAUAUUUUAUGAAUAAUACCUUCCAAAGAUAACACACAAUCAUCUAUGAUUUUUACAUGAACGGAUUUGGUUUUUUGUAUUAAUGAUAUUUUAUGGUUUUUAAGAAACUCUUCAUCUAAAAAACAAGUUGAGGCUCUUGAAUCUAUCUAGGCAAAGGCUUUGUGAUUAUUAGGUCCUAAAUAAAUAUCUAUUGUAAAAGAAGUAGAGGGUUUUGAAAAAAAGUUUUACGAAUUUAGAAUACUGACUGGAAAUCUAAACAAGAAGCUCAAGAAGAAUCAACGAGAACUAUAUUAAUCAAAUGAAUACAAGAAUAACACUAGAGGAGUGAGCUAGAACUGCAAGAGGUAUGUUGUCAAGACUGAGGAUCCCCUCAGUCUCGAUUCCUAUAUAUACUACAAGCUAGGAAGCUUCUCAAGUAGCUUCCACAAACUAGGAAGCUUCUCAAGUAGCUUCUACAAACUACAAAGCUUCUCUAGAAUCUUCUAAAAUCUUCUACAACUUCUUAGUAUAUGUCCUUGACAAAAAGAUAAGACCUUCAUUUGUACAAGAUUCCAACUACACAAUCCCCAUUAUAGCUGGAUAAAUUUAUUUUCUAAUAUUUUUUCAUCUUUGACAGUUGUACUCCUCAUUUUGUAGUUUCAUUAUUUCUUUGGACAAUGUUGAACAGUGUGCUUAGCUUCUCUACAAUAAAAACAUAGUUUUCUUAAUGAUAACAAGUAUUUUCUUAUUUAGUAAAAGGUUUAAAAUAUACAGCAUCAAUUUGUACAUCUUUUAUUUUCAAAUAUUUAGAUUUAGAGGUGGUUGGUGUUGUCAUUGAAUUAUAAUAAUCUGGAGGGUCUCUUGUGCAAUUUCUAAAUUAAAACUCAAAAAGCUAAUUGUCACCUUUCACAUAAAGUCAAUUUCUUCAUUCAAUGUUUGAUGAUCAAGUAAAUUGAACAUCAAUUUCUUUACCUCAUAUUGAAAUGUGUAGAAAAAUUAGCUAAUAAGGGUAAUAUCAUCCCACUUAACAUCAAUUACUAAUUUUUGAAAUUUUAAAGCAUAUGAUGUCACUGAUCAAUUACCUUAUUGUAAGAUAAAAAUCUUAUUGGUUGCAAUAUGAAUUGCAUCAUAUUUUUCAUACAUAGAUCAAAACUCUGCCAAAAAAACCUCCAAAUUAUCUAAUAUUGAAUCUCGUUAUUUAAGAAAAGAUGAAAACCAUAAUAAUGUCAAAUCUAAAAAAAUAUAUAUUAAUGAAUCUAAUUUGUGAUCCUAGCAUUGAAUAGCUUUAGGAUUGAAGUUCAAUCGUAAGUAGUACUUGAUUGAUAAAUCUUUAAAAUUUGGAUCUUAAGUGAUGAAACUUCUUAAAUAAAGUAACUAUAGAUUUUUUAACUUUAGAAGGAUGUUUUACUAUAGAAGAAGGGAUGUUUUACUAUUCAUUAUCAUUUUCAAUAAUAGAUCUCAUUUUUAUAAUGGCUAAGUCCACAAUCACAUUUACUUUAAAGAGAUCUUGUACUUAAAAUUCAUUGUCUUUAAAUACCAAUCACUACAAAAAAUUUAAGUUUCAACAAUCAAGCUAGAACACAAAAAAUAAGACAAGAUCAAUUCUCCUUGAAAAGAUGUUUCAGUAGUCAAGAAGGCCAAACAAAAACUUUUGAAUCAAAGUUGGACAUACUUCCAUAGUACCUCAAAUCCAUCAAUAUCAUGGUAUCAAUUGAAAAUAAAAAAAUACACUUUCAAAUUAUAAUUAUAUAAGAAUGAUAUCUUUUUAGUUUUAUUAUUAUCAAUCAUGGCAUAGAGUUUUUUAGACGAAUUUUAUCAUGACAUAUGGCAAUAUUGAAUUAGUAAAAUACAACCUCCCUUCAAAUUUUGGUUGUUUCUUUUUUGUCUCAAUUCCAUUUAAAUGAUAAUAAAAGAAGUCAUGGAAAUGGGCAUCAAUGCCACAAGUUUAGUUCAAGGUUGUCUUGAGACAAAAUAAAUAAAAUGAAAAGAAAGUAAAAAUAUCUUGUAAGGCAUGAAAAUAUAACAAUCCUUGGACAAUACAAAAUGAUUCUUGUCAAUAUAACAAUAGCUUAAAAGCUAAAUAGUUUCAAAUAGUCUGGACUUGUAUUGUAUGGUCUAUAUAUAUAUAUAUAUAUAUAUAUAUUCUUAUUAAAUAUAAUUUUAAUUUAUAAUGUUAGAUUUUAAUAAAAAUUAGAUUUGUAAGUUUGAAGAAUUGUGUUAAUGAAAUAUUCUUUUGUUAUAGUUGUUAAAUUUGCUACUAUCUAGUCACUCAAGAACAUGUAUAGUUAUUGUUUUCUAUAGAUUUCUUCAUAGAAUAUCAAUCAAAACACCACUUCAUUGUAUCAAUCACAUUCACAAGACUUUGUUGUUCUUCUAACUAGAAAAGCCUUUGGAAUAUUUGCAAACACAAUAAGGUGGUGUGAAGUGAGUUUUACAUCUUAUCCUUAUUUUGCUACAAUUAUAAAUCAAGGUUUAUGCAAUUGGAAGUAGAGGAAGGGAAAGAAGAAACAAAAGAAGUCAUGAUGAGAGCUAGGAAUAAAAAAGAACUAUAGGAGGGGAGGGAGGGGGGAUAGAGGGGGCUUAGAUGAGAGUUGAAAAUGGAAGGAGUGGGAAUUAAGAAAAUUAAGGGUAAAGAUGAAGGCCAUGAUUGUGAUAAUGGUUGUAAUAGGAUGGAUCAAUUUAGUAAAUAGGUGGAUCAUUUUAACAUUCUCUUAAAUAUAAAUAUAUAUAUAUAUGUAUAUAUAUAUAUAUAUAUAAUUUUAGAAGUUUUAGUAUACAAGUACACAUAUUCAUACAAACAUGCUCAUUUGAAACAAAUAAUGCAUUUACUGCAGCUUGCGGUAAUCAAUUGACUGCAAUCAGACAACAGAAAAUGGAUGUAAACAGACAAAUCCAUGGACAGUUUCAAGGGAACGUGGAACAAGGGAUGGGCUUGACGAGGGUUCCCAAGGGUGGAGAGUUGCGGGAACAUGUGGCGGAUUAGGGUUUGUGUCUUCAGCGGGGUGAGUGGCGCCGAAACCCUAUAAGUUGUGCCAUUGGCAGGCCCAGCGAACCACAGCGGGAGUGUGUGAUUCUCAAUCUCGGCACCGGACCGGGUGUACGUAGAGUGGCACCGGUGUUUGGCUGAUGUUGGUAUGGUUAGCCCAGGGUUGAUUGUUGAUUGUUGUGUGGGCCCAUGUUUCCUUGAGUCGGAGCUGCGGUUUUUCUUCGCCCCGGAGCGCCUACAGGGUGGGGCGUGCAUUGUGGAUGUGGAGGUUGGAUGUGUGAGAUAAUUUUUUUUAUCUCAUAUUAUAAUCCAUUAAAGAAUUGGCUGAUGAAUGCAAUAUCAUCCUACUUGAUAUCAAUUUUAAGUUGUUUAAAUUAAAAAGUAUUUAAUAUUCUAUUUUUAUAUAUAAAUUAUGGAUCUUAUUUAUUAUUACACAAACUACAUCAUUUUUUUGAUACAUAGAUCAAAAUUCUACCAAAAAAGCUUUGAAAUUGUCCAAUAUUGGAUCACAUCAUUUAAGAAUAGAUGAAAACCAUGAUAAUGCAAAAUUUAAAUACAAUGUUCUAAUAAAUCUAACAUGAUCUUGAAAUUGGAUAGCUUUAGAGUUGAAGUUCAAUUGCUAAUUGUAGUUGAUUGAUGAAUCCUUGAAACUUUGAUAUUGUACCAUCAAACUUCUUAAGUAAGGCAAUUCUUGGUUCUCUAGUACUUAAAUGAUGUUCUACCAUAGGAUAAGGGAUAUGAUUUGGUACAGAUGUUGAAGCACCUCCAAUCAUCUCUAUAUCUCUACUUUUUUCCAUUCUUAUUCUUUUUUAUAAUUAUAAAUUGAAUUGAUACAUUGCAAGUAUUAACUCCCGUAAUUGUUCUUGUAUUUAUGCCAUUGCAUUCAUCAUUUCAACAAAAUCUACCAUAAUAACACUUAAAAGAAGAAAAAAAAAAUAUCUAAUAUUGCUCAAGAUAAGUAAAAAAAAGAACUUGAGAAUAAAAAAGAUAUUAAAAAUAAUGUCAAUUUAGAAGAGGAUAAUUUGCAACUUUUAAUACACUAAUGUCCUAUGAAGAGAAAGAAAUAAUCCACUCUUAAUGAAGAAAAGUCAAAGCUUUAAUUUUAUAAAUGUACUCUUGAUAAUUUGUCAAAGACAAGAACUCAAUGAAAGCAAAUAAUCAAAUAAGACUUUUAUAAAGAAAUAUGAUAAAAUUAAACUAAAAAAGUAUGUAUAUUAAAAAGAAAUCGGAAUGGAAAUUAUUAAAAAGAAAUCAGAAUGGAAAUUAUCAAAAAAAAAAAAAAAAAAAAAAAAAAAAUUAGAGACUCUUGAAACUAGACUAAAAGCAAGAAAGGAAUUAACAAGAGUGAAGAAGGCUUUAGUAUUGCUCAUAUAUAUACUAUCUACCUAAGAGCUAUGUGAUACAUUCUGUAGGACCUCCAAAAUGUAUUUUUGCACAACAUGUAUCUUAACUUGUAAAGUAAGUUUUCUAUAUGUACACCACAUAGUUAACUUGUUAUACAAGUUACUAAUAUGCAUGGCAUGUGGUUAACUUGUUGACUAAGAUUCUAAUAUACUAAACAAUUACAAACACAUGUAAAGUCAAAAUAGCAUCUAUGAAGCUUUUAAGAAGCUAUCCUAGAAGAUAAUAUGAAAUAAAUAUAUUUUUAACUACUUCUACUUAUUCAUAUUAUUUAGGUAAUAAUUAUAAUAAAUAUAUAUAAACCUCGUCAUGACAAAUAUAGAUGUCAAGUAAGUAGUGAUUGAAGAAGUAUGUGGUAACAAUUAAGUAAUUUUUCACAAUGUUAUUAAGUAUCACAAUAGGUUGCAAAUUAGAAUGUGCCCUAAGUAAUUUUAAAUUAUCAAUACUUGUGAGAAUAGAUUUUUUUUGUUAUAAGAAAUACUCUAAAUUAGCCAUUUAAGUGAUUUAUAUGACAUACUUUAUAAAAAAGAAAAAUUUGUUUAGGUGUGAUACAUCUUCACAAUAUGUUGUCAAUGUUGAAAUCAUAUAAGGUCUUAUUGACAAACAUAUAAGAGAUAGUGGUGUAACAAAAUGACUUAAGGAAAACAAAAAAAAAGAAAUGUCAACUAGACACUAUUUGGUGUAGUGAUAGUGCAUGAUUUGGUUGCAAAAGAUAGAAACAAAAAAGAAGACUAUUAAGGCAAAGUUUGUGGCAAUCAAUUUCAAUAAAAAUAGGCUCUUGUAUGCAAGACAAGAUAUCCUUAUUGCAAUAAGAUUUCUCUGAUCAAUAUUCAACAUUGAAGGAAAAUUCUUCAAGCACAAGUAACCACCAUGCAAGUUGUCUCAAGCAUAUGGAUGUGUUCUGCAAAAACUUUAAGGCUUUGCCAUUGAUAUGGAUGGUGAAUUAUUACCCAAAAUAUAAAGCUUGAAUUCUUAUGUAGGGUGCCAUGUAGAAUGACAGAAACAUUGGCAUCCUGUUUGGAAAGUUUCCCUAGCUGUAGGGGGAUUGUUGCUACAUGGAUCCAAAUAAGAAAGAUCUCCGUAAACAUUUAAUUUAGAAAAAAAAGAAGAAGAUGUUCAGUCACCGAUCCCCGUUGGCAACGGUGACAAGCUUUCAAGCGGGUGCAGGAGAGCCUGGGGGAGAGGGCGGAGGGGUGACGUUCCCAAGGGUGGGGAGUUGCGGGAACAUGUGGCGGAUUAGGGUUUGUGUCUUCAGCGGGGUGAGUGGCGCCGAAACCCUAUAAGUUGUGCCAUCGGCAGGCCCAGCGAACCACAGCGGGAGUGUGUGAUUCUCAAUCUCGGCACCGGACCGGGUGUACGUAGAGUGGCACCGGUGUUUGGCUGGUGUUGGUAUGGUUAGCCCAGGGUUGAUUGUUGAUUGUUGUGUGGCGCCCAUGUUUCCUUGAGUCGGAGCUGCGGUUUUUCUUGGCCCCGGAGCGCCUACAGGGUGGGGCGUGCGUUGUGGAUGUGGAGGUUGGAUGUGUGGUCGGGUCAUUGUGCGCUGGUGUCUGUGUGGACAUAAUGUGUUGGAGGACCGCAAUGAUUAGAAUUGGUAAUCAGCCGGCUGGCUGAAACUUCCAUAAAAAAACAUACAGAACAUCUAAGGGUCUGAGCGGAUGUGGGUGUUGCGAAGGAUGGUUAGGAGGCAAUCUGACUAGAGUCACUCGUGUGCUGGUGAUCAAUAGCACAUAGAGCGCUGAAAGUUGCCGAGAACGAUGUCACGGGCAGCUGUUCGACCUGACCCUGAAGAAUCUACCUGCGCAGGAAGAAGCUUCCGUGAACAGCGUGAAAAUGAAGUGUGUGAGGGUGAGUGUGGGGGGAGGGAAAUUGUGUCGGUGAGGAGAUUGAUGUCAUGCACCACACUGAGUUAACUGUGCUGAGAUGACAAUAACACCAUAAGAAUCACUGAGACAUGGACUUCUGGGCAGUAGGGGGGUUUUAGGAGUUUCGUUUUGCGGGGUGUGGGAGCGGUAGGUGCAGAAGGUUGUGAGGAAGAGUUGGGCGUGGAAUGAUGGACGGGCAGGUGCGGAGGCAUGUGUGGGGCUGGAAUUAGGGUCGGAUGGAUGGGGGUUGCUGUGAUGAUACCAAAGUGUUUCGGACUAGAGUUUCUGAUCUGGGGUAGUAGCCAGCAUUGAAGAAACCACUCUUGGCUGUCUGAGCAUUGGGGUUGUCGUGUAUGAGGGUGGUUGGCAUCGCGAAGCUGCGUGUGCAAAUCUUAAGUAUGCCGACAGUGAGGGCGGCUGAUGUGUAGUUUAUAUGUGUGGCGAAAGGGUGAACUGUAUUGUGACGAGGUUGGAGGAGAGAAUCUUUUGGUCUAUUUCACUGCAGCCUAACACAUGAACGGAGGUGUGGAGGAAUAGCACCCCCAAGACAACCCUGAAACUAACAACAUGUAGCAGUAACACAAGGAUUCAUCGAAUGGUUCCAAUAAAUCUGAACCAUAACCUACAUGAGUGCAAUCUGAUUAAUCCACUGGAUUGGUAUGGCACACGUAACGAUUGACCAAUGAGAAUCUUCUACGUACUUGCUAUGCAAUGUGGGGAUUUGAUUUUACAGCUGAGCUUGUGCGUGCAUUGUUCACAUGUGGGUGCGCAGAUCCGUUAAGAUUGCCUGUUUUCAGAUGGAUUGCCUUUUUAAAUCUCGAGAGUUAAGCAUGGCCCACAUGCUAAACCUUGUUAUUUAGAAAUAAACAAUGCCCGUCAUUCAUGAAGAAAUGAGUGCAGAUUGUGGGCGGGAGACGUUCUAGGAAUUUACGUCGUUUUGUGAUGUUCUGAAUGAGUUAAUCGGAGUGUAAUGUCGGAAGAUCGAUUCAAAGAGUUGAACCCUACCGGGGUCGGCAUUGGAAUGUCUGAGACUGUGCUGAGAGGAUUAUACGGGAUUCAUUAAAUGACUUGAUUAGUAAUGGAACUUGUCACACUUAGUCAAAGCAACGUCAGCUAAGUGCAUAGUCUUAAAUGUGUGUAAAUCGGUCCUAAAAACGGUUCAUAUCUUCAUAUAUGUUAAUUGACUUCUCGGGUAGAAGAUCUAGUAUGUAUGCAUUUUCAAGAAGCAUUCUCAUCAAUCAUACUUCGCCAAAUGUACAAUUUUCAAACAUAUAUGAACUAUGAUUAAUCCAAUUAUUCUUCCAAUGAUGUUAUAAUGAAAAAUUACAGCUCUUCAAUAUACUUUUUGAUUUUCUAUUCACAUGCAUAUUGUAGUAAUAAAAUAAUGAUACACUUUUAAACAAAUUUCUUAAUAGGUGUCUUUAAUGUAUUGCUAGUGGCAUUGAAUUAAUACUCUUUCCUGUAUUAUAUUUUAAUAUAUUUUUUUAUAAAGAAGAGUAUGAUAUUAUAAAUACCAUAUUAGUCAUAUUAAUUGAUUUAUAUAUAUAUAUAUAUAUAUAUAUAUAUAUAUAUAAUAUACAGUAUUAAAUUAAUAACAAAGUGAUCAGAUUUUUUUACUACAUCAACCCACUCUAUUGUAACCAAUAUUACAACCAUGGACAUUCUCACUACCUUCCUUUGUUUCUUCUCUUUCAAUUCUUAUCCUAAUCUCUUUUAUUCCUCUUCUCUUCCAAUUUCCAAUUGUAUGAACUUCGAUUGAGAGUUAUAGCAAAACAAGGAUAAACUUCAAAUUUUACUUUACAUUAUCUUAUUUUAUUUGUCAAUAUUCAAGACUUGCCAUUAUUGAAUUCCUCAACAUGCCAAAAUAUCAUAACAAACUCCAAAUGUGUGCAAUAUAUCAUUGUGCUUUGGUAAAACAAAUAUAGUUGAAAAAACAAAUCUAUAUAUAUUAAUUUAUAAGUACACUACUAAGAGCAUAAUCCACUUAUGGAGUUUUGGAGAUUUUAAUUGUUGCUUAUGUAUUAGUCAUGAGGCUAUGAAUUCAAAUAUGAGGUCAUUUAGAUAAAAAUUGCAUGAUCAUACUUAUUGUUUGGGACAUGAACCUUAAAGAACUAAAAUAUGAAUAUAUUCUUGUGUCACUUGAAAAGUCUAGAAAGUCACUCAAAGAUGAUAUGAUAUUAAAUUAGAAUGGCUAUUGCCAAAAAUGAGAAGAUUAAAAAGUCUUAAAAAAGAUUAAGGACUAAAAAAACAUUGACAAGAAGAAAGAAGACUUCAAUCUUACCUCUAUAUAUACUAUCUAAUUAGAAGUUGUAUGACAAUGUUUUAUUGGACCUCUAAUACAUGUUGACUUUGCAAGAUAUGUAUUUUAAUUUAGAAAGCAAGUUUUUUACAUAUGUACUACAUAAUUAAUUUAUUUUGUAAGCUAUUAAUAUAUGAUUAACUUGUUGACUAAGUUUCUAACAUAUUAAUCAACUUCAAAUAUAUUAAAAGUCAAAACCACCUCUGUAAAGCUUCUAGAAAGCUUCUCUAAAAGUUAUUUUAAAAUCAAUCCACUUUUAUUUAUUUUUACUUAAUUAUAUGGGCAAUUAUUAGAGUAACUACAUAUGCUUGUGACAUUAUCUUCUCUUUUAGAGACAAGUUGCUUAAGGAGCAAUUGUUAUUUGUUGAAAAAAAUCUAAUAUGAAAUAAAUUAUAUUUGUCACAUACUUUGAUCUUUGCUUUCUUUGAAGAUAGUUGAUAGGUUCUCUCAACCAUCAAUAGUGUCUCUUACAAGGUUGAGAAGACUACCAUGUUAUUUAAACGUUGUUAAGGCCUUCAUAGCUUCCUUCAAAUAAAAUAUUUGGAGUAUUGUUAGGAGUCAUUUCUACUUCUAAUAAAAUCAUUAAACAGUGGAAGUCUCUUCCAAGGUCGUGAUAUUAAACACAUUGUAUCUUGCCAUCUAUUCAAAAGAAGGCAUGUCAUUCAUAAUGAUCUCUAUUUUGAUUGUAUUGUCUUGAAGGUUAUGACAAUUGCAAUGUUUCAUCUAAUAAGUCAACAAAUAAUGGCUUUUAGAUUGAAUCUACUGAUUGUUGGUUUUCUGUUUUAUUAGUAUCACAAAUACAUAGAAGCUACAAACAAAGAUAGAAAGAAGAAUACUAUCUUCUUUGGAUAUUGUUUCUUUAAUAGUAAAGAUUUUCUUUUUUUAUUUUAGUUUUAAUAAAUGUCAUCAAUAAAAUAUCUCAACUUUCUUUGUAAUAUUUAUAAGAUUCUUCUAAAUAUUUUAAAGCUUCAAAAUGUAAUUUUCAAGCUGAGAUUAGAAGAUCCAUGAUAAAAUCCAUAGCAAUAGAAGACCAUGGUCAUUUUAGAAUAGAUAAUGGCUAAAAAAGUCUAUAAGGUCAAUAGCAAGGAGUUUUGAAUCUUGAACAAAUAUCACAUGAUUGUAUAAAGUCUUUGACUGCCUUUUAUAUUUGAGGCCACUAAAAAUCUCUUAAUGUUAGCUCUAAAAUUUUGUUGCAUCUUAAAUGUCUGGUUGUUGAAAAGUCAUGACAAGCUUGAAGAACAUAUAAUUAUGCCUCGCCUUUUGAAAUAUAUAAUCAUCCUUCGAAAUUGAAUAGGUUGUUUUUGGAUUUGAAUUUGGAAGUAUUAUAAAACUUAGAAGAAUUAUUCUUGAUAUUAUGAAUAAGAGAAUCAAAAGAUAUACUUGAUUGAUUUUUCUUAACAAAGGUUGAAUCAGCAAUUAAUGUUGAUUUUAUUGCUCAAAUGUGAAAAUGCUCUGGCUUCAAAAGGAUUGUUCUUCGUUGAUCAAUAGUUACAUCUCUUUCUUUUGAUUCAAAGUAAAAACAUCUAGAAAAGGCAUCUAAUAAAUCUUAUUAUUUUUUGUAUCAAUAAGUGAUCUUUAAAUCAAAUCUUAAUAAAAACAUAUUUUAACCAGCUUGGCAAUGAUUCAAAAUACAUGUUGACAUGAAGUACUUGAGAUUCUUGUGAUUCAUAUAUACAGUAAUUGGAUUAAAAAUGCCUUCUAGUAAAUGACACCAUUCUUGAAAUGAAUCCACAAUUGCAAGAAGUUCUUUGUCAUAGAUCUUAUAAUAAAUCUUGGUUGUUGAAAUUUUUUUGGAAUGAAAAGAUAUCAGAUGGAGGUUAUUAUAUAAUUCCAUUUGUGAUAAAACAACAUCUAUAGCAAAGUCUAAUGCAUUUGUUUCUAUGAAGAAUACCUUGAAAUAAUUGACGUAGUAUAAAAUUGAUAUAAAAAUAAAUGUUAACUUUAAGGAUUCAAAAGAUACUUCAACUUCUUUGUUCUAUUCAAGUUUGUCUUUAUAUGCUAGAUGUGUAAGAGGAGCUACAACUUGAAAUUAUUUUUUGAUAAAUAUUUGAUUAAAUUGACAAAUGUCAAAAAUUAUUGUACAUCUUUGAUUUUUUUUGGGACCUUCCAAACUAUGAUAGUUCGGACCUUCUUAGGAUUCAUUAUUAUUCCUUCAUUAAAAAUAAAUAAUCCUAAAAAAUCAACUUGAAUAGUAUAGAAUAGACACUUUUUCAUCUUGGCAUAUAAUCUUGCAUCUCUAAGUUUUUGUUAUACAUGACAAAUAUAAAAUUCAUAUUUUUUAUAUUUUUAGAAUAACUUAAUAUGUCAUUGUCACGGCCAUAAUCAUGUAAGCUAAUAAUUACAUAUAGAAAUAGGUAGAAGUAAGUAAAAGUAGAUAAAAGUAAGUUAAUUCUAUAAUAUUUAAUAUAGAAGCUUUCUAGAAACUUCCUAGACGCUGCUUUGACUUCAUAGGUGUCUUUAAUUGACUUUUUGGAUUAGAAACGUGGUCAACAAGUUGGCCAUGUGCCACACAUGUUGUUAGCUUGAAGAUCAAGCUAACUAUGUGGCCCACACGUAGAAAAACUUGCCUUGUAAGUCAAGGCAUGUAUCCUACAAAGUCAACACAUAUUGGAGGUCCUAUAGAACGUCGCCACGUAGCUCCUAGUUAGAUAGUAUAUAUAGAGAUAAGAGUGAAGGCUUCUUCACUCUUGUCAACUCCUUUCUUGCUUCUAGUCCAGGUUCAAGAGUCUUUAAUUUCUUGUCUUGUGGCAAUAGCCAUUCCAGUUUCCUUUUAAUAUACCUACUUCUUUAUACUUUGACUUAUUAUAUCGAGAUAGCCUUUUUGUGUAUAUUUUCCCUCAUCGAGUCUUUGUCCUUGAUAGAUUGACAAGAGUACACUUACAAUAUCAAAGCUUUGUUUUUCUUGAGUGAGAGUGGAUUUUCCCUUUCUGUUGACAAGACAUAAGCGUAUUAGAAGUUUACGGAUUACCCACUUCUAAAUUGAUAUUGUUCUUAGUAUCUUCUUUGUUAUCAAGUCUUUCUUUUCUUUUGUCUUGAGCAGUAUCAAACAAAUUUUUCUUAGUAUCAUUAUGGCAGAGCUUGUUGAAAUGAAGAGUGCAAUGACACAAAUGCAAGAGCAAAUGAGGGAGUUAAUGCUUGCGAUGCAUCAACUCAAUUCACCAACACAUGAAAGAACAAGAAUAGCAGAAAGUGGGGAUAUAGAGAUGAUCGGAGCUGCUUCAACAUCUACAACAAAUCACGUUUCUUCUCCAAUUGUACAACACCCUGUAAGCACUAGAGAACCAAGAAUUGCCUUAUCCGAGAAAUUUGAUGGUACGAGAUCUAAGUUUCGAGGGUUCAUCAAUCAAGUACAAUUGGCAAUUGAACUUCAACCGCAAAGCUAUCCAACUCCAGGAUCACAAGUCAGGUUUAUUGGCACUUUACUUUCUAGUUCUGCAUUAUCGUGGUUUUCGUCUUUUUUUGAACAACGAAAUCCAAUAUUGGACAAUUUGAAAGCUUUUUUGGCGGAGUUUCGAUCUAUGUAUGGUGAACACGAUGCAACUCGUGUUGCAACAAAUAAGAUCCGAAUUCUGCGGCAAGAAAAUCGCUCAGUAACAGUGUAUGCUUCACAAUUUCGACAACUUGUAAUUGACAUCAAGUGGGAUGAUGCUGCACUCAUCAGUCAAUUUCUUUAUGGAUUGCAAUACAAAGUAAAGAAAUUGAUGCUCAACUUACCUGAUCCUCAAACUUUGAGUCAAGCAAUCGAUUUUGCGAUAAAAUAUGAUAAUCGACUUUUCAAAUUUUGAUCUGAGAAUCAUUCACGGGAACCUCAACGUUAUUACUCAAUGGCAACAUCAACAUCUUUGCCAAACGUACAUUCGGAAGUAGAAGACAUGCAAAUUGACGCGGUACGUUUUAAACCCCUAACUGAGCAAGAAAAGAUUCGUCGUCGUCAAGAAGGAUUAUGUUUAUAUUACGGAGAACUUAAGCACACUGCUCAACAUUGCCCAAAGAAGCGACGCAACUAUAAAAUGAGGGGUAAGACGGUCAAAGAAAACAACAUGUCGGAAAACGGAUUCGUCCAGCUACAAUAGGGACCAUGUAGCUGGAACCUUGUACAAUUCCUAAUGAAGGUCCUAUCUUCUUCUCAGAACCCUCUCCUUGUUUUAUAAUAGACUUAUAUUUAGGACCUAAGAAUUACAAAGCCUCUGCUUUAUUAGAUUCAAGAGCCUCAGCAUGUUUUUUAGAUGAACAAUUUGUUAAAAGUCGUAAAAUACCUUUUGUACAGAAACCUAAACCAGUACAUGUAGAAGUCAUAGAUGGUCGUCCCUUGUCUUCUGAAGAUGUCACUCAUGAAACUCAUCCUUUAAAAGUAACAAUAGACGGUCAUGAUAGCUACAUAGCUUUUAACAUAAUUAAAUCCCCGUCCAAUCCAGUUAUUUUAGGUUUAUCCUGGCUAGAAAAAUAUAACCCUCGAAUAGAUUGGAAUUCGCGUAAACUUGACUUUUCCUAGAGCGUUAUUCAUAGUUCUACUAACCAAGUAAAAAAUUAUAAGUCUAAUAUAGUAAAAUUCGUACUGAUAGGUGCAAAAACAUUUAUACACGCAGCAAAAGAAGGAUCAACUUUUGCUAUUUAUGCUGCACCUAUUUCUGAAAACGUAAAGACUUCAAGUGGCAUUCCAAGUCAAUAUCAGGAGUAUCAAGACGUUUUUGAAAAAAAGAAUGCAGAUAUUCUUCCUGAGCAUCGCCCAUAUGAUUGUUCAAUCGACCUCAAGGAAGGAACUUAGCCACCAUUUGGAUCAAUUUACAGUUUAUCGCAAGAUGAGAUGGCUGAACUCAAGACAUAUAUUGACGAGAAUUUAGCAAAGAAUUUCAUACGCCAUUCAAAAUCUCCAGUAGGAGCUCCAAUUCUAUUCGUAAAGAAAAAAGAUGGAUCUUUACGAAUGUGUGUUGAUUAUCAAGGACUCAACAAGAUCACAAUCAAGAACAGGUAUCCAUUACCUUUGAUAUCAGGACUCCUUGACCAGUUGAAUCAAGCUAAGAUCUAUACAAAAAUAGAUCUAAGAGGAGCAUAUAAUCUAAUACGGAUCAAAGAAGGAGAUGAAUGGAAGAUUGCGUUUCGAACCAGGUAUAGACAUUUCGAAUAUAAUGUCAUGCCCUUUGGACUCACGAAUGCACCAGCUACUUUUCAACAUCUCAUGAAUGAUGUAUUUCGUGAAUUCUUAGACAAUUUUGUCGUCUGCUAUUUAGACGAUAUCCUGAUCUAUUCUAAGAACGUCGAAGAACAUGAAAUACAUGUUCGUCAAGUAUUAUAAAAACUUAGAGAUGCAGGAUUGUACGUUAAGAUGGAAAAGUGUGUAUUUCACACUACUUAAGUUGACUUUUUAGAAUACAUCAUUUCAAAUGAUGGUCUCAUGAUGGAUUCUAAGAAAGUCCAAACAAUCAUGGAUUGGAAGAUUCUAAGGAUGGUAAGAGAUGUCCAAUGUUUCUUGGGAUUUGCCUAUUACUAUCGGAUCUUCAUCAAAGAUUUCUCACGAGUUGCAGCUCCACUUACACGCUUGACUAGUAAAGAUAAAUUUCAAUGGAAUCAAGAAGCGGAAGCAGCAUUUGAAGCCUUGAAGACAUCGUUUGUCUCUUCACCAGUCUUAUAUCGUGUUGACUUUUCCAAGCCAUUUUUUAUGGAAACAGAUGCAUCAGAUUUUGCCUUGGGUGCAGUUUUAUCACAAAUGGGAACAGAUGACAAACUUCAUCCGAUAGCUUUUCAUUCAAGAAAAUUCUCAGCAGCCGAGAUCAAUUAUGAGAUCCACGACAAAGAACUUCUUGCGAUCAUGGAUUCCUUUCAAGAAUGGCGUCAUUAUCUAGAAGGCGCUUCUAGUCCAGUCACUAUGUAUACAGUUCAUAAGAACCUCGAGUAUUUUAUGUCAGCAUGCGUGUUGAAUCGUCGUCAAGCUCGUUGGAGUAUGUCUUUGUCAAGAUUCGAGUUCAUUAUCACUUAUCUGCCAGAAAAACAACAAGGUUUGUCCGAUGCCCUAUCUAGACGUUCUUAUUUUGCACCAAAAGAAGGAGAUGCAGCUUUUGAGCAACAAAGAACGGUCCUCUUGAAACUGGAGCAAUUUCAUCUCCGAGCAAUGAAAUCAACAUUGACUGUUGAUUCAACUUUUCUCAAGCAAAUCCAGUCCAGUAUGUCCUCAGACCCUCUUGUUCAUGAUAUCGAGAAUAAUUCUUCCAAGUCUCAUGAUCCUUCUAAGUUCGAGUUCAAGAAUAAUCUAUUAUAUUUUGAAGGACGCCUAUAUGUUCCAGAAGGAGAAGCACGUUUACGUGUUCUUCAAGCACGUCAUGACUUUCUAACAGCAGGGCACUUUGGAUAUAAUCAGACUUUGGAACUCAUAUCAAGAGAUUUUUGGUGGCCACAAAUGUGGAAGUCAGUCAAAGACUUUGUACAAUCAUGUGAUAUUUGUUCAAGAUCAAAAAUUCCUCGUCAUCGACCUUACGGACUUCUUCAGCCAUUACCUAUCCCAGAACAACCAUGGUCUUCUGUUUCUAUGGAUUUCAUCACAGAUCUUCCAAGCUCAAGAUCUUAUGAUUCUAUAUUUGUGAUAGUAGAUCAUUUCACCAAGAUGGCACAUUUUGUGCCAUGUACAAAAUCUAUCACAGGUGAAGAAACAGCUAAGCUUUUCAUUGAUAAUAUCUAUCGCUAUCAUGGAUUACCUAAAGAUAUCAUAUCGGAUAGGGGAACUCAAUUUGUGUCAAGAUUUUGGAGGACCCUUUUCAAGAUUUUAAAAGUGGACAUAAAGCUAUCUUCGGCUUUCCAUCCUCAAACUGAUGGACAAACAGAGCGCGUAAACCAAGUCUUGGAGCAAUAUUUAAGGUGUACUAUCAACUAACAACAAGAUGAUUGGACAACCUUUCUGCCAUUGGUAGAGUUUGCUUAUAAUAAUACGGUACAUUCUUCCACGCAACAAACACCUUUCUUUGCCAAUUAUGGCUAUCAUCCACGACUUGAUACUUUUGAUUUUUCAAAAGUUGAUAAUCCUGCAACAGAAGAUAUGGCAAAUCGGUUGUCAGAGUUACAUGCAAUAAUGAAGACACAAUUGAAGGAAGCUCAAGAACGACAAAAAAUAAACGCAGAUCUAUAUCGUAAGGAGCAACCACAAAUCAACGUGGGUGAUAAGGUAUGGCUACUUCGUCGCAAUAUCAAGACUACUCGACCUUGUGACAAGUUGGACUAUCGUAGGCUUGGCCCCUUUUCUGUUUCUGAACAGAUCAACCCAGUUGCAUAUCGGUUACAUCUACCGGAGUCAAUGAAGAUCCAUCCUAUAUUCCACGUGUCUCUUCUUGAACCAUAUAAGACAGUGGAUAUACAAGGAAGAAGACAAAUGCCACCGCCUCCUAUAGAAGUAGAUAAUAAUGAAGAAUUUGAGGUGGAAGAGAUAUUAGACUCAAGGCGACGCCGAAAUAAGCUGGAAUAUCUUGUUCAUUGGCGCGGAUAUGAUAUUAGUGAAUGCACAUGGGAGCCAUCCAGGAAUCUAGCAAAUGCAUCAGCUAAAGUCAAGUUUUUCAUCAACGACAUCCAUCAAAACCAAGAUGAAAAUCUCUCUUAUAAAAGAGACAAGAUUGAGGCAAGAUAACAUUCAAUUUCCUAUCCUUGUUUGUAAUUUCUUUACAUUUGUGACGCUAAUUAGAUGGAGAGCCAACAACCAGCGGAUUCAACUCAAGAACCUUUGUUUGCUGACCUGCCGGAUGAGACAUUACGAUUGUCACAACCUUCAAGACGACGCAAUCGAGAUGAAGAUCUUCAAGAAUGACAUGUUCUUCCUCGAACAGAUGGUGAGAUACAACGCGUUUGGUAUUACGAUUUGGGAAGGGACUCCCGAUGUUUGGUGAUUUUACUAGAGGUAGGAACAACUCCUGAUGGUGUUCUGAAUAUUCUAUUCGAAGGAAGUUAUGAAGGCCUCAAUAAUGAUCAAAUAACUGGGUGGUCUUCCCGCCCUGGUAUGGGACACUACUGAUGGUUGAGAGGUCCUAUCAAUCAUCUUCGAGGAGAACAGAGAUCAGAGUAUGUGGCGAAUACAAUUUGUCGCAUCAUAGAUUUCUUCAACAUAUGAUGACCGCUCCUCGUAGAACUCAUCUCUAGAAAGGGGGAUAAUAUCACGGCCAUAAUCAUGUAAGCUAAUAAUUACAUAUAGAAAUAGGUAGAAGUAAGUAAAAGUAGAUAAAAGUAAGUUAAUUCUAUAAUAUUUAAUAUAGAAGCUUCUUAGAAACUUCCUAGAUGCUGCUUUGACUUCAUAGGUGUCUUUAAUUGACUUUUUGGAUUAGAAACGUGGUCAACAAGUUGGCCAUGUGCCACACAUGUUGUUAGCUUGAAGAUCAAGCUAACUAUGUGGCCCACACGUAGAAAAACUUGCCUUGUAAGUCAAGGCAUGUAUCCUACAAAGUCAACACAUAUUGGAGGUCCUAUAGAACGUCGCCACAUAGCCCCUAGUUAGAUAGUAUAUAUAGAGAUAAGAGUGAAGGCUUCUUCACUCUUGUCAACUCCUUUCUUGCUUCUAGUCCAGGUUCAAGAGUCUUUAAUUUCUUGUCUUGUGGCAAUAGCCAUUCCCGUUUCCUUUUAAUAUACCUACUUCUUUAUAUUUUGACUUAUUAUAUCGAGAUAGCCUUUUUGUGUAUAUUUUCCCUCAUCGAGUCUUUGUCCUUGACAGUCAUCUACAUUCCAAAUAAUAAAAUGAUUAAGAAAUUCAAGAAAUAUAUCAUUUAUGAGAUAUUAAAAAUGAGCUAGUGCAUUCAUGAGUCCAAAAGGCAUAACAUUAUAUUCAAAAUAUCCAUUCCUAGUUUGAAAAAUAAUUUUUUAUUCAUUUCUUUUUUUAAUAGAAAUCAAAUUGUAUACUUUUUAUAGAUCUAUUUUUGUAUAGAUCUUUAUUUGAUUGAAUUAUUUAAGAGGUCUUGAAAUCAAAGAUAGGGAAUAUCUAUUCUUGAUAGUGAUCUUAUUAAGUCCUUAAUAGUUUAUGCACAUCUACAAAGAUCUAUCUUUUUUCUUCACAAAUAAGAUAGAAGCUCCUAUUGGAGAUUUUGAAUAGGAUAUAAAUUUUUUAAGUAAGUUCUCAUUAAUGUACUCCUUUGGUACAAUCAAUUCAUUUUGCAAUAAUAUGAAGAUUGGUUCAAAUGGUAAUUGAGUUCUUUCUUAUAGAUCAAUUGAAUAAUCAUAAGAUCAAUGCUUUAGAAGAAUAUCAAUAUUUUUAUUUUCAAAAAUAUCCUAGAAAUCUUAAUAUUAGCUAAAAAUAUUACUUGUACUAUAGAUAUACAUACAUAUUCUAAUAAAUACCUAUACGAUUAGAUAGAAGUAGAUAAAAAUAGAUUAAUUUCAUAAUAUCUUUUAGAGAAGCUUCCUAGAAGCUUUGUAGAUGUUGCUUUGAUUUUAUAUGUAUUUUUAGUUUAUUGAUAGAUUAAAAACUUAAUCAACAAAUUAUCUACAUAUUGAUAGCUUGUUGAAUAAGCUAACUAUAUGGCGCUCAUAUAAAAAACUUGCCUUACAAAUUAAAAUAUGUGGCUUACAAAGUCAACAUGUUUUGGAGGUCUUAUAGGAUAUUCCUAUGUAGCUUUUAGUUAAGCAUAUAUAUAGAGGCAAGAGUGAAGCCUUCUUCACUCUUGUCAAUACCUUUCUAGUCCUUAGUCUUAUUUCAAGACUUUUUAGUCUUCUUAUUUUUGGCAAUAGCCAUUCUAGUUUGAUAUUAUAUCAUCUUUGAGUGAUUUUUUAGUUUCAUUCAAUGACACAAGACUCUAUAGAGGAUUUUCUUUCUCCAAGAUUCAUCUCCUUCACACUUUGACAAGAGUACUAACUUACUAUUUCUAUCUUAUUUUAAAAGUGAGUGAGUUAUCUCACUUCUAUUGUUGUAUUUUGAAGGUUGUAGACUAUCCACUUUUAAACAAAAAAAUCUUAUUUUCUAACACUAAUUUUUUUUUAAAGAGAGUGAAUUAUCCUUCUUUGUAAAAAAAAUCAUUUGAUAUUAGUGGUUGUUGAUUGUCUUCCUCUAAUUUAAGUUUUUGAAUUUGUUUGAGUUGUCUAUAGAAAGAAAGGUUAUGGAUGCUACUCUUAGCAAAAGUAAGAAUAGAUUUACAACUAUUACAAAUCUUCAUGUCCUUAUUAACAUCCUAAGAGUGGAAAUUUCAUAUGUUUUAAGGUAAAUCAUAGAAGUACUAUGCCAACGACUAUGGAAGAAGUUCAGAGUUUGAGACAAGAAGUCGUGCAAUUGAAGGAAGCAAGUAGAUUGACCUUGCAACUAAAUCUAAGGACUUUUGCUUCUAUAAGUAUAAUGGGAACAAAGAUCAGUAUAUAUAAGAAGUUUGAUAGAAGAAGAUAAAAAAUUUGAAGUUUUUUGCAACAAAUCAAGCUCUAUUUAAAAUUGCAUCUUUUCUAAUACUCAAAUGGAUUGACUCAAGAUAAAUUCAUAGGCGCACUUCUAUCAUGAAGUGCUCUCUCUUUAUUUUUACUUUUUAUAGAAAAAGAUUUAUAAUUCUUUUACGAUUUGAAUUCAUUCUUAGAAGUAUUUACAACGACAUUGGAAGAAAGUGAUCAAGAAAGAAUAGUAGAAAUCAAACUCUUAUCUUCAUGGCAAGGAUCACAGUCAUCCACCAUAUAUGCUGCUGAAUUCCAAAACUUUGCUUGUGACAUGGAUUGGAAUGACAAAGCCAUUAACAAUCAAUUUUGAUAUGGAUUAAAGAAUAAUUUCAAAGAUUUGUUACUAAUAAUACCUAAGGUAAAAUCUUUGGAACAAUUUAUUACUGAAGCCAUUGCAUGCGAUAAUCAAUUAUUUGAAAGAUAUCAAAAAUAAAGAUUUGGCUGAAAAGGAAGAAAUCAAAUAAUAGCAGCAGCUUUCAAGUUUUCAAAAACUUAUUCAUCAAGGCCAAAAUAAAUGUAAAUUAAUACAAUAUAUUUUAAAUCUAUCAUAGAGUAAGAAAAGACUUGACAAUGUCAAGAGAACUUAUGCUUAUAUUGUGGAAAAGCUAAACAUAUUGCUUAAUAUUGUCUAAAAAAAAUACAAUCACAAAAUGAGAAGCAUGGUUGUCAAAGAAGACGAGGUAUCAGAAAACAAGUUUUUUCAGCUACAAUAGGGACCAUGCAACUAGAAUCUUACAUAACUCCUAGUAAAGGUCCUAUUUUGUCCUCAAAUCCUUCACCUUAUUAUAUAAUAAAAGUUUAUUUAGGACUAAAAAAUCACAAAGUAUUAGCUUUGUUAGAUUCAAGAGCCUUAGCCUAAUUUAUAGACAAAUAUUUUGUCAAAAAAUAAGAGAUAUUGUUAAUCAAAAAACUAAACAUGUACAUGUAGAAGUUAUAGAUGGUCAUUCAAUAUCUUCUUGACAUGUCAUACAUGAGACUAUUUUUUUAAAUGUAGCAAUUUAAAAUCAUAAUAAUAUAGUAAUAUUUAAUAAAAUAAGAUCUCUAUCUAAUCUAAUUAUUUUAAGAUUAUCUUUGAUAGAAAAAUAUAAUUCUUAGAUAGAUUGGAUAUCUCAUAACCUUAAUUUUUUGAAUAGUUUAAUCCAAAAUCUUGUUAGUUAAAGAAAAAUACAUAAGUCUAGUACAUCCAAAUCUUUACUGAUAAAUGCAAAAGCUUUUAUGCACGCCACAAUAUAAAGAUUUUUUUUGUAUUAUAUGCCACAUCCAUUUUUUAUUGUAAAAAGACGUCAAGAGAUAUUCUUAGCUAAUAUCAAGAUUUUUAGGAAGUUUUUGAAAAAAAUAACACAAAUAUUCUUCCAGAGUAUCGUUCUUAUGAGUAUUCCAUUGAUCUUCAUGAAGAAGCUUAACUAUCAUUUAAACCAAUUUAUAGCCUAUCAUAAAAUAAGUUGAUUGCACUCAAAAAAUAUAUUGAAUAAAACUUGGGUAAGAAUUUCAUUCGUCAUUCUAAAUCUCCAAUUGAUGCUUCUGUCUUAUUUCUAAAGAAAAAAGAUGGAUCUCUAUGGAGUUGUGUGGACUAUUGAGGAUUCAAUAAGAUCACAAUCAACAAUAGGUAUCUUCUAUCUUUGAUUUUAAGAUUUCUUGAUCAACUAAAUGAAAUAAAAAUCUAUACAAAAAUUGAUUUAAGAGGAGUAUAUAAUUUAAUAUGCAUUAAAAAAAGAGAUGAAUGAAAAAUUGUAGUUUGAGUAUAAUUUUAUGCCUUUUGGAUUUACAAAUGUAUCAACUAUUUUUUAACAUAUAAUAAAUGAUGUCUUUUAUGAGUUACUUUAUGAUUUUUUUUGUCUCUUAUUUGGAUGACAUCUUAAUCUACUUUAAGAACACAUAAGAACAUGGAAUUCAUGUUUGACAUAUAUUACAAAAAUUUAAAAAUGCAUGAUUGUUUGCCAAGUUAAAAAAGUAUAUAUUCUACACUACUCAAGUUGACUUUUUAGAAUACAUUAUUUCUAAUGAAGGGCAAAUAAUGGAUCUGAAGAAAGUCCAACUAUCAUAGAUUAGAAGAUUUCAAGAAUAAUAAGAAAUGUACAAUAUUUUUUUAGACUUUGUUAAUUACUAUCAAAUCUUCAUUAAGAAUUUUUUUUAAGUUGUAGCUCUAUUUACACAUUUGACUUGUAAAGACAAACUUAAGUAGAAUAAAGAAGCCAAAACAUUGUUUGAUGCUUUAAAAAAAGAAUUUAUUUUUGCACUAAUCUUAUAUCUUAUUAACUUAUCUAAGGUAUUUUUUUAUCAACAGAAAUACAUCAGACUUUGCCUUGGAUGUAGUAUUAUAAAAAAUGAGAGUAGAUGACAAAUUCCAUCUAGUAGCUUUCUAUUCAAAAACAAUUCAGCAACUAAGAUUAAUUAUGAGAUCCAUGAUAAAGAACUCUUUACAAUUGUAGAUUCACUUUAAGAAUGACAUCAUUAUUUAGAAGGAAACUUGAGUCAAAUUAGUGUAUACACACAUUACAAGAACCUCAAGUAUUUCAUAUCAACACAUUGUCAUAUAACAUGAUUUAUAAUCUGAAAAUAUAUAGGAUAUCUAGAUGUAGAGAGUUUAAUUUUAACUUAUUAACUAAGCUCCAAUAAGUGAUUUAUUCCACCUUUAACUUAUAUACAAAGUCUUGGCUCCUAAAAUCUCUUCACUUUAUAUACAAUGUCUAAAUUGUAGCAAAAUCCUUUAUAAUAUAUUUAUCCUACAAAGGAUUUCUUUUACUUGUACUUUAGAAAUUCAUAUCUUUUGAUCUAACUCUUCAAUUUUUUUCAAAUUUUUAUAUAAUAUAGCUAUUUUUUAAGCUUUAUUAUAAAAUAAAUAAACUAUAAAUUUUCUAUCAAUCUUCUAGCAUCUUAGAAAUCCUAGCAAGUACUCUAAAUCCUAAAUUAUAAGUAUCUGAGUACUAUUUUCUUCAUAUCUCAAAAACACAAAAACCAAAUGCUAUAAAAUUUAUAUAAAAAUUUAUGAAUGGAUCAUAUAUAUUUUUAGAAAAUUUGAGCUAAAAUUUCAUCAAAUUGCUUAAGAUAUUGUUCAAAACACAAUGACUAGUGAAUCGGGUCAAUUUCUACCUUUAGAUUUUAAUUGUUGACUUCAACUUCUAAUAUCUCUUUUAUCUCAACUUAGAAUUCAUCGAGCAAUAUACAAAAAAUGAAGUUAAAAAAGUGUUUUCUCUAAUUUUGAUCAUUGAUUCUUGAUUUCUUUUUAUGUACAUGUAUUAUAUUCAAAAGAGGGACAAUAGGUACAAAAUCAUCACUUUAAUUUUGAGUACUCAUAUUUCUUUCAUAUAAAUUCCAAAUCACACAAAAUUUAUACCAAAACUAUAGCCAAAAUCCUAAACUUACUUAAAUUAGCCUUCAAAGCUCAAAUUACUUGAGAAUAAUAAUCCUAAUCCCUAAGAAGGCCUUAGACAUUCUUCUUGAAGCCCAUUAGGUAUAAUUUUUGGCCAAUAGGAAUAGAGAUUUUCAUCACCUAUCUCUAUUUAUCUAUAUGGAUGCCCUAACUUCUCUUUUUGCUACCAAGACUCCUCUCCAAAUCUUUGUAAUAAGAUUUAUAUUAUAUAUAUCUAUAACAUCAAAUAAUAGAAAUAAAAUUAGACUUCAAGGGUCACGAAUGUCUAAUAAAGAUGACUUUAAAUAUAUAAAAGUUACUAUCAAUCAAAAUUAAUCUUAAAAGCCAUUAUCAAAAUAUAUAUAUAUAUAUAUAUAUAUAUAUAUAUAUAUAUUUAAAUUAUAAGAGUAGUUCUUUUAAACAACUUCUUUUUAAAGUAGUAAUCUAACUACAUUCUACAAUCAAUUAAAAUCCACUAAUGUGGCUUUUACUAUAUUACUUAGUAAAUUAUAUAUCAAACAUAUAAACAUAAUAUUUUUAUAAGAUAGCCAAACCACAAUAUAACAACGUGUUUUAAAUUAUUACCAAGUUUGUUGGAGCAUGUACUUAUAAAGAUUUGAUUUUAAGAUUACUUAUCGAUCCAAAAAAUAACAUGGUUCAUUAGACGCCCUUUCUAAACAUUCUUAUCUUGCAUCAAAAGAAAGAGAUGCAUCUUUUGAUCAAUAAAGAAUAAUUCUCUUGAAGCUAGAGCAUUUUCACCUUCAAACAACAAUAUCAAUAUUGAUUGUUGACUCAACAUUUUUCAAGCAAAUUCAAUCAAGUAUAUUCCCUUAUCUUCUUAUUCAUAAUAUCAAGAAUAAUUCUUCUAAGUCUUAUGAUACUUCUAAGUUCAAGUUCAAGAACAACCUACUCUAUUUCAAGGGACAAUUUAUAUUUUAGAAUGUGGGACAUGAUUACGUAUUUUCCAAACUUGUCAUAAUUUUUUAGUAGCCAAAUAUAUUAGAUAUAACAAGACUUUGGAGCUAAUAUCAAGAGAUUUUUAGUAGCCUCAAAUGUAGAAGGUAGUCAAAGACUUUGUACAAUCAUGUGAUAUUUGAUUAAGAUCCAAAACUCUUUACUAUUAUCUUUAUGGACUUCUUCAGCCAUUACCUAUUCUAAAACAAUCAUGGUCUUAUGUUUCUAUGGAUUUUAUUAUACAUCUUUAAAUUUCACGUUUUUAUGAUUCUAUAUUUAUAGUAGUAGAUUAUUUUACCAACAUGGCAUAUUUUGUACCAUAUACAAAAUCUAUCACAAGCGAAGAAAUAACUAAGAUAUUUUUAACAACAUCUAUCAUUAUUACAAAUUGCUUAAAGAUAUUAUACUAGGUAGGAAGACUCAAUUUAUAUGAAGAUUUUGUAAAAUCCUUUUUAAGUUUUUAAAGGUGGAUAUAAAAUUCUCUUCAGCUUUUCAUCAUCAAACUGAUAGAUAAAUAUAAUAAGUAAAUUAAGUUUGAGAGCAGUACUUGAGGUGUACUUUAAACUAUCAUCAAGAUGAUUGAACAACUCUUUUACCAUUGGCAGAGUUUGCAUACAAUAUUUUAAUACAUUUUUCUAUUCAAUAAAUAUAUUUCUUUGCCAAUUAUGGUUAUCAUCUUCAACUUGAUACUUUUAACUUUUCAAAAUUUAAUAAUCUUACAAUAGAAGAUUUGGCAAAUUAUUUGUUGAGCUAUAUGUAAUAAUAAAGGUGUAGUUAAAGGGAGCUCAAGAAUGAAAAAAAAAAUAAUACAGAUGCUUAUUGCAAGAAACAAUUACAAUUCAACAUAGGUGACAAGGUAUGAUUACUUCAUCGUAAUAUGAAAACUACUUAUUUAUCAAUUAUAUCUAUCAGAGUUCAUGAAGAUCCAUUGUGUAUUUCACGUGUCAUUUGUUUUUAUAAAAGUGGAUAAUAAUCAAGAAUUCAAGGUAGAAGAAGUCUUAAAUUCAAGGUGGUACCAAAAUAGGUUGAAAUAUCUUAUUCAUUGGUAUAGAUAUAUGUCACAAACAUAUAUUUAUUAUAAUUUUUAACUAUGUAAUAUGAAUAUGUAGAAGUAGAUAAAAGUAGAUUAAUUUCAUAAUAUCUUCUAGACAAGUUCUCUAGAAGCUUCAUAGAUGCUACUUUGACUUUACAUGUGUUUAUACUUGAAUGAUAGAUUAGAAACUUGGUCAAAAAAUUAACCACGUACAACACAUGUUGGUAGCUUGCGGAUCAAGCUAACUAUACGGCACCCACAUAGAAAACUUGCCUUGUAGAUUAAGAUACGUAUUGUGCAAAGUCAACACAUUUUUGGCGGUCCUAUAGAAUGUCACAACAUAACUCCUAUGUAGAUAAUAUAUAUAGAAGUAAAAGUGAAGCCUUCUUCACUCUUGUCAACUCCUUUAUUACUUGUAGUCUAAUUUCAAGGAUUUCUAGUUUUCUUGUCUUUUGGCAAUAGCAAUUCUAUUUUUUUUAAUAUAUAUAUUUAAUUAUUUCUAUUUUAUCAUCUUUCUUUAAAAAAAAGUUUUACUUAUUUACUUAUUUUUAUCAAGUUCUUGUCCUUAAUAUAUUGAUAAGUGUGCACUUACAAUAUCAAAGCUUUGUCUAAUCUUGAUUAAGAAUGGAUUAUCUCUUUUUCUUGAUAAGACAUAAGCAUAUUAAAAGUUGCAGAUUACCCUCUUCUAAACUGAUAUUGUUCUUAGUAUUUUUUUUGUUCUCAAGUCCUUUCUUGUGUUUGUCUUGAGCGAUAUUAGACAUCUUCUCUUUUUUAAGUGUUAUCAUCGUAGAACUUACUGAAAUAAAGAGUGCAAUGGCACAAAUGUAAGAACAAUUAAGGGAGUUAAUGCUUGCGAUGCAUCAAUUCAAUUUACCACCACAAGGAGCAAUAAGUUUGGCGAGAAGUGAAGAUACAGAAAUGAUUGGAGCUGCUUCAAUAUCUACACUAAAUCAUGUUCUUUCUUCUAUGGUGGAACACCCUUUCAAUAUUAGAGAACUAAGAAUUGCUCUACUCAAGAAGUUUGAUGGCACCAGAUCGAAGUUUAGAGGAUUUAUUAAACAAGUAUAACUUGUGAUUGAACUUCAACUCCAAAUUUAUCCAACUCUAGGAUCAUAAGUUAGAUUCAUGGGUACGCUUCUUUCAAGUUCAACAUUAUCAUGGUUUUCAUCUUUUUUUGAACGACAAGAUCAAAUAUUGGAUAAUCUAGAGAUUUUUUUAGCAAAGUUUUUAUCCAUAUAUGGAAAAUAUGAUACAAUUUGUAUUGCAACCAACAAGAUCCAUAUUUUGCAAUAAGGCGAUCGAUCAGUAACGUUAUAUGCUUCACAGUUUCGACAACUUACAACUGAUAUCAAGUGGGAUGAUGUUGCACUUGUUAGCAAAUUUCUCUACAGAUUACAAUAUGAGGUGAAAAAUUAAUGUUCAACUUACGUGAUCCUUAAACAUUGAGUCAAGCAAUUGACUUUGUUGUGAAGAGCGACAAUCAUCUUUUUGAAUUUCAAUCUAAGAACCUAUAGAAUAGAUAUUAAUUCAUUUUUAAAAGAUAUUGAUAAAAUAUAUUAAUAGUCCAUAUAAUAGGAAAUUUAGGAGGACGGAUGAGUGAUUUAGUUCUUAAAAGCGGUUAAUUACAGAAUUACGAUUAGAAUUUGGAGAAUUGAGGGAAAGUAUAUAGGAGUUGUAGAAGUUAAUUAGGGUGCCAGACUGUGAUAGUCAUGAGCCGAGGGCCAUCGCUGUGAUAGUUGUGAACUGUGGUAAGCUUGGUGCUACCUCUUUUCUUUUGUUUGUUAUUUUCUUUGAAUAAGAGGACUGAGAAUUUCUGAAAAUUGUGAAGUGAAUUAUGGAAUGGAAAUGUGAUUGGUAUUAUUUGAAAAGAACAAAGAUUGAAUGCUGAAAUCUGUUUGUAGUUCAGCAAAGAGAAUGAGUCUAUAUUUGUAUGAAACACCGUAAUGUGAAUGGCAAUUCUGUGUGAAGAAUUCCAGUGAUUGGAAUGAGGGUAAUUUUGUGCUAAAAGCUGUGAGGGCGAAGUAUUACAGUUGGAGAUUAUGAGGGUGAAUAUAUUGGUAGAAAUAGCAGUUAUUGGUAUGACUGAAUUGUUGUAAGGAAGAGACCGAUAAGGUGAAGGAGGAGAUUAUAGUUUCUUUGUGUGUUCAAAUAUUGGAAAUAGAGACGAUACAUUCAGGAGGUAAUUGAUUGUGUGACCCUAACGUGAACACUUAAGCAACUAGUCAUUUUCCAUGUUCAAAUCUCUUUAUAUGGGUUUAUUCCCAUUAGAUUAAUUUGGAAUAAAUAAAAUGAGCAACCACAGAACCAUACAAGUGGACCUCAAUAUUAUUAUAAUUCAAUGGCAAUACCAAAAUCUCUUCAACACAUACAUUUGGAAGUAGAGGAUAUACAAAUUGAUGUGGUAUGUUUCAAACUUCUUAUUGAGCAAGAAAAGACUCAUUGUCGUCAGGAAGGAUUAUACUUAUAUUGUGGAAAACUUAAAUAGAUUGCUCAACAUUAUCCAAAAAAGUGACACAUCCAUAAAAUAAGGAGUACGGCUAUUAAAGAAGAUAGUAUGUCGAAAAAUGAAUUUCUCCAGCUACAAUAAGAACCGUGCGGUUGGAACCUUGUACAAAACCUACUGAAGGUCUUAUUCUCUCUUCAAAAUCUUUUCUUUGUUUUAUGAUAAAUAUUAUUUUAGGACCUAAACAUCAUAAAGCCUCUACCUUAUUAGAUUCAAUAGCCUCAGCAUGUUUCUUAGAUGAAGAAUUUGCUAAAAGAUAUAGUAUACUUUUAGUGAAGAAAACUAAACUUAUUCAUGUAGAAGUCAUAGAUGGUUGUUCGUUGUCUUCAGGAGAUGUUACUCAUAAAAACCUUCCUAUAGAAGUAGCAACCAAUGGUCAUAGUAGCUUUGUAAUAUAUAAUAUUAUUAGAUCUCUUUUUAAUCAAGUCAUUUUAGGUUUAUUAUGGCUAAAAAAAUAUAAUCUUAAAAUAGUUUGGACUUUUCGUAGUCUUUUCUCAAGGUAUAACUAAGGGCGUAGUUAAUCAAGUAGAAAGUCAUAAGUUUAGUACAAUUAAACAUGUAUUGAUAGGUGCAAGAGCUUUCUUGCAUGAUAUAAAAGAAGAAUCACCUUAUGUCAUUUAUACCGCACUUGUUUCUACUAGUCAAAAGAUUUUAAGUGGCAUUUCAAGCCAAUAUCAAGAUUUUAAAGAUGUAUUUGAGAAGAAGAAUGCGGAUAUUCUUUUGAAACAUUGUUCCUAUGACUACUCAAUUGACCUUUAAGAAGCAGUACAACCGCCAUUCGGACCAAUCUAUAAUUUAUCACAAAAUAAAAUACCUAAAUUCAAGGAGUAUAUUGAAGAGAAUCUGGCCAAGAACUUCAUAGGCCAUUCCAAAUCUCUAGUAGGAGCUCAAAUUUUAUUUGUAAAGAAAAAAGAUGGAUCAUUAUAGAUGUAUGUCAAUUAUCAAGGACUCAACAAAAUCACCAUCAAAAAUAGGUACUUGCUACUUUUGAUAUCUAGACUCCUUGAUCAGUUGAAUUAAGCUAAGAUCUAUACAAAAAUAAAUCUACAAAGAGCAUACAAUCUAGUACGCAUUAAACAAAGAGAUGAAUGGAAGACUGCAUUUUGAACAAGGUAUGGACAUUUCGAACACAACAUCAUGCCUUUUAGACUUAUAAAUGCACCAACAGUAUUCCUAUAUCUAAUGAAUGAUGUCUUUGGAGAGUUUUUAGAUGAUUUUAUUGUUUAUUACCUAGAUGACAUCUUAAUCUAUUAUAAGAACAUAGAAAAAUAUGAACUUCAUUUUUGUCGUAUAUUACAAAAAUUAAGAGAUACGAGACUCUAUGCCAAGAUAGAAAAAUAUGUAUUUUAUACUACUCAAGUCGACUUCUUAAAGUACAUCAUUUUAAAUGAUAGUCUUAUCAUAGAUCCUAAAGAAGUUCAAGCUAUUAUAGAUUGAAAGAUUCUAAAAACAGUAAAAGAUGUCUAAUGCUUUUUGGGAUUUGCCAACUACUAUCGAAUCUUCAUCAAAGACUUCUCUCAAGUUGCAGCUCCAUUUACACAUUUGACUUGUAAAGACAAACUUCAAUGGAAUCAAAAAGUAGAAAUAACAUUUGAAGCUUUGAAGACAACCUUUGUUUUUGCACCAAUCUUGUAUCGCAUCAAUUUUUCUAAGCCAGUUUUUAUGGAAACAAACACAUCAAACUUUGCUUUGGAUGUCAUAUUAUUAUAAAUAGAAACAAAUGAUAAACUUCAUCCAAUAGCUUUUCAUUCUAAAAAUAUUUUAGCAGCUGAGAUCAACUACAAGAUCCACAACAAAAAACUUCAUGCAAUCGUGGAUUCGUUUCAAGAAUGGCGCCAUUAUCUAGAAGGUGCUCUUAGUCUAGUCACCAUAUAUAUGGAUCACAAGAACUUUGAAUAUUUUAUGUAAGGACAUCUUUUGAAUCAUCGCCAAGCGUGUUGGAGUAUGUCCUUGUCAAGAUUUGAAUUCAAGAUCACUUAUUGAUGGAAAAAACAAAAAGGUUUGUCAGAUGUACUCUUUGAACGAUCUUAUCUUGUACCAAAGUAAAGAGAUGUUGCUUUUGAUCAGCAACGGAUAAUUUUCUUGAAGCUAGAGCAUCUUCAUCUUUAAGUAAUAAAAUCAACACUAACUAUUGAUUCAACUUUUAUUAAGCAAGUUCAGUCAAGUAUGUCUUCUGAUUCUUUUAUUCGUGAUAUUAAGAAAAACCCUUCAAAGUCUCAUGUUACUUCCAAGUUUGAAUUUAAAAACAAUCUACUAUAUUUUGAGGGAUGCCUAUAUGUUCGAGAAAGUGAAGCUCGAUUACGUGUUCUUUUAGCUCAUCAUGACUUUCUAGCAGGAGGAUAUUUUGGGUACAAUAAAACUUUGGAAAUAAUAUCCAGUGAUUUUUGGUGGCACCAAAUGUGGAAGGCAGUCAAAGAUUUUGUACAAUCUUAUGAUGUUUGCUUAAGAUCAAAAACUCCUCGUCAUUGACCUUACAGACUUCUUCAACCAUUAUUCAUUUUAAAAUAACCAUGGUCUUCUGUUUCUAUAGAUUUCAUCAUGAAUCUUUCAAUCUCAUGUUCUUAUGAUUCUAUAUUUGUGAUAGUAGAUCAUUUUAUAAAGAUUGCACAUCUUGUACCAUGUACAAAAUCUAUCACUUGUGAAGAAACAGCUAAGCUCUUUCUUGAUAAUAUCUAUCGCUAUCAUGGAUUAUCCAAAGAUAUUAUAUCAGAUAGGGGAACUCAGUUUGUAUCAAGCUUUUGGCAAACUUUUUUUGAAGAUUCUAAAAGUGGAUAUAAAACUAUCUUCGACAUUCCAUCCUUAAACUAAUAGACAAACGGAGCAUAUUAAUCAAGUUUUUGGACAUUAUUUAAGAUGUACCAUCAACUACCAACAAGAUGAUUGGACAAUUCUUUUGCCAUUGGCAGAGUUUGCUUAUAAUAAUAUGGUAAAUUUUUCUACAAAACAAACACCUUUUUUUGCUAAUUAUGAUUAUCAUCCACGACUUGAUACUUUUGAUUUUUUAAAAGCUGAUAAUCUUGCGAGAAAAGAUUUGGCAAAUCAUUUGUCAAAGCCACAUGCAACAAUGAAGGUUUAAUGAAAAGAAUCUCAAGAACAACAAAACUUCAAUACAGAUGUUUGUCAAAAGGAACAACCACCAUUCCACAUGGAUGACAAGGUAUGAUUACUUUGUCACAAUAUUAAGACCACUCGUCCUUGUGACAAGUUUGACUAUCGAAGGCUUCGACCAUUUUCUAUUUCUGCACAAAUCAAUCCAGUUGCAUAUGAUUUAUACCUACUAGAGUUAAUAAAAAUCCAUACUGUAUUCCAUGUAUCUCUUCUUGAAUCAUACAAGACAAUGGAUAUACCAAGAAGAAAACAAGGUCCACCUCCUCUUAUAGAAGUAGAUAAUAAUGAAGAGUUCAAAGUGGAAGAAGUCUUAGAUUCAAGGCGGCACCAAAAUAAAUUAGAAUAUCUUGUCCAUAGGCAUGGAUAUGAUAUUAGUGAAUACACAUGGGAGCCAAUAAAAAAUCUUGCAAAUGCAAAAAAAGUGGUGGAGGAUUUUCAUCGAUGAAAUCCAUCAAAAUCAAGAUGAAAACCUUCAUUAUAAAAGAAAUAAGAUCUAAGCAAGAUAACAUUCUACUUUCAAUCCUUAUUUGUAGCUUCUUUGUAGUUUUGAUACUGAAGAGAUGGAGAACCAACAACCAAUGGAUUCGACUCAAGAGCCUUUAUUUGUUGACCUAUCAGAUAAGACAUUACGAUUGUCACAACCUUCAAGAUGAUGCAAUCGAGAUGAUAAUUUCAAAGAUCUUUAAUUUUCUUAUCUUUUGGUAAUAGCCAUUCUAGUUUCUUUCUUAAUAUACAUAUUUAGUUAUUUCUAUUUUAUCAUCUUUCUUUGAAAAAAGUCUCACUUAUUUAGUUAUUUUUAUCAAAUUCUUGUCCUUGAUAGUAUAUUAUUAGUAAAUGUAUAUGGAACCUAGUAAAGAAUCUUGUAAAUGUAGCAAAGAGAGUUGAAGCUUUUUAUUGAUGACAUCCAUUAAAAUCAAGAUGAAGAAUAACAAAUCUUUGUUAUAAAAGAAAGAAGAUCAAAGGAACAUAGUACUCUACUUUCUAUCCUUCUUUGUAGCUUAUGUAUAAUUUUGAUACUAAUGAGAUGGAGAAUCAAUACCAAUAGAUUCAACUCAAGAGCUUUUAUUUGCGGACUUACUAGAUGAGAUAUUGCAAUUGUCACAACCUUAGAGAUGACAAAAUUGACAUGAAGAUCCUCAAGAAUGAUAUGUCCUUCGUCAAAUAGAUGGCAAGAUACAACGUUCUCAUAUUGUACUUGCUUAUAGUAUAUAAAAAAUUAAUUAAAAUAUAUGUUAUGUUUAUAAGUCUUGAUGUAGAUUACAAUAGUUAAUAAGUAAUUUUAAAGAGAUUUAAUACAAGAAAAUUUAUUUGGAGAUUUAUCUAUUUUGAUUAUAAUGUUUAUAUUAUGUAAGAUUUAGAUAUUUAGUAUAAAGCUUAAGAGAAGGUUGAAGUCUAAAGAUGAAAGUCUAAAUUAUUAAGAAGCUUAUUAAAAACAAUGAAAGCAAGGUAUGGUUGGAUGAAGGCAAGGAGUGAAGAUCUUCAUAUCAAUUGGACGAAUGUCAUACCCAAUAGGCUUCAAGGAGGCUGCUCGAGGUCUAAUUAGGAAAUAGAGUUUCUUUUUUGAAGUCAAUUAAGCUUUGCAAGCUAGGAUCAGUAAGUUUAGGUUUUUAGAUAUAGUUUGGAUGCAAAUUUUGUAUGAUUUGGAGUUUUUAUGAAGGAGUUAUAGGUGCUUAAAGUUAAGGUGUCAAUUUUGUACCUAUUGUUACUCUUUGGAGCAUAAUAUAUGCUUAUAGAGAGCAAUAAAGGAUCGGCAAUUGAGAUUGAAAAGAAAACUUUUUUAAUUAUACUUUUUAUAUACUAUUUGAUGAAUUCUAAGUUUAAAAGAAGGAAUUGUAAGGUGUUGAAGACAACACAUGUAAUUUAAAGAUAAUAAAUUAGUUGUUUGCAUUACUUAGGCAGAAUCAAAAAAUAUUAUAAAAAAACAAAAAUUAUACAUAUAAACUUGGAACUUUAAUAUCUUAAAAUUAAUUGAAUAUUUAGUGGCAGCUAGAAGUCCAACACUUUCUUGAGGCAAACUCUCUCCUUUCCAUCAUAUUAGUACUUCCAUUGAGAGAGCUUUAAGGCACUAAAUUUUUCAACAAGUUAAAAUGGGAGAUCAAAUUCUAUGGUUUGCAUUACUAGAUAGAACGGAUGUCGAAGAUUUGUUUAAGGCAUUUGCUUAAUUUAUAGAAAAAAAGCAACAAGUUACAUGGAAAGGAUAGGAAUACCAUCAAAGCUUUUUCAAUAGUGGUAGAUAAAGUUAGAAGAUUUGAUGAGAGAAACAUCACUAAGUUCUUCAAGAUUUAUACAUGUGCAAUAGAGAUGCAUCAAGUUUUGGAAAUAAAGAUGAUUACCACCUUUGAUUUGGUAGUGGUACUAGAAAUCAGAGAAAGUGCAAGAGAUACAUAAUGAGACUAUAUCAUAGAAGAAAUUUGAAGAAUUCAUCAAAGAUGAACUUUUUGAAGAAAACUCAAAAAGACUAAUAAAAAAAACUUUUUUUUGGAGUAAAUUGAGCUAAGGCUAAGGAAUCAAAUGAAUCUAAAUAAAUUUAUUAGGAAAUUUGAGACUAAGUUUGGAUAAUUACUAUAGCAAGAGAAGCAACUAUUAAAAACAAGGAAUAUAAGGCUAUUCUUAAAAGUAGCUAAUAAAUACUUAGAAGACAAGUUGCUCUUUUAGCUAGCAAAUAAGAUAUCUAAGAGUGGUUUUAUUAACAAUUGGAGGCUAGAAACUGAAACUAUAAGUCAUUAAAAUGACUUUCUUGUUAUUUUAGGAUAAAAUUAUGCAUUAAGAAUGCUUUAAAUCAUAAUAUAUAGGUGAGUAGUAUAGAAAUCUUUAUAGAAAUAGAAAAUUAGAAUGUUAGUGGUGGAAAUGGAGUCUUAGUAAGUCUUUGAAGCAAUUAUCUUUGUUGGUUUAUUAUUUUUUAUUCAUUAUUAUAUAUAUAGGAUUAUUUGUUAAAACCAAUAUUUAUAUUGGUCUUCUAUCUAUAUGUAAUACUUAUAAUAACUAUAAAUAUUAGUAGUUAGAAAAAGCAUGAAAAAGAACCUCAUAUCAUUUUAGUUAUUGAUAUAAAAAAAUAAGUUUUAUAAUGGAUUUAAAUUAAUUUUUAUUAUUAUAAAAAUAUUAAAAGUAGGAAAAUGUAGCCUUAGAUGGAUAAUAGCAUUAUAGAAACAUUAUAAAAAUUUUCAAAAUUUAUUUAUAAUUUAUAUGGUAUUUUUUAGGAAUUUUUAGAGUAAUUUUUAAGAUCUUGAUAAAAAUGAGUUUUACAACUUUGGGAGCCUUUAUGAAGAAAUGAAGUAAGAAUUGAAGGCCACCAAAGGUUCUUGAGCUAAUUGGGUGUUUUUGAACACUAUGGUGAGGUCAAAAAUACAAAAAUGUUGGUCCUUCUAGUAGAAAAUAGGAGGACCAGCAGCUAGUGUAGUCCUUGUAGAAAGGUAGGUGCACAAGUCCCAUAUGGUUUGUAGCACCUUGAAGGUAGUUAGGAGGAUAAGACUAAGGCCUCGUGGCCUUUCUUAGACACCUUUAUACACUAUAUGUGAGCCUUGGUGAGGCUCAAAUCCUUGAUCUAUAUGCAAGUUAUCCUUGAAAAAAAAUAUUUUUUCUUCACUUUUUAAUUAUUUACUUCUUAUCUUUAAAACUUCAUAACUUACUAAUAGUAAUUUGGAUUUACAUGUUUCUCAUGUCAUUGGAAAGAUAAUAAAAUUAAUUAUUUAAAAUUAUACUUUUUAUUGGGUAGAAACGUAUUGAACAGAUUGUAACUUAGUUUUGGAUGUUGUAAUUACUUGAUUUCAUUUCUUUCACUUGUAUUGUGGUUGUCCUUCUUUGAUUUUUUGCCAAUUUUAUACUUCACUUCACACUACCAAUUAUAGGAAAUUCUUAAUUGAAGCCAUCUUAUAAUUGGGAUUGAGUAGUGAAUUUUAUACUCACUACUUUUAUACAAAUAAAUUUUAUUUUCUUUACUAAAUGUAUGUUAUGUCUUUUAAAAAAUCUGUUGAAGCUUCUGAAUCUAACAAGGCAAAGGCUUUGUGAUAUUUAGGUCUUAAACUAACAUCUAUUAUAAAAUAAGAAAAGGAUUUUGAAGAGAGAAUAGAUUCUUUGUGUGAUAUUAUGCAAGGUUUCAACUACACGAUUUGUAUUGUAGUUAGACAAAUUCAUUUUUUGAUAUAUUAUCUUUUUUGAUAGUCAUACUUUUUAUUUUAUGAUUGCAUCGCUUCUUUAGAUAAUGUUAAACAAUGUGCUUUGAUUCUUCAUAAUAUAAAUAUAAUCCUUCUUGAUGAUGACAAGUUUUUUCUUGCUUAGUAAGAAAUUUGAAACAUAUUAUAUCAAUUUAUAUAUCUUCUACUUCUAAAGAUAUGUGUUGAGAAGAUGAUGGUGUUGCCAUUAAAUUGUAGUAAUGUUGAGGCCUACUUAUGUGAUUCUUAUAUCAAAAUUCAAAUAAUUUAUUAUUAUACUUUAUAGCAAAAUCAAUUGCUUGAUUCAAUAUUUGAGAAUGAAGUAAAUUAAGCAUUAAUUUUUUUUAUCUCAUAUUAUAAUCCAUUAAAGAAUAAACUGAUGAAUGCAAUAUCAUCCUACUUGAUAUCAAUUUUAAGUUGUUUAAAUUAAAAAGUAUUUAAUAUUCUAUUUUUUUAUAUAAAUUAUGGAUCUUAUUUAUUAUUACACAAACUACAUCAUUUUUUUGAUACAUAGAUCAAAAUUCUACCAAAAAAGCUUUGAAAUUGUCCAAUAUUGGAUCACAUCAUUUAAGAAUAGAUAAAAACCAUGAUAAUGCAAAAUUUAAAUACAAUGUUCUAAUAAAUCUAACAUGAUCUUGAAAUUGGAUAGCUUUAGAGUUGAAGUUCAAUUGCUAAUUGUAGUUGAUUGAUGAAUCCUUGAAACUUUGAUAUUGUACCAUCAAACUUCUUAAGUAAGGCAAUUCUUGGUUCUCUAGUACUUAAAUGAUGUUCUACCAUACGAUAAGGGAUAUGAUUUGGUACAGAUGUUGAAGCACCUCCAAUCAUCUCUAUAUCUCUACUUUUUUCCAUUCUUAUUCUUUUUUAUAAUUGUAAAUUGAAUUGAUACAUUGCAAGUAUUAACUCCCGUAAUUGUUCUUGUAUUUAUGCCAUUGCAUUCAUCAUUUCAACAAAAUCUACCAUAAUAACACUUAAAAGAAGAAAAAAAAAAUAUCUAAUAUUGCUCAAGAUAAGUAAAAAAAAGAACUUGAGAAUAAAAAAGAUAUUAAAAAUAAUGUCAAUUUAGAAGAGGAUAAUUUGUAACUUUUAAUACACUAAUGUCCUAUGAAGAGAAAGAAAUAAUCCACUCUUAAUGAAGAAAAGUCAAAGCUUUAAUUUUAUAAAUGUACUCUUGAUAAUUUGUCAAAGACAAGAACUCAAUGAAAGCAAAUAAUCAAAUAAGACUUUUAUAAAGAAAUAUGAUAAAAUUAAACUAAAAAAGUAUGUAUAUUAAAAAGAAAUCGGAAUGGAAAUUAUUAAAAAGAAAUCAGAAUGGAAAUUAUCAAAAAAAAAAAAAAAAAAAAAAAAAAAAAAAUUAGAGAUUCUUCAAACUAGACUAAAAGCAAGAAAGGAAUUAACAAGAGUGAAGAAGGCUUUAGUAUUGCUCAUAUAUAUACUAUCUACCUAAGAGCUAUGUGAUACAUUCUGUAGGACCUCCAAAAUGUAUUUUUGCACAACAUGUAUCUUAACUUGUAAAGUAAGUUUUCUAUAUGUACACCACAUAGUUAACUUGUUAUACAAGUUACUAAUAUGCAUGGCAUGUGGUUAACUUGUUGACUAAGAUUCUAAUAUACUAAACAAUUACAAACACAUGUAAAGUCAAAAUAGCAUCUAUGAAGCUUUUAAGAAGCUAUCCUAGAAGAUAAUAUGAAAUAAAUAUAUUUUUAACUACUUCUACUUAUUCAUAUUAUUUAGGUAAUAAUUAUAAUAAAUAUAUAUAAACCUCAUCACGACAAAUAUAGAUGUCAAGUAAGUAGUGAUUGAAGAAGUAUGUGGUAACAAUAAAGUAAUUUUUCACAAUGUUAUUAAGUAUCACAAUAGGUUGCUGUCAAGGACAAGAACUCGAUGAAAGCUAAAGAGUAAGUGAGACUUUUCUCAAAGAAAUAGGACAAAAUAGAAAUAUGUAUAUUAAGAAAGAAAUUAGAAUGGCUAUUGCCAAAAUACAAGAAAACUAGAGAUCCUUGAAACUAGACUAGAAGCAAGAAAUGAGUUGACAAGAGUGAAGAAGCCUUCACUCUUGUCUCUAUAUAUACUAUCUAACUAGGGGCUAUGUGGCGACGUUCUAUAGGACCUCCAAUAUGUGUUGACUUUGUAGGACACAUGCCUUGACUUACAAGGCAAGUUUUUCUACGUGUGGGCCACAUAGUUAGCUUGAUCUUCAAGCUAACAACAUGUGUGGCACAUGGCCAACUUGUUGACCACGUUUCUAAUCCAAAAAGUCAAUUAAAGACACCUAUGAAGUCAAAGCAGCAUCUAGGAAGUUUCUAAGAAGCUUCUAUAUUAAAUAUUAUACAAUUAACUUACUUUUAUCUACUUUUACUUACUUCUACCUAUUUCUAUAUGUAAUUAUUAGCUUACAUGAUUAUGGCCGUGACAUUACCCCUCCUUCUAGAGACGAGUUCCACGAGGAGCGGUCAUCAUAUGUUGAAGAAAUCUAUGAUGCGACAAAUUGUAUUCGCCACAUACUCUGAUCUCUGUUCUCCUCGAAGAUGAUUGAUAGGACCUCUCAACCAUCAGUAGUGUCCCAUACCAGGGCGGGAAGACCACCCAGUUAUUUGAUCAUUAUUGAGGCCUUCAUAACUUCCUUCGAAUAGAAUAUUCAGAACACCAUCAGGAGUUGUUCCUACCUCUAGUAAAAUCACCAAACAUCGGGAGUCCCUUCCCAAAUCGUAAUACCAAACGCGUUGUAUCUCACCAUCUGUUCGAGGAAGAACAUGUCAUUCUUGAAGAUCUUCAUCUCGAUUGCGUCGUCUUGAAGGUUGUGACAAUCGUAAUGUCUCAUCCGGCAGGUCAGCAAACAAAGGUUCUUGAGUUGAAUCCGCUGGUUGUUGGCUCUCCAUCUAAUUAGCAUCACAAAUGUAAAGAAAUUACAAACAAGGAUAGGAAAUUGAAUGUUAUCUUGCCUCAAUCUUGUCUCUUUUAUAAGAGAGAUUUUCAUCUUGGUUUUGAUGGAUGUCGUUGAUGAAAAACUUGACUUUAGUUGAUGCAUUUGCUAGAUUCCUGGAUGGCUCCCAUGUGCAUUCACUAAUAUCAUAUCCGCGCCAAUGAACAAGAUAUUCCAGCUUAUUUCGGCGUCGCCUUGAGUCUAAUAUCUCUUCCACCUCAAAUUCUUCAUUAUUAUCUACUUCUAUAGGAGGCGGUGGCAUUUGUCUUCUUCCUUGUAUAUCCACUAUCUUAUAUGGUUCAAGAAGAGAUACGUGGAAUACAGGAUGGAUCUUCAUUGACUCCGGUAGAUGUAACCGAUAUGCAACUGGGUUGAUCUGUUCAGAAACAAAAAAGGGGCCAAGCCUACGAUAGUCCAACUUGUCACAAGGUCGAGUAGUCUUGAUAUUGCGACGAAGUAGCCAUACCUUAUCACCUACGUUGAUUUGUGGUUGCUCCUUACGAUAUAGAUCUGCGUUUAUCUUUUGUCGUUCUUGAGCUUCCUUCAAUUGUGUCUUCAUUAUUGCAUGUAACUCUGACAACCGAUUUGCCAUAUCUUCUGUUGCAGGAUUAUCAACUUUUGAAAAAUCAAAAGUAUCAAGUCGUGGAUGAUAGCCAUAAUUGGCAAAGAAAGGUGUUUGUUGCGUGGAAGAAUGUACCGUAUUAUUAUAAGCAAACUCUACCAAUGGCAGAAAGGUUGUCCAAUCAUCUUGUUGUUAGUUGAUAGUACACCUUAAAUAUUGCUCCAAGACUUGGUUUACGCGCUCUGUUUGUCCAUCAGUUUGAGGAUGGAAAGCCGAAGAUAGCUUUAUGUCCACUUUUAAAAUCUUGAAAAGGGUCCUCCAAAAUCUGGACACAAAUUGAGUUCCCCUAUCCGAUAUGAUAUCUUUAGGUAAUCCAUGAUAGCGAUAGAUAUUAUCAAUGAAAAGCUUAGCUGUUUCUUCACCUGUGAUAGAUUUUGUACAUGGCACAAAAUGUGCCAUCUUGGUGAAACGAUCUACUAUCACAAAUAUAGAAUCAUAAGAUCUUGAGCUUGGAAGAUCUGUGAUGAAAUCCAUAGAAACAGAAGACCAUGGUUGUUCUGGUAUAGGUAAUGGCUGAAGAAGUCCGUAAGGUCGAUGACGAGGAAUUUUUGAUCUUGAACAAAUAUCACAUGAUUGUACAAAGUCUUUGACUGACUUCCACAUUUGUGGCCACCAAAAAUCUCUUGAUAUGAGUUCCAAAGUCUGAUUAUAUCCAAAGUGCCCUGCUGUUGGAAAGUCAUGACGUGCUUGAAGAACACGUAAACGUGCUUCUCCUUCUAGAACAUAUAGGCGUCUUUCAAAAUAUAAUAGAUUAUUCUUGAACUCGAACUUAGAAGGAUCAUGAGACUUAGAAGAAUUAUUCUCGAUAUCAUGAACAAGAGGGUCUGAGGACAUACUAGACUGGAUUUGCUUGAGAAAAGUUGAAUCAACAGUCAGUGUUGAUUUCACUGCUCGGAGAUGAAAUUGCUCCGGUUUCAAGAGGACCGUUCUUUGUUGCUCAAAAGCUACAUCUCCUUCUUUUGGUGCAAAAUAAGAACGUCUAGACAGGGCAUCGGACAAACCUUGUUGUUUUCCUGGCCGAUAAGUGAUAAUGAACUCGAAUCUUGACAAAGACAUACUCCAACGAGCUUGACGACGAUUCAACACGCGUACUGACAUGAAAUACUCGAGGUUCUUGUGAUCUGUAUACACAGUGACUGGACUAGAAGCACCUUCUAGAUAAUGACGCCAUUCUUGAAAAGAAUCCACGAUUGCAAGAAGUUCUUUAUCGUGGAUCUCAUAAUUGAUCUCGGCUGCUGAGAAUUUUCUUGAAUGAAAAGCUAUCGGAUGAAGUUUGUCAUCUGUUCCCAUUUGUGAUAAAACUGCACCCAAGGCAAAAUCCAAUGCGUCUGUUUCCAUAAAAAAUACCUUGGAAAAGUCAACACGAUAUAAGACUGGUGCAGAGACAAACGAUGUCUUCAAGGCUUCAAAUGCUGCUUCCGCUUCUUGAUUCCAUUGGAAUUAAUCUUUACUAGUCAAGCGUGUAAGUGGAGCUGCAACUCGUGAGAAAUCUUUGAUGAAGAUCCGAUAGUAAUUGGUAAAUCCCAAGAAACAUUGGACAUCUCUUACAGUUUUUGGAAUCUUCCAAUCCAUGAUUGUUUGGACUUUCUUAGAAUCCAUCAUAAGACCAUCAUUUGAAAUGAUGUAUCCUAAAAAGUCAACUUGAGUAGUGUGAAAUACACACUUUUCUAUCUUGGCGUACAAUCCUGCAUCUCUAAGUUUUUGUAAUACUUGACGAACAUGUAUUUCAUGUUCUUCAACAUUCUUAGAAUAAAUCAGGAUAUCGUCUAGGUAGCAGACGACAAAAUUGUCUAAGAAUUCACAAAAUACAUCAUUCAUGAGAUGUUGAAAAGCAGCUGGUGCAUUCGUGAGUCCAAAAGGCAUGACAUUGUAUUCAAAGUGUCCGUACCUGGUUCGAAACGCAGUCUUCCAUUCAUCUCCUUCUUUGAUCCGUAUUAGAUUAUAUGCUCCUCUUAGAUCUAUUUUUGUAUAGAUCUUAGCUUGAUUUAACUGGUCAAGGAGUCCUGAUAUCAAAGGUAAUGGAUACCUGUUCUUGAUUAUGAUCUUGUUGAGUCCUCGAUAGUCAACACACAUUCGUAAAGAUCCAUCUUUUUUCUUUACGAAUAAAAUUGGAGCUCCUGCUGGAGAUUUUGAAUGGCGUAUGAAAUUCUUCGCUAAAUUCUCGUCAAUAUAUGUCUUGAGUUCAGCCAACUCAUCUUGCGAUAAACUGUAAAUUGGUCCAAAUGGUGGCUGAGUUCCUUCCUUGAGAUCGAUUGAACAAUCAUAUGGGCGAUGCUCAGGAAGAAUAUCUGCAUUCUUUUUCUCAAAAACGUCUUGAUAAUCCUGAUAUUGACUUGGAAUGCCACUUGAAGUCUUUACGCUUUCAGAAAUAGGUGCAGCAUAAAUAGCAAAAGUUGAUCCUUCUUUUGCUGCGUGUAUAAAUGCUUUUGCACCUAUAAGUGCGGGUUUUACUAUACUAGACUCAUGGUUUUUUACUUGAUUAAUAGAACUGUUACUAAUGCUCCGAUGAAAAUCAAGUUUACGAGAAAUCCAAUCUAUUCGAGGAUUAUACUUUUCUAACCAUGAUAAGCCUAAAAUUACUGGAUUAGAGGGAGAUCUAAUUAUAUUAAAAAUUAUGCAACUACUAUGACCAUUUAUUACUACAUCUACAGGAAGUGUUUCGUGAGUUACAUCUCCAGAAGACAACGGACGACCAUCUAUGACUUCUACGUGUACAGGUUUAGUUUUUUGUAUUAAUGAUAUUCUAUGACAUCUAGCAAAUUCUUCAUCUAAAAAACAAGCUGAGGCUCCUGAAUCUAUCAAGGCAGAGGCUUUGUAAUUAUUAGGUCCUAAACGCACAUCUAUUAUAAAACAAGGAGAUGGUUCUGAGGAGAGGAUAGGACCUUCAUUAGAAGUUGUACAAGAUUCCAGCCGCACGGUCCCUAUUGUAGCUGGACGUACUCGUUUUCAGACAUACUGUCUUCUUUGACAGCCGUACUCCUCAUUUUGUAGUUACGUCGCUUCUUUGGACAAUGUUGAGCAGUGUGCUUAGGUUCUCCACAAUAUAAGCACAAUCCUUCUUGUCGACGACGAGACUUUUCUUGCUCAGUAAGAGGUUUGAAACGUACCGCAUCAAUUUGCAUAUCCUCUACUUUUGAAGGUAUGUGUUGAGGAGACGUCGGUGUUGCCAUUGAAUUGUAGUAACGUUGAGGCCUACUUGUGCGACUCUCGGAUCGAAAUUCAAAAAGUUGAUUGUCGCACUUCACAGCAAAGUCAAUUGCUUGACUCAAUGUUUGAGGAUCAGGUAAAUUAAGCAUCAAUUUCUUUACCUCAUAUUGUAAUCCGUAGAGAAAUUGACCCACAAGUGCGGCAUCAUCCCACUUGAUAUCAGUUGUAAGUUGUCGAAAUUACGAAGCAUAUAAUGUUACUGAUCGAUUGCCUUGUCGCAAAAUACGAAUCUUGUUGGUUGCAACACGAAUUGCAUCAUGUUCUCCAAACAUGGAUCGAAACUCCGCCAAAAAAGCCUCCAUAUUAUCCAAUAUUGGAUCUCGUCGUUCAAGAAAAGAUGAAAACCAUGACAAUGUUGAACCUGAAAGAAGUGUACCAAUGAAUCUAACUUGUGACCUUGGAGUUGGAUAGCUCUGGGGUUGAAGUUCAAUUACUAAUUGGACCUGAUUGAUGAAUCCUCGAAACUUGGAUCUGGUACCAUCAAACUUCUCGGGCAAGGCCACUCUCGGUUCUCUAACACUCGAAGGGUGUUCCAUUCUGGGAGAAGGAACAUGGUUUGGUGCAGAUGUUGAAGCAGCCCCAAUCAUCUCUAUAUCUUUACUUCCUACCAUUCUUGUUGCUCCUUGUGGUGGUAAAUUGAGUUGAUGCAUCGCAAGCAUUAACUCCCUCAAUUGUUCUUGCAUCUGUGCCAUUGCACUCUUCAUUUCAACAAGCUCUGCCAUAGUAGCACUUAGAAAGGAGAAGAUGUCUAAUAACGCUCAAAACAAAUAGAAGAGAGGAAUUGAUAACAAAGAAAAUACUAAGAACAAUAUCAGUUUAAAAGAGGGUAAUCCGCAACUUCUAAUGCGCUUAUGUCUUAUCAAAAAAAAGGGGUAAUCCACUCUUAAUCAAGAAAAGACAAAGCUCUCAUAUUGUAAGUGUACUCUUGUCAAUCUGUCAAGGACAAGAACUCGAUGAAAGCUUAAGAGUAAGUGAGACUUUUCUCAAAGAAAUAGGACAAAAUAGAAAUAUGUAUAUUAAGAAAGAAAUUAGAAUGGUUAUUGCCAAAAUACAAGAAAACUAGAGACCCUUGAAACUAGACUAGAAGCAAGAAAGGAGUUGACAAGAGUGAAGAAGCCUUCACUCUUGUCUCUAUAUAUACUAUCUAACUAGGGGCUACGUGGCGACGUUCUAUAGGACCUCCAAUAUGUGUUGACUUUGUAGGACACAUGCCUUGACUUACAAGGCAAGUUUUUCUACGUGUGGGCCACAUAGUUAGCUUGAUCUUCAAGCUAACAACAUGUGUGGCACAUGGCCAACUUGUUGACCACGUUUCUAAUCCAAAAAGUCAAUUAAAGACACCUAUGAAGUCAAAGCAGCGUCUAGGAAGUUUCUAGGAAGCUUCUAUAUUAAAUAUUAUACAAUUAACUUACUUUUAUCUACUUUUACUUACUUCUACCUAUUUCUAUAUGUAAUUAUUAGCUUACAUGAUUAUGGCCGUGACAGUUGCAAAUUAGAAUGUACCCUAAGUAAUUUUAAAUUAUCAAUACUUGUGAGAAUAGAUUUUUUUUGUUAUAAGAAAUACUCUAAAUUAGCCAUUUAAGUGAUUUAUAUGACAUACUUUAUAAAAAAGAAAAAUUUGUUUAGGUGUGAUACAUCUUCACAAUAUGUUGUCAAUGUUGAAAUCAUAUAAGGUCUUAUUGACAAACAUAUAAGAGAUAGUGGUGUAACAAAAUGACUUAAGGAAAAAAAAAAUAGAAAUGUCAACUAGACACUAUUUGGUGUAGUGAUAGUGCAUGAUUUGGUUGCAAAAGAUAGAAACAAAAAAGAAGACUAUUAAGGCAAAGUUUGUGGCAAUCAAUUUCAAUAAAAAUAGGCUCUUGUAUGCAAGACAAGAUAUCCUUAUUGCAAUAAGAUUUCUCUGAUCAAUAUUCAACAUUGAAGGAAAAUUCUUCAAGCACAAGUAACCACCAUGCAAGUUGUCUCAAGCAUAUGGAUGUGUUCUGCAAAAACUUUAAGGCUUUGCCAUUGAUAUGGAUGGUGAAUUAUUACCCAAAAUAUAAAGCUUGAAUUCUUAUGUAGGGUGCCAUGUAGAAUGACAGAAACAUUGGCAUCCUGUUUGGAAAGUUUCCCUAGCUGUAGGGGGAUUGUUGCUACAUGGAUCCAAAUAAGAAAGAUCUCCGUAAACAUUUAAUUUAGAAAAAAAAGAAGAAGAUGUUCAGUCACCGAUCCCCGUUGGCAACGGUGACAAGCUUUCAAGCGGGUGCAGGAGAGCCUGGGGGAGAGGGCGGAGGGGUGACGUUCCCAAGGGUGGGGAGUUGCGGGAACAUGUGGCGGAUUAGGGUUUGUGUCUUCAGCGGGGUGAGUGGCGCCGAAACCCUAUAAGUUGUGCCAUCGGCAGGCCCAGCGAACCACAGCGGGAGUGUGUGAUUCUCAAUCUCGGCACCGGACCGGGUGUACGUAGAGUGGCACCGGUGUUUGGCUGGUGUUGGUAUGGUUAGCCCAGGGUUGAUUGUUGAUUGUUGUGUGGCGCCCAUGUUUCCUUGAGUCGGAGCUGCGGUUUUUCUUGGCCCCGGAGCGCCUACAGGGUGGGGCGUGCGUUGUGGAUGUGGAGGUUGGAUGUGUGGUCGGGUCAUUGUGCGCUGGUGUCUGUGUGGACAUAAUGUGUUGGAGGACCGCAAUGAUUAGAAUUGGUAAUCAGCCGGCUGGCUGAAACUUCCAUAAAAAAACAUACAGAACAUCUAAGGGUCUGAGCGGAUGUGGGUGUUGCGAAGGAUGGUUAGGAGGCAAUCUGACUAGAGUCACUCGUGUGCUGGUGAUCAAUAGCACAUAGAGCGCUGAAAGUUGCCGAGAACGAUGUCACGGGCAGCUGUUCGACCUGACCCUGAAGAAUCUACCUGCGCAGGAAGAAGCUUCCGUGAACAGCGUGAAAAUGAAGUGUGUGAGGGUGAGUGUGGGGGGAGGGAAAUUGUGUCGGUGAGGAGAUUGAUGUCAUGCACCACACUGAGUUAACUGUGCUGAGAUGACAAUAACACCAUAAGAAUCACUGAGACAUGGACUUCUGGGCAGUAGGGGGGUUUUAGGAGUUUCGUUUUGCGGGGUGUGGGAGCGGUAGGUGCAGAAGGUUGUGAGGAAGAGUUGGGCGUGGAAUGAUGGACGGGCAGGUGCGGAGGCAUGUGUGGGGCUGGAAUUAGGGUCGGAUGGAUGGGGGUUGCUGUGAUGAUACCAAAGUGUUUCGGACUAGAGUUUCUGAUCUGGGGUAGUAGCCAGCAUUGAAGAAACCACUCUUGGCUGUCUGAGCAUUGGGGUUGUCGUGUAUGAGGGUGGUUGGCAUCGCGAAGCUGCGUGUGCAAAUCUUAAGUAUGCCGACAGUGAAGGCGGCUGAUGUGUAGUUUAUAUGUGUGGCGAAAGGGUGAACUGUAUUGUGACGAGGUUGGAGGAGAGAAUCUUUUGGUCUAUUUCACUGCAGCCUAACACAUGAACGGAGGUGUGGAGGAAUAGCACCCCCAAGACAACCCUGAAACUAACAACAUGUAGCAGUAACACAAGGAUUCAUCGAAUGGUUCCAAUAAAUCUGAACCAUAACCUACAUGAGUGCAAUCUGAGUAAUUGAACAGUAUGGAAAGGCUCACGCAAUAAAUAUCUUAAGAGUAUUUUCCUGAGAGCUGAUGACGGAUGUGGGGAUUAUUCUCUCAGCCGAGCAGGCUCGUGCAUGGUUUAACUGUGGAUACGUAGAUUUUUACGAAUUGUUUGCUUUCAGAUGGAUUGCUGGUUAAAAUCUCGAGAUGUGAUUAUUGCUGAUUUGCACAACCUUUGUUCCUUCACAAAUGAACAAGGGCCAUCCUACUUAAAGAUAGGGGUGAAAGGUUGGACAGGAGAUAUUGCAAUAAGUCAUCCGGGGUUGCAUUGUUACCUCGAAAGAGAGAAUCGGAGUGCAAAUCCGAAAGAUCAAAUCGAAGACUUAAUCCUUGCUGUGCCCGACGGUGCAAUAUCACACAAUGAACUGUGAGCGUUACUCGAGAUCCAUUAGAUGCCUCGACUAGGAAUUGGACACGGCCAUGUAACCAAAAGUUAGUCCUCACAAUCGAAGGGUUGGGUUCCAGGUGCAGAGACGCCGAGCAUAGUCUGUGCGUUGCACAAGAUCAGAGUUGCUUCGUUUUGAGGAUGACUUUGUCAUGCUCUCGAGGAAGGAAGGACCCUAUGGACUCAUCAAAUGUUAAGCUCACUGAUGAGUAUGAGGCGAUGGACCUUAGAGAGAUUCACUGCCGCCUUAAAAAGUGUAGGGUUUGAAGGUUCCAGCCACCCACUCCUCGACCUCGUUCCAAUCUUUGAAAGUCCAUUGGAGGUUCAAUGUGGAGGAUCUCAUGAGAUAUGCAUGGACGAUUGCAUGCCAAUUAAAACACCAUGACGUGGAUGGUGAAUCCGACCAGUGUAAAGAGGAAUGAGGUGAGAUAUGAAAUACUCAAUGUGGCAUGGAAAGGAGCAGUGGGUUCACUUGUGUAUGUAAUAGUGGGUACAACAGCGCAAGCUGCAAUUGUAAUUACCUCCCAGAGCCACCAUGUGGCCACACCAUUUUACGGUAGUUGGGUGGUUGAGUAGGUAGACUCCAGACAUCAACGAAGGCCAUUGUGCAUCUGAUGUUGUAACCUGCAGACCAGCACAUUGAGCAUCAGGAAACUGUGAGCUCGAUCGGAUAAGAAUUCCUUAACUUCAAUUUUAGAGGUACUUUUUAAUUUUGAUAGGAAUAGAUGGUUGUUACUUAUUUCUUACUUCUGUUAAUAGUUUGUACAAUUUACAAACUAUCUCAAAUACAACAUGAAUGUGUACUUGUUUGAGUAAUUGCAACCGUUGAGGAAUAGAUAUGGGUAUAAAUAUAUGAUGUCUUUAAUUGUCCAACUUGUUGCAAUGUACAUUUGUUUUCAGUUGUUAGUAUAAUAACCAUGUUAUCU